This 156251-nucleotide long non-coding RNA is filed under the name Hordeum vulgare. Its description in RNAcentral is "long non-coding RNA (HVUL_LNC007792)". Lineage: Eukaryota; Viridiplantae; Streptophyta; Magnoliopsida; Poales; Poaceae. The record is from RNAcentral.
UAUAUAUAUUGGUGGUUUAGGGCUGAUUUGACACAUAACUUUUGCCACGUGCAACUCAACCCUAGACCACAUAGUUCUACCUCUAGAUCGGAUUUCUGCGAAGCUCGGACGGAGCCGUGCAGGAGUAGAUCAUCACCAUCACUGGCGCAUCGUCACACUGUCAGAGAACUCAUGUACUUCUCCGUCUCUCUUGCUGGAUCAAGAGGGCCGAGGCCGUCAUCAAGUUGUACGUGUGCUGAAUGUGGAGGUGUCGUCCGUUCGGCGCUAGAUCGGAAUGGAUCGUGGGACGGAUCGCGGGACGGCUUGUGGGAUGGAUCAAGGGAAGGUUCGUGGGACGGUUCGAGGGACAUGAAGACGUUCCACUACAUCAACCGCGUUUCUUAACGCUUCCCGUUGAGCGAUCUACAAGGGUACGUAGAUCUAAUAUCCACUCGUAGAUGGACAUCACCAUGGUAGGUCUUCGUGUGCGUAGGAAAAAUUUUGUUUCCCAUGCAACGUUCCCCAACAUCUACUUCCCUGUCUCUCUUGCUGGAUCAAGAAGGCGGAGAUCGUCAUCGAGUUGUACGUGUGCUAAACGCGGAGGUGACGUCCGUUCGGCGCUAGAUCGGAAUGGAUCGUGGGACGACGGUGAUUUGAAUUACGAAGUUGUACCACUACAUCAACCGCGUCUCUUAACGCUUCCCGCUUAGCGAUCUACAAGGGUAUGUGGAUCCAAUCUCCCUCGCGUACAUGAACAUCACCAUGAUAGGUCUUCGUGUGUGUAGGAAAUUUUUUGUUUCCCAUGCAACGUUCUCCAACACUCUGGUACCUCCCUACCAAACUUAUGGCAAGGUUCACAUCAGGUCUGGUACACAGCAUGGCAUACAUGAUAGAGCCUAUGGCUGAAACAUAGGGGACGGUACUCAUCUUUUCUCUAUCUUCCGCCGUGGUCGGCCGUUGAGUCGCACUCAACCUCACACCUUGCAAUACAGGCAAGAACCCCUUCUUGUCCUUCUCCAUAUUGAACCUCUUCAAUAUCUUGUCAAGGUAUGUGCUUUGUGAAAGACCUAUGAGGAGUCUCGAUCUUUCUCUAUAGAUCUUGAUGCCUAAUAUGUAAGCAGCUUAUCCAAGGUCCUUCAAUGAAAAACUCUUAUUCAAAUAGGCCUUGAUGCUUUCCAAUAGUUCUAUAUCAUUUCCCAUCAACAAUAUGUCAUCCACAUAUAAUAUGAGAAAUGCUACAGAGCUCCCACUCACUUUCUUGUAAAUAUAGGCUUCUCCAUAAGUCUGUAUAAACCCAAACGCUUUGAUCACCUCAUCAAAGAGAAUGUUCCAACUCCGAGAUGCUUGCACCAGCCCAUAGAUGGAGCGUUGGAGCUUGCAUACCUUGUUAGCACUCCUAGGAUCGAGAAAACCUUCCGGAUGUAUCAUAUACAAUUCUUAUUUAAGAAAGCCGUUCAGGGAUGCUGUUUUGACAUCCAUUUGCCAGAUUUCAUAAUCAUAAAAUGCAGCAAUUGCUAACAUGAUUCGGACCGACUUCAGCAUCGCUGCGGUUGAGAAGGUAUCAUCGUAGUCAAUUCCUUGAACUUGUCGAUAACCCUUAGCAACAAGUCGAGCCUUGUAGAUGGUCACAUUACCAUCCGCGUCAGUCUUCUUCUUAAAUAUCCAUUUAUUUUCUAUGGCUCGCCGAUCAACGGGAAAGUCCACCAAAGUCCAUACUUUGUUCUCAUACAUGGAUCCUAUCUCGGAUUUCAUGGCCUCAAGCCAUUUGUUGUAAUCCGGGCCCGCCAUCGCUUCUUCAUAGUUCGAAGGUUUACUGUUGUCUAAGAACAUGAUUUCCAUGACAGGGUUGUCGUACCACUCUCGUGUGGAGCGUACCCUUGUCGACCUUCGUGGUUCAAUAGCAACUUGAUCCGAAGUGUCAUGAUCAUCAUCAUUAACUUCAUCUCUAGCCAGUGCAGGCGCCUUAGAAACAUUUUCUCGCGAUGCGCUACUCUCUAGUUCGAGAGGAGGUACAAUUACCUCAUCAAGUUUUAUUUUCCUCCCACUUACUUAUUUUGAGAGAAACUCUAUCUCUAGAAAGGAUCCGUUCUUAGCAACAAAGAUCUUGCCUUCGGAUCUAAGAUAGAAGGUGUGCCCAAUAGUUUCCUUAGGGUAUCCUAUGAAGACGCAUUUUUCCGCUUUGGGUUCGAGCUUCUCUGGUUGAAGUUUCUUCACGUAAGCAUCAUAGCCCCAAACUUUAAGAAACGAUAGCUUACGUUCCUUGCCAAACCAUAAUUCAUAUGGUGUCGUCUUAACGGAUUUAGACGGUGCCCUAUUUAAAGUGAAUGCGGCAGUUUCCAAUGCAUAUCCUCAAAAUGAUAGCGGUAAAUCGGUAAGAGAUAUCAUAGAUCGCACCAUAUCUAAUAAAGUGGGAUUACGACGUUCAGACACACCGUUACGCUGCGGUGUGUCACGCAGCGUGAGUUCUGAAACAAUUCCACUUUUCCGUAGGUGUAUGCCAAACUCAUGACUCAAAUAUUCUCCUCCACGAUCAGAUCGUAGAAACUUUAUUUUCUUGUCGCGUUGAUUCUCCACCUCACUCUGAAAUUCCUUGAACUUUUCAAAGGUUUCAGACUUGUGUUUCAUUAAGUAGACAUACCCAUAUCUACUUAAAUCAUCAGUGAGAGUGAGAACAUAACGAUAGCCACCGUAAGCUUCAACGCUCAUUGGACCGCAUACAUUGGUAUGUAUUAUUUCCAACAAGUUAGUUGCUCGCUCCAUUGUUCCAGAGAACAGAGUCUUGGUCAUCUUGCCCAUGAGGCACGGUUAACAUGUGUCAAAUGAUUCAAAAUCAAGUGACUCCAAAAGUCCAUCCGGAUGGAGUUUCUUCAUGCGCUUUACGCUGAUAUGACCAAGGCGGCAGUGCCACAAGUAUGUGGGACUAUCAUCAUCAACUUUACAUCUUUUAGCACUCAUGCUAUGAAUAUGUGUAACAUCACAAUCGAGAUUCAUUAGGAAUAAACCAUUAACCAGCGGGGCAUGACCAUAAAAUAUACCACUCAUAUAAAUAGAACAACCAUUAUUCUCAGAUUUAAAUGAGUAGCCAUCUUGCAUCAAGCGAGAUCCCGAUACAAUGUUCAUGCUUAAAGCUGGUACUAAAUAACAAUUACUAAGGUUUAUAACUAAUCCCGAAGGUAGAUGUAGAGAUAGCGUGCCGAUGGAGAUCACAUCGACCUUGGAACCAUUCCCGAUGUGCAUCGUCACCUCGUCCUUAGCCAUCCUACGUUUGUUCCGUAGUUCCUGCUUAGAGUUGCAAAUGUGAGCAACAACACUGGUAUCAAAUACCCAGGAGCUACUACGAGCGCUGGUAAGGUACACAUCAAUAACAAGUAUAUCACAUAUACCUUUGACGUUGUCGGCCUUCUUGUUCGCGAAGUACUUGGGGCAAUUCCGCUUCCAUGAACGGUUCCCUUGCAGUAGUAGCACUCAGUCUCAGGCUUAGGUCCUUUCUUUGACUUCUUCCCGGCAACUGGCUUACCGGGCGCGACAACACCUUUGCGGUGGUGGUCUUAUUGACCAUCAACACUUGAUGCUCUUUCUUGAUUUCUACCUCUGCAGAUUUCAGCAUUGAAUACAACUUGGGAAUAGCCUUUUCCAUCCCUUGCAUGUUGUAAUUCAUCACAAAGCCUUUGUAGCUAGGUGGAAGUGAUUGGAGGAUUAUGUCAAUGACCGCAUCAUCCGGAAGUUCAACUCCCAAUUGAGUCAAGCGGUUGUGCAACCCAGACAUUCUGAGUAUGUGCUCACUGACAGAACUAUUCUCCUCCAUCUUAUAGCUAAAGAACUUGUCGGAGACUUCAUAUCUCUCGACCCGGGCAUGAGCUUGAAAAAACGUUUCAGCUCCUCGGACAUCUCAUAUGCUCCGUCCUUCUCAAAACGCCUUUGGAGCCCUGGUUCUAAACUGUAAAGCAUGCCGCACUGAACGAGAGAGUAGUCAUCACUCCGCGACUGCCAGGCGUUCCUAAUGUCCUGGGUUGCCACGAGAACGGGCGGAUCACCUAGCGUUGCAUCAAGGACAUAUGCCUUCUUGGAAUCCAUGAGGAUGAGCUUUAAGUUACGAGCCCAGUCCGCAUAGUUGCUCCCAUCGUCUUUCAGCUUGGUUUUCUCUAGGAACGCGUUGAAGUUGAAUGGGACAUUUGCGUUGGCCAUUGGAUCUACAAUAUUUGUAAAGACAAUUUUAGACUAAGUUCAUGAUAAUUAAAUUCAUCUAAUCAAAUUAAUAAUGAACUCCCACGUAUAUCGACAUCCCUCUAGUCAUCCAAGUGUUACAUGAUCCACGUCGACUAGUCCGUGUCCGGUCAUCACGUGAGACGGACUAGUCAUCAAUGGUGAGCAUCUCCAUGCUGAUCGUAUCAACCAUACGACUCAUGUUCGACCUUUAGGUCUCCCUUAUUCGAGGCCAUGUCUGUACAUGCUAGGCUCGUCAAGUCAAGCUAAGUGUUUUUCGUGUGUAAACUGGCUUACACCUAUUGUAUGCGAACAUUAGAAUCUAUCACACCCGACCAUCACAUGGUGCUUCGAGACAACGAACCUUCGCAAUGGUGCACACUUAGGGGAAUACUUAUCUCGAAAUUUUAAUGAGGGAUCAUCUUAUCUUUGCUACCGUCGUUCUAAGCAAUAAGAUGAAAAACAUGAUAAACAUCACAUGCAACCAUAUAGUGACAUGACAUGGCUAAUAUCAUUUUGCUCCUUUGAUCAGCAUCUUCGGGGCACCAUGAUCAUCAUCGUCACUGGCAUGAAACCAUGAUCUCAAUCAUUGUGUCUCCGUGAAGUCGUCACACCAACUAUUACUUCUACUACUAUAGCUAAUCGUUAGCGAUAAAGUAAAGUAAUCAACAUGUCAUUGCAUCUCAUACAAUAAAUUAAGACAACUCCUAUGGCUCCUGUCGGUUGUCAUACUCAUCGACAUGCAAGUCAUGAAUCCUAUUACAAGAACAUGAUCAAUCUCAUACAUCACAUAUGUAACAUCACAUCCUUUUGGCCAUAUCACAUCACAUAGCAUACCCUGCAAAAACAAGUUAGACGUCCUCUAAUUGUUGUUGCAAGUUUUACGUGGUUGGUUAGGGUUUCUAGCAAUAACGUUUCUCACCUACGUGACAGCCACAACAUAGAUACCCAAUGCUAUUUACCCUUCAUAAGGACCCUUUUCAUCAAAUCCGAUUUGACUAAAGUGGGAGAGACAUAUACCCACUAGCCACCUUAUGCACCAAGUGCAUGUCUGUCGGUGGAACCAGUCUCACGUAGGCGUACGUGUAAGGUCGGUCCAGACCGCUUCAUCCCACAAUACCACCGAAAAAGAUAAGACUAGUAACGGCAAGCAAGUUGACAAAUCAGCACCCACAACUUUUGUGUUCUACUCGUGCAUAGAAUCUACGCAUAGAACCUCGGCUCAGAUGCCACUGAAGGGGAACGUAGUAAUUUCAAAAAAAAUCCUACACCAUACAAGGAUCUAUCUAUGGAGAAACCAGCAACGAGAGAGGUUGUAGAGCAUCUUCAUACCUUUGAAGAUCACUAAACGAAAGCGUUACUAUGAACGCGGUUGAUGGAGUCGUACUCACAGCAACUCAGAUCGCGGUGAAUUCUGAUCUAUGUGCCGAACUGCGGCACCUCCGCGUUCAACACACGUGCAGUCCAGUGAUGUCUCCCGCGCCUUGAUCCAUCAAGGAGGAGGGAGAGGUUGAGGGAGAGAUCUCCACAGCACGACGGCGUGGUGGCGGUGGAGCCACGUGGUUCUCCGGCAGGGCUUCGUUGAGCUAUGCAGAGGACGAGGAGAGAGAGGUGUAGGGCUGCGCCGGGAGAGGAAGAAAUCGUGUCUCCAAAAGCCAAAACCCAAGGGUGUGGCAGCUCUAGAUGGGGCAGGGAGGGCGGUGACCAAGGGUGGAGAGAGGGGGACGCACCCUAGGUGGGCCUUGGGCCUCCUCUACGCCUAGGGUUUUCCCCCUCCCGCUCUCCUUGCGCCUUGGGCUGAGAGGGGAGGGCGCACCAGCCCACUCUGGGCUGGUUCCCUUUCUCCUUUUGGCCCAUAAAAGCCUUUGGGGCUAGUGGCCCCUCCCGGUGGACCCGCAGAACCCUACCGGUGGUCCCGGUACGUUACCGGUGAUGCCCGAAACACUUUCGGUGUCCAAAACCCUUCAUCCCAUAUAUAUCAAUCUUUACCUCCGGACCAUUCCGGAGCUCCCCGUGACAUUCGGGAUCUCAUCCGGGACUCCGAACAACCUUCGGUAACCAUGUACACUAUUUCCCUACAACCCUAGCGUCAUCGAACCUUAAGUGUGUAAACCCUACGGGUUCGGGAGACAUGCAGACAAGACCGAGACAUCUCUCCGGUCAAUAACCAACAGCGGGUUCUGGAUAUCCAUGUUGGUUCCCACAUGUUCCACGAUGAUCUCAUUGGAUGAACCACGAUGUCGAGGAUUCAAUCAAUCCCGUAUGCAAUUCCCUUUGUCUAUCAGUAUGAUACGUGCCCGAGAUUCGAUCGUCGGUAUCCCUAUACCUUGUUCAAUCUCGUUACCGGCAAGUCUCUUUACUCGUUCCGUAACACAUCAUCCCGUGGCUAACCCCUUAGUCACACUGAGCUCAAUAUGAUGAUGGAUUACCGAGUGGGCCCAGAGAUACCUCUUCCUCACGUGGAGUGACAAAUCCCGGUCUCGAGUCGUACAACUCAACAAACACUUUCGGAGAUACCCGUAGUGCACCUUUAUAAUCAUCCAGUUACGUUGUGACGUUUGGUACACCCAAAGCACUCCUACGGUAUCUGGGAGUUGCGCAAUCUCACUAUCUAAGGAAAUGAUACUUGACAUUAUAAAAGCUUUAGCGGACGAACAACAUGAUCUAGUGCUAUGCUUAGGAUUGGGUCUUGUCCAUCACAUCAUUCUCCAAUGAUGUGAUCCUGUUAUCAAUGACAUCCAAUGUCCAUGAUCAAGAAACCAUGAUCAUCUAUUAAUCAACAAACUAGCCAACUAGAGGCUCACUAGGGACACAUUGUGAUCUAUAUAUUCACACAUGUAUUUCGGUUUCUGGUUAUACAAUUAUAAAAUGAAUAAUAGACAAUUAUCAUGAACUAGAAAUAUAAUAAUAACAACUUUAUUAUUGCCUCUAGGGCAUAUUUCCAACAGAUCACACUAAAACUUUAUUCUACUAGAUCAAGAUAUAACCAAAAGGAUCGAACAAAGAAAAAAGAAGAAAGUAAAAGGUGUGAUGGUGAUACGAUACCGGGGUACCUCCCCCAAGCUUGGCACAAGCCAAGGGGAGUGCCCAUACCCAUGUAUUUAGUUGUCUUUCUUCGGAGGUGGUGAUGUUGUUGGAAGCUUAUCAAGUUUCCUCUUAAGCAUGAAAUUUUGUUCCCUCAGAUCGUCUACUUCCUUCUCGAGCCUCAAUAUCUUUUGACAUAAUUCAUCCUUAUUCUACUGCAGAAGAUGAGAAGGGAUAAAUAGAACCUUGGGGUUUCUCCUUGUAUUUGGGAGGCUCGACUUCUUGAACUCCACAUUCAUAUCUUCGGGUCGAGGCAAGGGAAUCUCCUCUUCGUCCGAGCUUUCUUCCACAUACUUGCAUAUCUCCAGUCCCUCCUCCUAGAACAAUACAUAAGGAUCUAAGUCCCCGUAGAGCUUGGGAUUGGAAAGAUAAAGCGAUAUGUAGCUCUCCCCAUCCGAAUCUUGGGACGACAUCUUACUCUAAAUGUGCUGCAGAAACAGCUCAAAACAAAAACAUGAGAUAUUGUCGUGAUACGAAGGUCAAAACCUUCGGGAGAUUAUAUAAUGAUUUUUUGCCGACCCGAGAGAGUAUUCCACAAGAAAACAGAGUCCAGAGUGUACACGAGGUGGCCACAAGCCUGCAGGGCUCGCCUAGGGGGUAGGCCGCGCCCCCUUGGCUUGUCGCCUCCUGGUGCACUUCUCGGACUGCUUUAAAUUUUCCUAAAAUUUUAAAUAUUCCAAAACUGAUAAAAAUUGCCAUUGGAAACGUUUUGGAGUCGGUUUGCUUACCGUAACACAUAUUCCUUUUCGGAGUCUGAAACGUUCUGAUAGGUCUACCAAAUGUACUCCUCUGGAGUUAUGGUAUUGAUAAUAUUGGUUUCAACAUUUAUGGGAGUACGUGAGAUAUAAUGUUUGAUUUUUUGCCCAUUUACCACCUUCGGUUUUGUGCCUUCGACAUUGUUGAUCUUGAUGGCACCGGAACAAUAUACUUUCUAGAUAAUGUAAGGCCCUUCCCAUUUAGAGAGAAGUUUUCCUGCAAAAAAUCUUAAACAAGAGUUGUAUAGCAAGACAUGAUCACCUACAUUGAAUUCACGCUUUUGUAUCCUUCUAUCAUGCCAUCUCUUAACCUUUUAUUUAAACAACUUACCAUUUUCAUAGGCCUGGGUUCUCCAUUCAUCAAGUGAGCUAAUGUUAAAUAACCUCUUCUCACGAGCAAGUUUGAAAUCAUAGUUAAGCUCUUUAUUUGCCCAAUAAGCUUUAUGUUCUAGCUCUAGAGGUAAGUGACAUGCUUUACCAUAAACCAUUUUAUACGAAGAUAUACCCAUAGGGUUUUUGUAAGCGGUUUUAUAAGCCCAUAAUACGGAAACGGCCUCAACCCAAAAGUGAGGUGGAAGAGAAGCGUCGAUCAUCAGUGCACGAGCCGUCUCAAGUAGAUGAUGAUGCUUGCGUUCCGCAAUGCCAUUCUGAGCAUGGGCACCAGGACAUGAUAACUAAGCAAGAGUACCCUGUUCUGCGAGAAAGGCAUGCAAUAUCUGGGAGAUAUACUCUCCAGCGGAGUCAGCACGAAAAGUGCGAAUAGGCGUGGAAAACUGGUUGUGAACCAUGGCAGCAAGUCAUUUGUAUAUAGAGAGAACCUCGCUAUGAGAUUUCAUAAAACAGAUCCAAGUGUAGCGAUGGAAAUCAUCAAUAAACAAAACAUAAUAGCGAUGGCCACCUUUCGAAUAAAAGGGAGCAGGUCCCCAUACAUCAGAAUGAACUAAGUCAAAAGGACGCUGAGAUACUGACUCACUAGUAGGAUAAGGUAAUUUAGUCUGUUUGCCAAGCCUACAACCAUUACAAUGUAUAGAUACAUCUCCGGAUACAGACCCUAAGACACCCUCACGCACCAACGAUGAUAAGCGGGAACCACAUAGGUGGUCAAGUCGAUGAUGCCACUGUUGGAAGGUCAUAUGAGAGGAGGCAGCAAGAGCAUGAGAACUGGCAGAAGUGGUGGCAGCGGAAGGAACAUGAAGCCAGUCAACCUCCCAAAGACCCUUCGACUCACGACGCCGAGGGCCAGCACCAACCAGAGCCUUGGUGUGAAGCUCCUGAAUAGAGCAAGAGUUAGUAUCAAGAAUUACACGACAACCAGAGUCAGUAAGUUGGGUAGCGGAGAAGAGAUUGAUGGUAAGACGGGGAACAUGAGAAACAUUAGGAACGGAAAAGGACGGGGUAGAAAGAGUGCCACAACUAGCAACAGGAAGAGGAGUGCCAUCGGCACUGAGAACAUUAACAGGCGAAACAAGAGGUUGAAGAGAAGACAACCCGGAAGAAUGAGAAGACAUAUGAAAACAAGCUCCAGAAUCCAGAACCCACGAAGAUGUACCUGACUGUGUAGGUGCCGAUGGUGAUGAAGGGGUGGGAGCUAUCGCCACAGCAGCGUAACCCGUCGAUGAAGAGUCAGAAGAAGCCAGAAGACACUUGAGCCGGAUAAUGUCCUCGUCAGUGAGUGAUGGAUUCGAGGAAGACACAUGACUCCCACUGGAGGAAGAACGCCUCUGGUCUCGCUGUUUCUGGCGACAAUCAGCCUCUGAAUGGCCUGACCUGGAGCAGUAGCCCCAGAAUGUAUCACGACACGAUCGUCCCUUCUCAGCAUAAGGAGGGAGACCCACCCCCUGCGGGUGUGGGCGGGAGUGGCGGUGCAGGGGAACGAGCAAAUGACAUUCGAGCUCGGACAGCCAACACAGAGGGAACAACAAGCAACCCAGCAGAACAAAGGCGGGUCUCCUCAGCACGAAGCUCAGCAAGAACCUCUAUGAUAGGAACAUGGCCUCGAGCAAGCAAGUGAGCACGCGGAGGCUCAAACUCAGAGCUGAGGCGAGCUAAUAACUCAUGGACACGCUGAAACUCCAAAUCAGACCGCAUAGUGUGGAAACAACGGCAAGCUCCACACACAACUAUCGGAAGAGAGUUAAGUUGGCGCCAUAUGGCAGAACUCUGUGUGUAGAACUCAUCAACAAAAGAGUGACCUUCCUAAAGAGCAUGCUCCUGACACAUCACCGAUAGGUACAGAGCAUCACCAAAGGGCUGAUAGCGCUGACAGAGAUAAGACCAGAUUGCUGCAACGGUGCCGAGACCCAUGAACUCGGAGGCACACUGAGGAAGGACACUCGUAGUGAGAACAACAGUGGCCCGAGCAUCCUCGUUGCACCACUGAAUGUAAGCAGACAAAUCAUCCCGGUAGACAGAAAGGUCAUCUAAAUAAGCAGAUACCUGAUGAUCAUAAGUCUCGACCACAGCAUCAUCGAGAGCCUUGGAUGUAUCCUGAUCAGCCUAGGAAGCAUCAGCAACGAAAAUAGGCGGCACCGGUGGGGUAGGAGCCACAAGAGCAACAUGGCAGGGCGGACAGGGAAGCUCGCCAGAGAGGACACCCCAUAGCAGAAGAUCGCGCAUGUGGAUACACAUAAAGCCCACAAACUCAGCAUAGUUGGUGCCAUCGAAGAUCACCGAGCACUAAGGAACAACGACAUAUCUCAAAGAGAACAUGAUGAGCUCCCUCUCUCUGAUUCUUCUUUUUUGGAAGUCAACCUGAUCCCGAUCUAGAUCAGGGCCUAACCGGACCAGCGGCUGAGCAUGGCGGCAACGGGCGACCCACGGGGCAGGAAGCCGCCGGGUAGGCCGGAUGGCUGUCUGCAGCAGUUGCAGCCAGACGACAGCUGCAGGAAGCAGCACCCACGGCGGCUGGGACGAAGGAGAGCGCCGGCCGGAUGCGGCACCGGUAGCAGCACAACUGAGGCGAGACCGAGCGAGGAUCAGCCGACGGCGGUGGAUGUAACGCCCAAGAUGCAGUCCUAUCCUUAUUUUUAGCACGAGGGCCUCGGCAGGGAUAGAAACGCAUCUCGUCGUUUCGCAACAAUGGAUAGUUACAAGUACAUGUACUGAAAAGAUGAGUAUAAAGAGUUGGCUUACACUCGCCACAUGCUACAUCAGAGUCACAUCAGUUCAAUACAUGCAUUCAUCAUGAAGAAGAGAAGGGUCCGACUACGGACAGAAACAAACGAUAAAAUAACGACGUCCGUCCUUGCUAUCCCAGGUUGCCGGCCUCGAACCCAUCCUAGAUCGACGAUGAAGAAGAAGAAGAAACUCCAAAUGAACAAUCAACGCGCUCGCGUCAAGUAACCCUUUACAUGUACCUGCAACUGGUGUUGUAGUAAUCUGUGAGCCAUAGGGGACUCGGCAAUCUCAUUUCCAAAGGUAUCAAGACUAGCAAAGCUUAAUGGGUGAGGUAAGGUUAAGUGGUGAGGCUGCAGCAAGCGACUAAGCAUUUAUUUAGUGGCUAAAUUAUGAGUACAAGAAUAAAGAGGGGGGUGAUCUACGCAUAGCGGACGUGAACUACUGAUGAUCAACUGAAUGAUCCUUAACACCUGCCUACGUCAGACAUAACCCCACCGUGUCCUCGAUCGGAGAAGGAGCUCACGAAAGAGACAGUCACGGUUACGCAGUCAGUUGGUAUAUUUUAAUUAAGCUUACUUCAAGUUUUCUAGAACAGGAUGUUAAACAAAGUUUCCACGUUGCCACAUAACCGCGGGCACGACUUUCCAAAAGAUUUAACCCUACAGGGGUGCUCCAACUAGUCCAUCACAAACUACCACACGUUGCAACGGAAUGACCUCGAUCAGGGAGACACAUGAUCUCCUCGGGUUCCCAUUGGAAAAUCUAAACCUCGAGAUAGCCCAAAGCAUCCUCGAAAUCCCUCGCACAAGACACUCGAGAAAGGUAAAACAAGUCCAGCAAGGCCGCCCGGCGUGUCGACGAUCCCGAUAGGAGCCGCGUAUCUCGUUCUCAGGACACGACGGAUGGAAAAGCCUACGAGUAAAACCAAACCUCGAGUUUCCUCGCGGUGGCCCUGCAGUCUACCCGUUUGGGACCAACACCAUCAGCACUGCCCCCCCCUGUAUUAUGUUGAAUUACUCCUCGGGUUCAUGGUGCCCUAUGUUUUUCCGUAUUGACAGAAUUAUUAUGUUGGCAAAUAUAGUACCAAUGUUGGGCCUUGCCAGACGAGCUUUAUCCCAAAACGAGAAUCUAGGGGGUUCGCAUAACAACCCCAAGCAUGUUAGGAGCGCUCAUUUAUGGAACAUAACACCGGUAGCCAAAACUAAGGCGGCAAAGGUGGAACAAAACAUCGGGCUAGAAAGGCCGAGCCUUCCACCUUUUACCAAGUAUAUAGGUGCAUUAAAUUAAAUAGCAUUUAAUAGGGUGUUAUAACAAGGAACACAUGUUUUCACAUGGAAGCAAUUGCACCUACAACUAGCAAUGCUAACAAAUGGUUAAGCAAGCGGUAACAUAGCCAAUCAGUGGUUUGCUAGGUUGUAGAAAGGUUGAAGGUUUUCGUGGCAAUGUUGGGAGGGUGAUAUUUAACAGGUGGUAGGCAGUGAGACAUAACGAUAGAAAUGAAACAACUAGCAUGGCAAUGAUAGUAAUGGUAUCUAGGGAAAUGGUCAUCUUUCCUGAGAUCCCGCUUGGAACAAAAACAACUCUGUGAAGCAGACAAACCGACAUAGUCGAACGGGUCCUCACUUUUCGACACGCUUGCGAAACUCUAUCGAGACAAAGCAAACCGGAAACAAGUAUCAACACCGAUAUUCACCACAGCACAUGCACGACAUAAUGCACAACACGUAUGAUUCAUGAACGGUUUCAAUUGUGCAAGGCAAGACAUGACAACUCACAUCAAUCAAACACUACACAUUAAGUGAAGCUGAUUAUGCAACGAGUUGCAUAUUGACCAAACUCCACAUCUGAAUUAUUUAGUUCUAUCCCAAUUAAGUACACGGCAAUAUUAUAUGUUGUUAAACAUGGCAAGAGGUGAAGUGUAAUUAAACUACCUAUCUAGGCAUUUUAAAUCAGGUCGGAAACGACAUAUAGCAUCUCUAAAAUGACCCCACGCAUUAAAUUCGAAUUAUGUCCAGAUCUGAACUAACAUGUUUUGAUACUUGUUAAACAGAAAAAUAAAGUGGUUCACGUUAUUCUACGCAUCAUUCCAAUCAAUUUACACAUAGAGAUCAUUGCAAACGGAGCUACGGUUCAAAAGAUAUGAUCACCGCAAGAUAUGAUGCCAUGAAUGCAAUAUGUAUGCGAAUGACAGCCACAAGCAUUCCAAACCAAGAACGCAGCAACAUAAUAUGAAACUACAUGAGAUUCUAAGCAAGUUUCAUAUAUGACACGUUCAAAACGGAGCAACGGUUCAAGAAUUACAAGCAAAACAAGAAAUAGCUACAAUCUGCCAAAACAACAACAAGGCAUUUUCUAUACCCCAAACCAACAAGCUACAUAAUUCUAAAAUGCUCAAACAAGACAUGAGCAGUAGUGGUCGAGAUGCACAACAACACCCUACUAAAUACAACUAGCAUGGAACACUAGGAAAAGAACUCACAAAGUGGCAUCUCGCACACAGUUUCAGACUUAGAGAAAAUAACAGUUUGACAUUGCAGUUUUCAACCAGAAGGCAUAUUGACAACAGUAAAACUAUAUGCUACUGGGCACCGAAUCGCAUGAAAAUUUACAUCAUGCUAGAGAAUCUUAAGGACUACAAAUAACUCCAUUGCACCAACCUCAAACAAGUUGUAGAUCACUAGCAAAACUCAUGACAAGAUAGCAACAAAAUAUAACAGAUUUCAGACUUAGAAAUAUUUCAGCACCUCCAAAUCAGCACUAUUUUCUAGCAUGUUGGCAACAAGCAAACAACACCUAAAUAUGAAUUUCUAUAGCAACCAAAAAUACCAGGGGCUAGCUUACAUAUCCAAGAGCAUAUCUCUAGUUCACAACUAAUUCAUAUCAUGCAGUGAAUAAAUCACACAAAAUAAACAAGAGGGCAACAUGGCAAAAAAUCAUGCACGCUAACUUACUCGGAAGGCAAAACUAAAUGCACAGUUAAAUUCUAUGGAUUUUUCUAUCCCGAAAACAUAUAUAAUAUGUGGGGUUGAAAAAUAAAACUAACGUCACACAUAUAUGCGACAAUAUGUCCUAAACACGACAUAGCAAACUGUUGAUAGCUCCUACAUGCAAAAAUGCAAGAAACUACUCUAAAAUACAUGGAAAAGGGUCACUAACAUCGUGAACAUUUUAUCUACGGGAUUUGAACAAACCGGACGUGCACAAAAAUAUCUACGAAUAUUAACCUAUUAGGACAACACGCAAAUCUAGGCAAAUGGCGGGUCAAACUACCCCAAACAUGCAUGCAAGUUGCAAAAUAAUGUACUACGCGAAAAACUACACAAGUUACAUAUAACAUUCGUCGUGAUCCGACGCACGAAUAAAAAUCUUCGGGAGUUUUAAAAUCAUGCAUCUUCCUGAAAUAAAAUAAAUCCGAAAUCCUAAAAACAUAACCACCAGGCCGAAUCUGUCAACUGGGCCCAAACAGGGCAGGGCACAGCUUAACUAAACCACGCUACUGGUGCUGGAUAGGGCAGCAGAGGCUCACCUUCGUGGGCUCGAGGCCCAUCUCGGAGGAGAGGCAGGUGGGCCGAGGGAGGCAGGCUGACUCUGGCUGGCGCGCGCUGGGCGGGAGGCCCACGCGGCGCAACGGUCAACGGGGCUGCUCCCGACGGAUCUCGUCAAAUCGAAUCGACGGGCAACGUGCUCGCGACGGGAGCAUAGGGCAAUGGGACACGAGGCGGUGGCUUUACCUGGCGCGAGGCGGCGGCGCGGGGCUUUGGUGCCAGCGGGAGGCGGCGAUGCGGGGAGGUGUUGCGGCGGUGGAAGGCAGUCGGGGCUGGCCGGAUCCGGGGCAGCGAGCUCCAGCGAGGGAUGGCUUGAGGCAGCUCGGGCCGCUAGCUGCCAUGGAAGGGGCUUGCGAGCUCUCUCUCUGGCUGCACUUCGUUCGCUGGACAUGUUUGGUAGGUGGGAAAACCAGGUGAAUCUGGGCCUUUGGAUGGGAAUCCAAUGGUCCAGAUCUGAUCUGGAAUGAGAUUUCGGGGGAGAGAGAAGAUGGGGCUAGCAGAUGGGGUUUUCUAGGGGGUGGGUGCAAAAUGGCUAGGGGAAAACCCUAGUGGAGUGAGAGAGCUCCACCAUGGGGUGGUUCUUAUAUAGGGUUGGGCUAUGGGGGGAUGGACCUCGUCCGUCCGAUCGCGAUCCGAUGACCACGAACGGAGGAAGUGGCUAGAUGGUUCUAAUGGGUUGUGUAGUUGGGCUAUGGAGGGAUGAGAGGGAAAUGGCGCGGCCCAUGAAAAAGUUUUUAAAACAUCGAACGUCCCGAUAAUUCCACCAGCUAUAGUAUCGCUAUAUAAUAAAUGUUACGGGUAUCAAACGAGCUCCGAUUGCGACGAAAAUUGGCACGCGGCCUGCCUACAUUAAAAUAAGACCGCACACCAAGUUACGACCCAAACCGAGAAUAUUUUAAAAACACUUUUAAAAACAAUAUUUUUAACGGUGUCGCGGGCGUGUGCGAGUGUGGUCGGGUUCAAAACGGACAAUGACGAACACAGAGAGAAUCAACAACUAAUAACGGAUGCAAGUUUUGAAAACUUAUGGCAACAGAGUGCCGAUGCAAUGCAGAUGAUGCGCAUGAUGCGAUGAUGAACGCAGCAAACAAAAUAAUAACACGGCGGCAACGUAAUAAAAGGGGAAUUUUCUAGAGCGUCGGUCUCGGACUGUCAUAGUGGAUCCGGGUGGGACCGGUCGAGAAGCAGCUGGCUGUGGCAGAGUCUGGGCUGGUUUGGGCGAGGAAACACCGGCAGCAAUGGUUUCUGGGCGGGGCCGGACCUGGGGCGGGCGGCGGCAACACGAUGGGGCACAGCCUGGCAGGAGGAGAGCGGGCGGCGAGCUCAGGGGGAGCCAAAUGAGAGGAGGGCGGCCGGAGCAGCUUGCUCGCAUCUAGUAGUGGCGGCGAUGGUGGAGGAGGAGAAAACGGAGAUGCGGCGUACGGGGUGGGAGAGAACCUUAGCAUCUGAUACCUUGUUAGGAAUGAGCAACUGUCAUUACAGGGGGGCAUGGGCCAGUACAUAUACAUAUGGUAAAAGGCAAGAAACCCCUUAUACAAUGGGGAUACAAAGUAAAGGGACUAUACACAUCUAACAACAUGGUCAUCUUUAUAUAAUGAAGGGUACACUUUUAGAGCUACAGAAUAAUGUUUGAAAAAGGCUGUAAUGAUGUACAAGCAUCAUUGUUAUUUGAGAUGAACUCCUCACAUGUUGCUUGUUUUCCAAUCUCAGCAUAUUCAGUUAUGUGAACACUCCUUGUUGUCAUUGUCAUUUGUUGUCUAACAGUAUUAAGAUUGUGGGGAGCUAGAAUCAAGUUCAGAAUGGAGUGCUAGCACUUUUGAUUGUUUCAAAGUAACAUAUGCAUGUCAACAAAAUCAUCUUUAAAAAGGUAGGUAAAAUAGACAUAUAAGAGAGACACUAAGCAACUUGAGUAUUUGAUAUCAAAAUUGCCCCUCUUCCUGUGCACAUGUAGUUUGAACAAUUAAAACAUCAACGGCAAAAAUCAAUCCCUGCCCGAUUUUGAAGUUAUUCUAGCCAAAAGAUGAAUUGAGAUAAUUGCAGGGCACUACCACACUUGGGCACGUCGUGGCUGAUAGGUACCAAUAGUCAAAAGUUUUGCACGUCAAUACCACUUCACGGACUAAUUGUUGCGAAACGGGAUGACAAACGUAUAAACCCGUAUUGACCACGUUUCUAACAUACCUAGCCUACAUGUCAGGCGACACGGUGGCGUACAUGGACCGAACCGGCUACCAAACCGGCUCGGUCGCUCGAUGUGUCCCAUUCAAACCAGGUCGAACUAGACGAACCCUAGCCUUGCUCCCCCCUCUCCCUCUCUGUGCGGCGACUCCCGGCGGCGGUGACGUUGCGGGCGGGUAAGGAGACCUUCCCGGCCUCGGGCUAGAUGACCACGUAGGUCUGGCUGUGGACGACGGCGACUCCAGUUCGUACCACUCCUCCCCUGAUGAUGAGGAUUUGGAGGAGGAGGCGGCACUGUCCAUGGAGGACAGUAUGAAGCUGGCAGAGAUCUGGGUGGCCAACCCUACCAGUAGCCAUCACUGGACCAGUGGUGCUGGUGGCGGGGUGGUGUAAGUGCCUCUACCCUAUCCCUCUUUCUUCCUAAUUAAAAUAUGGCGGGCUAGGGUUAGUUGCUCAUUUGAUAUUAUUUCUUUCAACUCUAGUUUGCAUGAUGCUAUUUGGGAACUUCGAAUUCACUUUGAUUUGCAGCCCAAUUUGGAUAUGAAGCUAUGUAGCUUAGAUGUUACAUUUUUGAACCUAUAUGCAGUGUUGCAAACACAAGGGUUUUAUUUCCCUGGUGAGUUGUACCACAUGAAACAUUUAGGCAUAGAAGAGGAGAGAGAGCAUGGCUUAGAAUUUAUUAACACAAACAUCAAAUUGCAGCAACUGAAGAAGGAAUAUAAGCAUAGUUUAGUUCUGAAUUUGCUAGUGAGGGCAACACCAACUUUUUCAUGUCAAAGAGAAGAGAUAUCAAAUGUCAGUAAUGUUGUAAAUGUCUGUCAUAGAGAAGAACAAUUAGCAGCAAUAUUGUAUCAACCAGUUGCUGUGUAUGAUCUCGGUGAGCAUGCAGUUCUUGUUGUUGAUCCACAAGGUGUUGUUUUUCAUAUCAGUGCUAUUCAACCUACUGUUGUGUGCACCCAAGAGAGCAUAAACUUUAGAAAGGACAAGCUCAAAGCUGUAAUGGAGGAAGAGCCAGUGUUUGAGCAGGCACAUAAUAGUAGUGAUGAAUCUGAGGAUGCAUAUGACAGUGAUAACAAUCCUUUCUGCAUGGAGAAGUACAAGAUUUCUGAAGAUGCAUAGAUAAUAGAGGGGAAUAAAUUAGCAAAGGAAGAAUAUGUAGAUUCAGAUGAAAAUUCAGAUAAGGAACAACUACAUUAUGAGGGUGACACUAAGGUUGAGGAUUUGUUUGAGAUGGAGGAGGAGGAGCAAAAGGAGGAGGAUGUCAAUGUUUUUGCAAGAGAAGAGCCUCUAAUGCAAAAAAAACCUGCAAAAAGGAGGAAGAAACUUGAAGUUAGGAAAGGCCCCACUACUAGCUCACAUUCAAGUGUGUUCGAGGAGGUGAAGCCUGGUUUCAUUCCAUCAUCAGAUGAAGAAGAUGAUUGGUUGUUGUUUGAGGAUGAAGAUGAUGGACAUGAGCCACUCUCAUUUGUUCUACCUAAAGGGGGGGAAGAGUAGGGCCAAGCAAGGGAAACCAAGGAUCUGGUACAAUGGCAAACUUGAGCAACCACAUCAGCAGUUAUGUCUGUACAUGUGCUUUAAGGAUCAACAUCAAUUCAGAGAAGCUUUGUUGAGCUUACACAUAACACAUGCCACAGACUUCAGGUAUCACAGAAACUCAGAUCAAAGGAUCAUUGCUAGGAGAGCACAAGAAGCAGUAUCCAAGACUUAGGGAUUAUGCUCAGACCAUCAUGGAUACAAACCCUGGUAGUAGAGUUGUAGUUACAACAGUUACUCCAAAACCUACUACAAAAAUACCACAUCCAGGACCAAGGUUUCUAUGUUCUUUUGCAUAAAUGGAGCAAGGGAGGGAUUUCUGAAUGGAUGCAGACCAUUCAUUGGUUAGUUAUGCCUUUAUUGUGCAUCACAAAUUUUCAUUGUUCACCACUGCUUUAUAGUGACAUAAAUUGUUCUUUGCUUGUAUCAACAGGUGUUGAUGGAUCCUUCAUUAAGCUGGCCACUGGUGCUCAAAUCCUUGCUGCCACUGGAAGGGAUGGCAAUAACAAUAGUUUCCCUCUUGCAUUUGAUAUAGUUGGACAAGAGGACACACCUAACUGGUGUUGGUUUCUACACCAAUUAAAGAUAUGUCUAGGAGGUGAAACUGGGAAAUUUGGUCCUUAUACUAUCAUGUCUCAUAGACAAAAGGUAUGCAUGCAUAUUCCUGUUAUUAAGUUCUGCAUUAGCAUUUUAUGUUAUAGAUGUAGUUGUACAACAGCUAAGUUUAGCAUGCUAUGUGAUCAGGGGUUGCAAAAUGCAGUAAAUCAAGUUUUCCCAAACUGUCAUCAAAGAUUUUGCCUUAGACACCUCUAUGCAAAUUUCCAGAAUGUUGGGUUUAGUGGGGAAGAUCUUAAGAAAUGCAUGGAUAAUGCCAGCUAUGCUUAUAACCAACACAAGUUUAACAUUGCCAUGAAUGAUGUGAAAAAUGAGAGCAAGGAAGAUUGCAAGUGGCUAAGUGGAAUACCUAAGCACACAUGGGCCAGGCAUGCUUUUGACACUAACUGCAAGAUAGACUUGGUUGUUAACAACCUGUCUAAGGAGUUCAACAAUUACAUGAUUGGAUAAGGACAAGUGGACCAGACAUAGAGCCACCCAAAUUUCAUGUGAAGAGGGGAAGAAAUAAAGAGAAGAGAAUAAAGGGCAGAUUUGAGGUUCCAAAACGAAAGGAUAGUUCAAGAAUGGCCACUAUAACAUGCAGCAAGUGUGGGCUCCAAGGCCACAAGUACACCAACUGCACACAACAGUUGAGACCAGAGUUGACUCUGAGGGAAAACAAGCAUGCGGUAAACCCUUGUUAAUUUCUUUGCAUCUUUUAUGUUCAUGUGCUAAAUCCUUUUGUGUUUAUGUGCUUCGCAAGGCACCUACAAGAUCAAGGAGUAAAGCAAGAUCACAGCCUCCACCUACAAGAUCACAGCCUCCACCUGCAAGAUCGCAGCCUCCACCUACAAGAUCUACAAGAAGGUCAACUAGUAGUGCUAGUGUUCAUAGGCCUUUCACUACCCCAAGAUUUUCUGCUGGAGGUUCAUCAUCUGCUCAUGCCCCAACAUAUGCAGCUAGAGGUUCAUCAUCUGCUCCUGCCCCAACAUAUGCAAUUGGAGGUUCAUCAUGUGUUCAAAGGCCAACAAACCAUUCUGGCUGGAUGGCAUUCUUUACUCCAGUGGUAACCAUCACUGAUGUAUGAGUACUUAGUAACUUAUGGUGUACUAAGUUCUAUGAUGUGUACUAAGUAACUUAUGGUGUACUAAGUUCUAUGAUGUGUACUAAGUGACUUAUUGUGUGCUAGUGGUAACCAUCACUGAUGUACUAAGUGACUUAUUGUGUACUAAGUUCUAUGAUCAGUACUAAGUGAUGUGUACUAAGUGAAUUCUUCUGUGGUAAGUGAUGAGUACUAAGUGAUUUUUCUGGUAAUAUGAUAUGCUAAUGACCCAAGCCAUCUAUCAAUGCAACAUAUAAAAAGAUAUAUAACAAACCACAACAUAGUGGGGUUGAACAUACAUCAAGUCACUUAAACAUGCAUAAUUCAGAGAUUCUUACAUUAGAACAUGGGUACAAACCAUAGCAUAGUGGAGUUCAACCUAACACAUUCAGAAGUUACAACCAGUACAUCCAUACAUUACAUUGCAUUAAAGAACCAUAAUUCACAAAAGGGCACCACAUCAUACUUCUUCUUCAUGAUCUUCAUCUUCAUCUAGCUCAUCCAUCCAAAAUGUCCCUGAUAUUCUUCAACUUCUCUUGGUUCUUCUCCACUGCCAUCAACUGAUCAGCAACCUCCUGCUUCAGCUCAUCCCGACGUUUAAUGAGAUUCUCCAUUCCUUUAUUCAGACCACCAAUGUGAAGGUCGAGCACCCCAAUGUCAUCUUUGAUUUUUUCCUCAGAAUUGUUCAGUUUAUCAACCUGAACCUUCAAAUUGUAGUUCUCUUCACUCUGGGUCUACCCACCUAACAAAAACACAAUUCUGAGGUUGCUGCAAUACAAAAAACACAUAUUAUAUUACUCUGUACAUCACACCAACUAAAAUGUCACCACCUACAUAAUAAAAACUACUAUUGAUUCAUUUAGUAGUAAUCAGUAGUAAUGAUUCAUUUAGUUAAAAUGUCACCACCUACAUAAAUAAAAAAUGAGCAGUACUAAUGACCACUACUAAGCUCCUGCCUAAACAAUGAGUACAUACAACUUGACAUAAACAAUGAGCUUAUGCACUUGUAACUAAGCUCAAUCUUUAGUAGUGCUACACACGAAAUAAGAAUGACCAUUUAUAAUAAACAAUGACCAUCAACAGGAACUAAGCUCAAUCUUUAGUAGUACUACACAGGAAAUAAGAAUGCCCAUUUGCAAUAAACAAUGACCAUCAGCAGGAAAUAAGCAUUCUAGAGCCUAAACUAAGCAUCACCAAAAACAGAGCAGCCCCAAGACAUAUCAUACUGUGGAAAAUGUAAAUACAAAAUAUAUCACACGGAUUCUCACCGGCUGAGAACACAGUAAAAAACUCCUGCCUGUCUCAAAUCCUUCAAAUGAUACCCGACGCUCACGCGACAGCCGAUGUCCGAGCAUACAUCCAGGACCGAAAUCUCGAUGCCCAUGAAGUCUUCGUCUUUGAUGCUAGAAGGGAUCUAAAGAACCAAACAAAAAAUCAGAGACAAAUCCCCCCCCCCAUAAUUCCAGAAACAGAAACUGUAACCCUAACCCUAGCUCUACAACUAACCCGGUACUACAUGCCGUCGGAGGAAGAGCUAAUGUCCACGCUGGACAUGUCGUUGCUACUUUCAUCCUCAUAAACUAUGGCGCGGCGGUGGUGGUCGCGGAGGUUGACAAUCGGCGGCGAGAGGGGCAGGGGCAAGGGAGUGCGAGGAGAAGGGGGGGAGGUGGCGUAUGGCUCGGUCGGCGGGGCCCGAGCCAGUUACAACGAGCGAACGAGCCAGUUCGGUCCAUGUACGCCACCAUGUCGCCUGACAUGCGGAUCAGGUAUGUCAGAUACGUGAUCAAUCCGUAUUUAUACGGCUGUCGGCCCGUUUCGCAACAAUAAGUCCGUGAAGUGGUACUGACGUGCAAAACUUUUGACUAUUGGUAUCUAUCCGCCAUGAUGUGUCCAAGUGUGCUAGUUCCUUGCAAUUAUCUCAUAUGGAAUUGCAUAGAAAAAAAUGAAAGAAUAUACGGAGAGGAGCUGGUACAUCUGAGCUGGUACAUCUGAAACUUGUAGGUUGUGACUUGGAAGUAAUACGUGCAAAUUCACCCCAUCAAGAAUCACAAGAAGAUUAGCCACUCCAUAGGUGACAGCAAACCCAAAAUCGUGCUCCUUGCCGUCCAGGAGGUUGCCCAAGAAUGGCGUGAUAUCAAUGUCAUAGGUAUGCAGAUUGAAUGAGACAAUGCCGGUGAUUGGCCGCGAGAGAAGCGGGUUGACACCGCCGGUGUAGAUGACAGUGAACGGCCAAACAUCACCUACCACAUGGUCAUCGACUUUAACAAUAACCUCCCGAAACGCACCAUUGCUAGGAAUGCUGGACAAAUUGUUGGCCUCAAUGUACUCUUUGGGAGGGUUCGUGUACCAGAAUUCAUCGCUGGAGUGGAACGAAACGAACACCUCAAGGACCGCCUGUUAGGUGUUCGACGGAAUGGAGAGGCUCUUGGAUUGCACGUCGGUGUCAUUCUGGACGGCGAACCACUGCCCGUCAUUCAGAGGCAAGCUUCUCGAGAUGGGUACAAUCAGAUCGGCUAGCGGUGUGAGCGGCGGCGGCUCGGGGUGGAAGUAGAGGAGGAGCGUGAGGUUGACGUGGUAGACACCCUUGUAGGUCUUAUCGACGAGAUUGCCAAGGUACACCGCGACCUCGCCGGGCUCCGCGAGGAGUGACGUGUACCUGGUGACGUCGCGGGAGACAGACCAGACAAUGCCGGUGGCGCGCGGCUCGGCGGUGCAGCUGCGGAGGAUCUUGGCGCCGGUGAGCCAGACGCUGAAGAUGCGAUCGAACUGGCGACCUCGGUAGUCGGUGCUCCACUCGAGCACCGCGAGCGACGCGCCCGUGUGCACGCGGCGGGAGGCACUCGGGCGGCGGUGACCGGGGGUCUGCCGUAUGUCUCGCCGAAGGAGUGGGACAGGAGUUAGAGCAUCUCCAACGGCCGCGCUUCGCGCCGCGUUCAAAAAAUGUGUUUGCCCCGUGCGCGUUUCGGCUGGUUUAGCGCAGGGAUAGGCGAUGGCUCUAACAGCCGCGCUAUAAUGCAGCGCGCGUCGCUCCAGCAGUGUCCAAAAAUGCAGCGCGCGCAGCACGCACAAACCACAUAUACACCACAUAUACAUUUCAAAAUAUAGACGCAAAAACGAUCAAACAAACAAAAUAAAUCAACAAUAAAUAAUCAUUACAACUCAAACAAAUAGUUUAUCCUUCAGUACAACAAAUAAUGCAAUAAACACAACCAAUAGUAUGAACAAUACAAUACAAAUAAUGCAUAAACACAAUCAAAUCAUGCUCUUUGUCGUCCAUACCAUGCCCACCAAUCUUCAAUCAGAUCCUUCUGAAGAUCACUGUGCGUUGCGGGACGCCGAAUGGCAUGAUAGGAGGCAACAAAACGGGCUACCUUUUCAGCCCUCCGUCGCACUCGCACGGGAUGUCCCAAGAGCUCAUACUAUGAGUAAUCUAAAUCUUGGUAACGCUCAUUCUCGAUGAUCAGGUUGUGCAUGAUCACACAAGCGUGCAUGAUGUACCAAAGCAUUUUUUGAUCCCAAAAUCUAGCCAGUCCUCUCACAAUAGCAAAUUGGGCUUGCAAAAUCCCAAAUGCUCUCUCCAUAUUUUUUCUAGCAGCCGCCUGAGCAUUGUGGAAAUCAAGAUUUUUCUUACGUUCCGGCUUUUUCAACGGCUUCACGAAGGUUUGCCACUUUGGAUAGAUGUCAUCCGCUAGAUAAUAGCCAUGGUUGUAUGUACGACCAUUUGCUACAAACUGCACCGGUGGCAACUCACCAUCUGCAAUCUUAUUCAUCAGUGAUGACCGGUUGACAACAUUGAUAUCAUUCAAAGAUCCAGGCAUUCCAAAGAAUGCAUGCCAAAUCCAAGUCUCUUGAUCGGCCACCGUUUCAAGGAUUAUAGUGGAACCCUUUUUUUGGCUGUGGAAUUGCCCAUGCCAUGACUUUGGACAAUUCUUCCAACUCCAAUACAUGCAAUCUAUUGAGCUAAGCAUGCCAGGAAAGCCGCGAGCCUUGUUCAUCGCCAAUAGCCUUGCGACGUCUUCAGCAGUGGGAGAUCUCAAAUACUCCUCGCAAACACUUGCACAAUUCCCACUGCAAAGCGCUUGACACACAUGAUGGCUUGGCUCUCACCCAUAGCCAAGUGAUCAUCAACUAGAUCAGCCGGGAUACCGUAUGCCAACAUACGCAAUGCGGCUGUCACCUUCAAAAAGGUGCUAUGCCCGAGCUCUCCAGCGGCAUUCCUCCUUUGCUGGAAAAACCGGUCAUGGCUCGCUAGUUUCUCUGCAAUGCGCUUGAACAAGUCUGUGCUCAUCCUAAACCGGCGACGAAAAUACGAUUCCGGGUAUGUGGGAUUCUCCAUGAAAUAGUUCUUCAUCAGUCUGUUAUGGGCAUCAAUCCUAUCUCUCCAAAUUUUCUCCCGACCCAUAACCAAACCACCGUGCUUCGGUUUUUUUAUUGAUAUGCAUAGCUAUGAUCAUUGCAAGAUCCUCCUCCUCUUCCAUAUCAAGUUCUUCUUCGGAAGAAUCAUACGACGAACUCAUCUACAAUGUUCAAUACUAUACUAUAAAAACUACCAUUCAAAACAUGCACCAAAUUCAUAAGUUUGGAGCAAUACAUACCUUGUAGGCGUUUUGUCGAACACCUUGCGGGCGCGGCGCGGCAGCGAGCUCUCGGACGCUGUUCCUCGGACGUCGGAGGCGCGCGAGGGCCGGUCGGACUAGGGGGGUGGGGCGGAAGCGCGGCGGCGCGGGGAGGCCGGGGAAGUGCAUGAACGGUCGCCUGGGGGCGCGGGCGGCGCCUGCAGCGGAGACAGGCCGGGGAAGCACCUGAGUGGUCGCCGGCGGGCACGGGCGGCGACGGCGGCGCGGGAUAGGCCGGGGAAGCGCUGAACGGUCGCGGGGGCGCGAGCGGCGGCAGCGGCGCGGCCGGAUGGGGGAGGAGCGAGCGCGGGAGCGCGGGAGAGAGCAGGAGCGAGCGCGGAAGAGUCGCGCGCGCGGGAGCCGGCGCAGCAAAUAAGGGACGCGGGAUUGCGUUUCGGCCAGCGCGCUGAACUGAAAAUGGCGCGCGCGCCGUUUUUGCGCGCCCGCUGGAGCUGCCCGCCGCAUUGCGCGCGCGCUAAAACUGCCUUUUUUACGACGCGACGCUUGUAUAGCGCGCCUGUUGGAGAUGCUCUCAGGUUGUAGGCGGGGCAGGAUGCGGCUGCCUGCCAAACAGCAAAGCGGGAUCCAGCUUUUCCAGUGGCCACAACAACUGCCCGUCUAUUAGCCCGCUUAAUUUGCAUGUGCCCGCAAAGACCCGCCAGGCACAGUCUUAACAGUGUAUUACAACACAAAAUGCAAACUCUCUUGAUUCUCUGAAACGGAAACAAGUUGCUUAUUCAGGCAAGUAAUAUGUAAAGCCAACAUGAAUUUUCUGAAAGACAGUGUACACCUUUGUGCAAACUAGUAUGCACAGCAAUAUAACCCUCUAAAUUCUGAAACAAGUUCUUCAUUCAGUAAACUCAACAAUGUUGAAAGUUAAAACACAUUGAAACUAACCAUCUGCAGUAAUAUGUUCUGACCAUCCGCAGUGGCAUAUCAACAUAUUCUGAAACUGACGAGUUGACGGAUGACCUUUGUUCUCGGAGGAGAGGAAAGAGUGCAACAAGGUUGUGCUAGCCCUUGCUGAAGUAGACAAUGACAAAAGAGCGGCAUCAAUUGACGAGGGAAGCGACCAGGGAACAUGUUCUUCAGCGCAUGACAGAAGCGAUGGAGGAACAAUAUCUCCACUGAGGAUUUCGGCAGGCAGUUCCAAUGUGAAGAUGGCGCAGGCGCUGCCGACGAUCCCACCAUGGUUGCUCAAUAAACAAGGUGUUCUUCAGACCGUAUAUCACAGGAAGGCAAGUAACCUGUGAUAUAACACAAGAAUAGACAACAAGUUAAUCCUUCAUAGCUAGUAUUUGCAAGUGUACUAUUAGAUUGGAAGAACUGCUUAUUUGCCUCUCGAUAGGGAGAACUGAAAAUUCAGACAAUGACAUACAGCAAAAAAACCUCCUCCUACUACUACUACUUGGUUCAGACCACCUUCUUUUUCAGUCAAAAAUUCAGAUAAUGACAUCCGCUCGGUCUUGCUUUCUUGUUAUCAAUCAACAUUUACCUUAUCAUCACUAAUAGAUAUUAAUCAGUUCCUCAAAUCGAUUCAGAUUCGAAAUUGCAUCAACGACCAAUGCGGGAGAAGGGAAGAGAAGGGGAGGGAACCUGGCAAUGGUGAGGAUAUGGUAUUACUUCUGAAGCGGUAUAUUUUCAUGCAUACAUUGGUUUGUUGGCUGUGUCGGUAUCAUAUUUUUUUGUUAUUCAGGACGAUGGAUUCGCUCUACAUGCUUACAAGUGAUAGGUGUUUUAUGACUGUAUUAUCUGAAGCCGAUGUUUGGUAUGACAUGCAAUUGCUGGGACCAUGGUCACGUGUGUGUAACAUGUUCAAAGUGUUUGACUAAAAAAUAUGGUUUAGGCCUGCGUAAUCAAAAUACGGAAUGGUCAUAUAAACCGAGCAAGAAACUGGUACAGGGUUAUAUAGAGGAAAAUAAAUAGAUGUACUGUAUGGUAAAAAGAGCAAUGAUCUCGUACAAUAAAGAGAGUAAUAUUGAUGAAACAUUAUGAAAGUGUCAUUGAUCAGGCUGCAGGUGGGACUGUAGGUGGGAGUCCCACCACAAUCCAUCUGAUCCCAAUACAGUUUGGUGUGAAAAAGUGGGCAUCUCACUAAAACAAAUACUAGUACAAAUUAAGUGGGAAUAAGUGGGAUUCCCACACAACAAAGUCGGCAUAUCACCAUAGCGGCCUUCUCCCGUGCCUUGGGCGCCGGCGCCGUGAGCAGAGACGACGCCCUUCUCGUCGCGUCGAGCAGCCAGUCCACUGCUCGGCUCUUGGCCUCGACGUGUCCGAUCUUGGCCGGAGUUGCAGCAAUCAUCGCCGGGACGGCGGAUCCGUCGCAGUCGGACAUCACGACAGUCCUAACGAGCAGAGCGCAGUCCCGGAGGUUGACGUCGAGCCCGGCGCCGAGCGCAUCAAUGGUGCUAUGCGCCUGCAGCCUGCCAUUCAUGGCCCGGUGGGCUCGCCACGGCCCCCUUUAUUGAACUGCAGUUCUGUUCUUGCCAAAUUUUCGAGCAGUUGUUGAUCUUCAGAACUAACUAUGGACUACAGAAUGGCCCAAGAUUCUCCUCCAUAUUCAGUUCUCCCGGACGGCGCAUCCGAUUCGUACGGGCGCUCUAUGCAUGCCCUACUUCCUAGAUUCCUUGAUUGAAUUUGUUAUUCACGAUGUGCAGAUUUUGGUAGUAUAGUUUACUGCAACUCGUGCAGAUUGUGCUCUGAAAACACAGUUAUCUGAAUCUGUUGGAGUCUGAAACUGUUAGUGUGAGGUGUCUGAAACUUGUAAGCUUAUAGAUAAGUAAAAUAUGAUUUGAAAUUGAAACCCCAAAGGUCGGACAGACGCGCCGGGUCCGCUGUCGUCGCCGCGCCCACCACCGCCGGCACCAACAUCUCCUCCGUGAGGUCGCCCCGCACACUCAUGGCUGGUCACCUGGAGAGCGUGGCCGGGCCGCCGCACAAUCAUGGUCGGGCCGCCGGGGGUAGCGUGGUGUGAGGAGUAGGUAAGAAGCAGGGGCGCGAUGAAGGACUGGCGACCGUAGGAGCACGCUGCGGCACCGCUUGUCGUUGUCUAGGUGGGGUCCCAAUGGGAUCUAAUGAGAAAAAUGGACUAGCCCGAUUAUUGUUAUUUGUUUCUGAUGGGAGCCCACUACAGGAAAUUAAGUGGGAUGGAACAAUUAGUCCCACUUAAUCCCAUCUCCACCUGCAGCCUGAUCUAAGCUCCUUGGGUGUAAGUGGUGUUAGGCACACAGCCGAUCCGUUAGUUUAGCAUAGUCGGUGUAAACAGAAUACCAAACCAAAUUAAUGGUUAACCGAACAAUCGGUUUCCCAAAAUUUUAUGUUAUUUUCGGUUGUCUUUUAUGCUAAACGAAUGCGCCUGUUCAAAUCCUCCAACACACAUGUUCACCUAUGUGCUGCUCUUUGGUAACGACGCAUGCAUCAUCUAAAUCACAUCUAACUCAUACACUAAUUGAUUUUGAUGAAGAUUCGGCCGGGUUUAUUAUUUUUAUUUUUUAUUUGAUUACUCAAAUAAUGUGUAGGAGCUAGAUCGAGACGGGGUAUUUCUUAUCUAGAUGAGAUUUAUCAAAUCUGUUUCACUUUUUCUUUAUGUCACUGCAAAAAUCAAUCUGAUCCGAAGUUCGUGGAGUGUUGUAGAAUCGUGAGGAUAUGCACUUGAUAAGCUGAGAGAUCUUGUUUUGUUUUCUCUGAGGCCUUGUUCGGUCAGCUCCAUCCCCGCUGGGAUUGGGUGCAAACCCCGUCGAUCCACGUGGGUUUCGUCCGGCCGGGGUCAAAAUCCCGGUCUCGCUGCUGACAGCCUUCGGUUAGACCCUGUCUGGACCAAAUCCCUACCAAACCACGUGGAAAUCGCAGGAAAAUCAUCCACGCGUCCCACCUCGUGGAAGCAAACCCUCUCACGAAACGUUAUGCGUGCGCUCUCUCUCUCUCUCCGCCCCGAUCCUCUCUCCCUUCCUCGAUUCGGCGACGACGGCGCGGGCGCCGGAGACGCUAUCGGAGCAGAUGGGCGUGCAUCCUCCUUCCCCUUCCUUCCCCCUUUUCAACUGUCAGCUCAACAACCAAGCGAAGCGGCACGAGCUCGACGGUGACCCAGAACAGCCAUGGAGCCUGGCCGAUCUAAUCUCCCCCGCCACCUCACGCCGGAGAAGAGGAGGCAGCUGGCGACAAGACCUUCAGAUUGGUUCUCUCUUUCUCUCUGUGCGUGCCUGCUCUCCUGUGUCUACUAUUUUUUCUCUCUCUACCUACAGCAAGGCGUUGGUGAUGCCGACCUAGACUCAUGAUGUUAAUUAAUACUCCUCCAAAGGAUUAACCGAAUGCAACAUGGAUUGCAUAGUGACAUGUAUUUAGGCCCCGAGCGGAUUUGGUGUAGGGUGGGAAAUCACCCAAUAUUCUAGAGUAUUUAAUCCACUAGAGGAUUAAAUACUCUUCAACCGAACAAGGCCUGAAGAGGCCGUGUUCUAAGAUUUUGCCAUGAGAUCUUGAAAAUAGAGAGAUUAGUACAGUUAGAAACAAGUAAUUGUGCUUGCCUAAUUCAUUGUUUAUUACAGUGAGGCCGUGUUCUAAUUCAUUGUUUAUUACAGUUAGAGACAAGUAGUCUGAUUCACAUAGUCUUUUACGAGAAUGACUCACAUAGUUUUGACGUGUUAGCCUUCAUUGUUAUUUCAGAGGAUGUAGACCAGGAAACUAGCAAAAUAUCUAAAGGAACAAGAAUCCAGUACAGUACCCUGUUAAUGGUGUAUACUUGAUAUUGUUAUGGCAAAACAUCAUGACGAAUUAAUUCAUUCACACAUCAGACAUCAUAGUUUUAUUACUUAAUAUUGUUAUGGCAAAAACACCAUGACUAAUUAAUCUGUUAACACAUCAAGCCGCCGUUCUUUGAUUCGGUAUGAUUUGCACACUUACAUUUCAUUAAGAUGUAAACUUAUUUACUUUCACUUCUGCUUCGGUACAAUCUUUAAAUACAUCAACGGAUGAGAUCUAUUCAUAAAUUUUUAUAAUAAAGGAUGAAAUGGUCUUUUUAAAAAUACGUCGCUCAUACUUACGUCGCAAUGGGCCGACCCAUUAGUGGAUGCAUGUAUGACCCGUUCAUCCAGUUAAAUAUAAAGCCGGUCUAUUGGUGGAUGCAUGUAUGACCCGUUCAUCCAGUUAAAUAUAAAGCAAAAAGAAUAUUGCAAGGGAAGGAUUUAAACAAAAGACCCCCCUACUACAAGGAGAGGGUUGAUAGCCGCUAGGACUAACAAACACUGGUGAUUUAGUCCCUCCGUUUCUAAAUAAGUGACUCAACCUUGUAUUAAUUUUGUAUUAAAGUUAGUAUAAAGUUCAGUCACUUAUUUUAAGACGGAGGUGAGUAUUACGUAACACAACAUUUUAUAAAGGCUAUUAGCAGCGCCAGAUCCUAAAACAAAUCUGAACCAUUUUUUUCUAAAAAGGUGAAUAUUUUUAAAAUGCGAAUAUUUUGGAAAAGUUGUGAAUUUUGGAAAUCUCCAAAUUCUUUUAGAAUUAUAAAAAAAAAUUAAAGCGGACAUUAUUUGAAGAACAAAGAAAUUUUUAAGAAUAGGAAGUAAUGUAGCCAACAUUAUGUAAAACAUAUAUUUUUAACAUUUAUCAAAAACAUAGUUUUAAAAAAAACUAGAAAAAAGUUUAAAACUAGCUGGUACUGUAACGAUUUCAAUCACUGUUCGCCUUUUAGUAAAAUUGCUCAUGAUUUCAGAAAAUAUUCAUUUUUAAGUUUUGUUCAUUUAUUUUAAAAAAUACGGGGUUUCCAAGAAAUGUACUUGUUUUUAAAAAUUGUUCACAUUACAAAUAUUUAUCAAAAAUCCAUGAAUAUAAACAUACGUUUUUUAUAAAAUUUAGAAUUUAGAAAUAUAUUCUGUUUUCUACAAAUUUUUCACAAUUUUAAUAAAACGUUCAAGUUUGUUAAAAGUUGUUCAAAAUUUCUUGUUUUCAUAUUAUUUCAUAAAUUCCAAAAAAAUAUGUGAAUUAAAGAUAAUAUUCUUGUUUUGUAAAAUUAAAUAUGUUUCUAUUUUAAUUUUUCCUCAAAUAUUAAAAACAAUUGGGAAUUCUAAAAUAUGUUUGUGCUUUUGAAAAAUUGUUAAGAAUUUGGAAAAUGGUCCAAUUAAGAAGGUUUGUUCUCUGAAUUAAAAAUGUUUCCAUUUUUAAAAAAAUGUUAGAGAUUUAAAAUUUUGUUUAAAAAUAUUUGUUUGUAAUUUUUUUAAAAAAUCUGGAUUCUGCGUUGUACUUAGUUCUUAAAGUGACGCGCUCAUUUUUAAUCACCAACACUUCUCAGGUCAAUUGGUUUUUUUUUUUUGCGGGAUUUCUCAGGUCAAUUGGUUAGGAGCUGUUCUUUGUGAUCUACAGAAGCGGGACUCAUUUACUUUAUUCAAUGCAUAUAGCUAUUUUACAGGAGGCCUUUGAUCAACAAGCAUCCAUGUUGUGGGUACCGUUAAAAUUUACUUUCAGGUUUUAUGCAAUCACUAGGAAAAUGUUUCAUGCGUUGCAACGGAAAAAAAUAUCAUUGACUCGGUAUUCAUGAUAAAAUCAUUAUGAUUUCUUUAAAAAAAUAUAAGUAUCGCUUAAAAUAUAAGUGAUGACAAUAAGCAUGGUAUAAAACAUAAUUGAUGAUUUGAUUUAUUACCCACGUCAAACAUCUCUAACAUGAAGAAUAAUUAUUUUUGAAGCAGACCAUCUUUAAAAAAGUCUAGCAAAUAUAUGUGUAGUUGGAGUAAAGGCCAAACAAAACAAAAACUAAACAUUUUUUUUAUGAAUGGGUGCGCUUUUAGGGCCAUUGUUUCUAAGUGUUUUUUAGACCUUUUACUUUCAUUCACUAAUUGAGCAUAUGGGAAUGAAAACUCAAUUCACACAAAGAAUAAAACUCAGUACACCUACCUUCCCAGUGCCUAGAGGUUCAUAUAGCAGGACACCUGAUCGUUCUGGCAAUUUAGAGUAGUACACUGAUUCAAGGCAUUUUGCCUUUUUUGAAGGUCGGUUAUCAAAAUCCUCAACGAUGCUCAAUUCAGCUUUGUCAGCCAUUUUUUGCAAUCACAAAAAAGAGCUAAACCUCCAAGAGUUAGUUUGUUCAAACAAUAUUUCGGAUUAUGUGAAGAUGCAACUAUCAUAGAGUUGUAUCAAACAGGGAGAGAAAUUACAAUACUGUAGAUAGUGGAGUAGCCAUGUAUUCAUCUUGACAGUAAAUCAUCUAAUAAUCUUGAAAAGUUAAUUAUAGGCUUUAUAAGCUACUGGUUUUUGAAUUUCAACCUAGCGGAGCAAUCUGGAUGUUUCUCAAAAGGUCAUAAUGAUUCUUCACUAAGUUGGGAAGAGCAAAUCAAGGCUUUAAUUACCCGUGGAAUGUGAAAACACAAAAGGACUUUUCUUUGAUGUUUGACGAAGCUAUGAUGUCUCGAAGGAAGAUGUUUGAUGACGACAAAUCUAGAUAUGGUCACAUGGCUACUUUAUGAUGAAAUACUUUUGCUCAUCAUUUUUAUUGGCUAACCUGCAAAAAUUUUGUACAUUCAUACAUAAGGUUGCACUUGCACAACUUUUUUGUUUGAACCUGGUAGCCAAAAAGUCAGUAAUAGAUGAUAAACUAGAUUUGUUUAGGUAGUUGUGAAAUAUAUUUUCAGCUCCAGUAGUAACAAUGGAGAUGUCAUAUAUCAAAUAAAUAAUGUAUAUCAUAUUCUACAGUAACAAUAGAGAUGUCCUAUUUCAUAUGAAUAAUGAAUAUGAUAUUCUACAACUGCCAAAUAUCAGGAGAGAACCCAAGGAAAUUCAUGAUUAAUUAUUCCCACCAAAAAAACCAGUCUAGACUGAAUACAUGUGCUACAUGCCUCACUUGACUAUAUAAUUUUAUCGACAACAGAAUACGUCAGAGUAACAAAUCAAAAUUGUUAGCAAUUUAUCACUGAUCUUCGAGUUUAUUUGCCCAUGAACGUGAACUUAUUCACAAAUAAUAACAUGCAAUAGUUUCAAUCACUAAAACUUAUCUACCCAAAUAUGUAUCUUUCAGGCCAGGUUUAGAUUCUUGUGGAAAUCAAGCUAGCACACUGUCCAAUCAACAUGCAAACUGACUCCACCGCACAAAUAGGAUCCCAUGCCCCAGAGCCGGCCGCCGAAGGCCUUGCCCCUGCGAGUAGCUGCAUCCCAUCCCGCCCACCACCGCAUCCAACCUCCAUUGCCUUGUGGAGGCGUGGUGAAGGCCGUGGUGGAGCCACCGCCGUUUCUUCAUGCAAUUAAUCAUAUAAAAGGUGUGUAGUCCCUAUCCUUCGCCAUCUUUCCUUCUCUUACCUCAUGAGCAGCCAUGAUUGACGCCUAGAGUAGGGGCGGAGCACAGAGCGCGGCGGCCACGACCAAAGCCUUCACGCCCAUCUCGUCGUAACCCUCUGCCGGAUUCGGCGCUCGCUUAUUCUCACGCUGGCCUGCCUCCCUUGCAUCCUCCUCCUCCUGGCCGUUUGUCCGUGGCGGCGAGGAGAGUGUUGAGCAGCCCAUCGCGGUCGUUGGUGCGGGCCCGAAGCACGGUGGCCUGGGCCUCGACAUCGGUGAACCACGCGCGGAGAAAUCAGGUGACGCGGGGGAGGAGGUAGGCCGGGGUGCAGGGAGGACGGUGCCGCGGAGGAUGAGGACCGGCGGCGGAUCCAGAUGGGGUUGGGAGGCACGGUCGCUCGACUCGUGCGUGGGGCAGAAAUACGAAACGUUAUUUUCACUUAUUUACUGGAGUGCGGGUUAAUUACUGGAAACGGCACGGGCUUUUGUGCAAAAACGCCAUGACGGACGACAGAAGCCAUCGGUGCUUUAUUAUUAGGGAUAGAUUGUAGUGAAAAUGUAUUCAAUAUUUUUUUAUCUAUUAAUCAUAUCAGUACAGCCAACACCCUACAUUUGAAAAUAUUAUCUUAUAUUCUCAUAUUUCCUUUAGUUUCCCUUCACCCAUUAGGCAAAAUGAGUAUAUGCACAUGUAUGGACUUGGCUAUCUUACCAUCCUUUUCCGCAUCUUGUGACAUAUCCAUGAUGGGCGAUUCAAGCCAAAUAUCAUAUGUGUGUGAUGUGUGCAAAAUAUGCAAACAUGCCUUGAUUGUUAUGAUGUUGCAAUGUCAUGGGCUGGUGGGUUGGAAGGGAGAUUGUAGUCGUGGGAGGCAGGAGGCCGAGGGCGAGUCCCUCGCCGACCUAUCUUUGGAGAAGGGGGUGAGGAGAGGCGCCGAGACGCGGGAGCAAGGGAUGAGAGAUUAGAUUGUUUUCUUCUUAACUUUAUUGAUCCCCAAAGCUGGCUAUAUAAAACCUUAUUACAAGACUAGACUCCUACUCUAAUUGGGAGUUGGCAGGGUAACCUUCUACGGGACUAAACCUUUCCAUCUAACACAACUUCUAUAAUUACAAUAUGCCAUAGCUUAGGCUGGUGCAGGCCCAGCCCGUGUGGGUCGUCGCCUAUAGGGCCGACCCCACAUAAAAUCUCCCCCUCCAUUCUCAAACACCUCGUCCUCGAGCUAGAAACCUGGAUAACAAUCACGAAAGGUAGGGACAUUCUCCCAUGAUGCAGCAGACGCCGGCUGGCCCUCCCAUUGAAUGAGCACCUGUUGAACGCCGCGAGCAAUAGGAGCACGCAAUGCCUUGAUAGGAGUUGGAUGCACUCCACCUUGAAACAGCGGGGGAAGCAUUGGCGGAACUUCAGGUGGCUCACCAUGGUAUUUUUUCAGGACCCCAACAUGGAAGAGAUUGUGAAUGCGGGUGCUUGGAGGUAGCUCCAAACGGUAGGCAACCGUAUCAAUCUUACGAGGACUUUGAAAGGCCCGUAGAAUUUGGGAGCCAACUUCCCUUUAACGCCCACUCCAAGGAAUGCAAUCCGCCGGUGCUGAAGACGUAGCCAAACCCACUCGCCAAUAUCAAAAGAAAGAGCCUGAUGCUUAUCAUCAUAGUAAUGCUUGUACUGUUGUGCUGCCUGAAGGAGACGCUCACGGAUGUCAAGUAGGUAUUGAUCACGGUCGAGGAGCUGUCGUUCGACUGUCUGGUUGUGAACUUCGCCCGACGUAUAGUCCCGGAGCGAGGGGGAUCCCGACCAUAAACCACCCUGAAAGGAGUAUCCUUCAAAGCUGAAUGGUACGGAGUGUUGUAGUUGUACUCUGCCCAAGGUAACCAUUGCAGCCACUGCCUGGGACGAUCCCCGGUGAUGCAACGCAAGUACAUAGUGAUGACGCUAUUCACGGCCUCCGAUUGUCCAUCAGACUAUGGAUGAAACGCCGAACUCAUGUGCAAGUGCGUCCCGGCAGCGGCAAACAUAGCCUUCCAAAAGCCUGAAGUAGAAAACCACAUCCCGAUCUGAAACGAUGGAUGUUGGAAACCCAUGAAGUCGGACGAUGUUGGAAAAUAAGGUUGUAGCGACAGACUCAGCAGUGUACGGAUGCGCCAAGGGUAUGAAAUGUGCAUACUUGGAGAAACGGUCCAUGACGGUCAGGAUCACACUCUUGUCGCCCACCUUUGGAAGUGCCUCAAUGAAAUUCAUGGAGAUGUCUUCCCAAACACGAGAUGGAACCGUCAAGGGCUGCAACAAGCCGGCUAGAUGAAGCUGCUCCGUCUUGUUGCGUUGACAAACUUGGCAAGCACGAAUAUAUUGCUGAAGUGCUACCCUUGCUAGCGGUAGAUGGAAAUCACGGCGAAGACGAUGAAGUGACUUCUGGAUACCUUCAUGUCCUGCAUCGUGGGCUGCAGCCAAGACUUCCCCAACCAGUGGCGAAGCGGGUGGCACAUAAGCCCGCUGCUGAAUGGUGACAAUACCGUCCACGAGAGCCCAGGGCGGGCCCAACUCACCAGAUUUGAGUUGUUCCCUUAAUGCGACGAGCAUGGGGUCCGUGUGAGCAGCCUAGCGAAGAGCAUCAAAGAGAUCAAAAGCAGGCCCGGAUAUGGCAAGUGCCUGGCCAGGAAGAGCAUCACGUCGAGAAAGAGCGUCGGCGAUGAUGUUUUGACGACCUCGUUUAUAUUCCACCGUGAAGUCGAACCCCAACAAUGUGCUCACCCAAUGAUGUCGCGGAAUGGUAGCGAGGCAUUGGUCCAGUAAAAACUUCAAGUUGUAGUGGUCAGUUUUGACGAUGAACGCACGUCCCUACGGAUAGGGACGCCAGUGGCGCACGGCAUGCACCAGACCAAUGAGUUACCGCUCGUACGCGGCGAGUGAAUCAUGACGCAGAGCGAUGGUUUCCGUGAAAUAGGCAAUGGGCCCACAGUGAAAGAGACGACAAAAUCCGGCAGCUGAAGCACAUGGGCAGUGGUAAGAGCUGUCUUGAGAGCCUCAAAGGCGGUAGUUGCUGCACGCGUCCAAAGAAAUCCGUCUUUUUUUAGGAGUGUAGUGAGGGGAGCUGCAAUGGUGCCAAAAUCUCGGAUGAACUUGUGGGGGUGGCCUGCCAGACCUAAGAAACCGCGCACCGCCCAGACAUUGCGUGGAACCUGCCAAUCCAUAACGGCGAGAACCUUGUCUCUGUUCAUGGCGACUCCUGCAGCGGAGAUGACGUGUCCCAGAUAAGCCAUGGUUUCCUCCCCAAAAGAACACUUGGUGCGCUUGAGAAACAACUGAUGUGCGCGCAUAGCCUCCAAGACGAGCUUGACAUGAUGAAGGUGAUCCGACCAGGACGAGUUGUAGAUCAAGAUAUCAUCGAAGAACACAAGCACAAACCGGCGAAGACAAGGAUGAAGGACGUCGUUCAUGAGUGCUUGGAACGUUGCUGGGGCAUUGGUCAGCCAAAAAGCCAUCACCACAAACUCAAAAAGGCCCUCAUGUGUGCGGAACGCCGUCUUGUGGAUAUCCUCAGGGGCCAUCCAAACUUGGUGGUAACAGGACCGGAGAUCCAGUUUGGUGAAAAACCGGGUGCCCUUCAGCUCAUCCAGAAGUUCAUCGACAACGGGAAUAGGAAACUUGUCCUUGAUGGUGACAAGGUUGAGACCAAAGUAGUCGAUACAGAAACGCCAAGUCCCGUCAUGCUUCCAGACGAGUAGAACUAGGGAGGAAAAUUUUGAAGAGCUAGGACGGAUCAGACCACGAGCCAGCAUCUCUGAACAUUGGCGCUCCAGCUCGUCCUUCUAAAUUGUUGGGUAGCGGUAGGGGCGGACAGCAACCGGCGGUGUCCCAGGAAGAAGGUGGAUAUGAUGGUCAUGGGCACGCUGCGGUGCAAACCCUAAGGGUCCGCAAAAACGUCGACAAAUGUGGCCAACAGGCCGUCUAGGAGAUCCUUGCCUUUGCACGCAUGUAUGCUGGCAGGCCUUCCGAUGGAACAAAGGACCGACCACUCCACCCGGUGAUCCGAGUGCCAAAACGACAUCCACUGCGUUGUGAAGUCUGAGAGAACUGGCCCAAGAGUUUUUGAGAAAUUGUGUGCUGAGGACGAUGCCGAACCCGCCCAAUGGAAUGGUAUGCAGAUCCACCACGAAAUGCUCCUUGUCAAUGGUGACCGCAGCUUGCUGCAGGAGUCCGUGACAGGUCACCUUAUCGCCAUUAGCGACCGUGACUCCCAGGCGCCGAUUGGAAGAGAAAGGAAGCCCGAUGAUGGUGCCAGCUCUUUGUGGAUGAAGUUAUGAGUGCUGCCCGAAUCAAGCAAGGCUACGAGGUCACGGUCCCCGAUGCGGAGAGUAACCUGCAUUGUGUCGCUGGUGGGAAUGCCGGUGACAGCCAAGAGGGAGAUUUGUGCCUCCUGGAAAUCCUCAAGGUGCUCGUCGUCGGUGUCGGCGGACUGUAUGUAGAACAGAUGUUUGCAGCGAUGGCCCCGCGCAAACUUCUCGUCGCAAUUGAAGCACAGACCCUUAGCGUGCCGUUCAUCCAUCUCGACCAGCAUGGGUCUUUUGAAGACGAGUGCGGGCGAGGGGCUAGAGGGGUCUGGUAAGGCCGGAUUAGGUGCACCCAUAGGCCGGGGUGGACGGCUGGUCCGUAUAGUGGGGGCUGCGGCGCUGGUGAAAGUAUUGAGGUGCUCAAAGGAGAUUGCUAAGUCCAUUGGCCGGAUCCAAAGUCGCUGGUUUCAGCAACUCGAGCUGAGUUUUCAUGGGCUCGCCCAAGUUGUUGCUGAAGAUAUCCCUCUCAUCAUCGUCGGCAAUGGGGCGCACCCGAGAGAGAUUCUCUAGGAAGCGCUUGGAAUAUUCUGCCAUGGCGCCGGAGCGACGGGUCGAGAUAAGCUCGCCAAAGGGGUUGGCCCGUGUUGGCGGACUGAAAUGGUUGGCGAUCAGCUUUUGAAACUCAGUCCAGGACGGCCGCUGGCCCAACUUUUUCUCAAGGUGGCCAUACCAUAGUGCGGCAACAAGGGUGAGGUGGUAGGAGGCAAACCAAGUUUUAUCGGCCUCCGACGUCCGUUGGACCAGUAAUAACAGGUUGCAACGUGUCAACCAGGGUCGUGGAUAGCUGGACCCGUCAUAGAGGGGAAGUCGAUCUUGUAGAGGCGCGGCGCCCGAUCUGGUGGUUCGGUCAUGACGGUCGGGGCUGCGGCAUGGGACGGCUCGGGUGGCCGCAGGAGGCCGAUGCAGCCUAGUUGAGUCGUGCCCUUCCCUUCAAGCCGGAGGAUGGCCAGAUUCUGCAAGCACUGCUGCUGGGAGGCAUCGGCGAACUGUCCUUGGAGCUCCUUGAGUGUGUCAGCGAUCGAUUUGAGGGUAGCGCGGUCCACUGCGCGCUCCGUCCGUGCGGUGUGGUUUUCUCCUCAGAGAGGCUGUUCAGCGUGGCUACCACGGCCUCAUGAUCCUCGUGUCGUUUGAGCACGAGGUCUUCUAGGGUUUGCGGCAAGGGCGCCGGCUACGGAAGCGGUGGAGGCGGCGGAGACAUCACCGCCUCGAUCGACGAAGAAUCUCAUACCAAGUUGUCACGGGUUGGUGGGUUGGAACGGAGGUUGUAGUCGUGGGAGACAGGAGGCCGAGGGCGAGUCCCUCGCCGGCCUAUCGCUGGAGAAGGGGGUGAGGAGAGGCGCCGAGGCGCAAGAGCAAGGGGUGAGAGGUUAGAUUGUUUUGUGCUUAACUUUAUUGAUCCCCCAAAGCUGGCUAUAUAAAGCCUGAUUACAAGACUAGACUCCUAUUUUAAUUGGGAGUUGGCAGGGUAACCUUCUAUGGGAUUAAACCUUUCGAACUUGCCCAGACUCCUAAUCUAAUACAACUUCUGUAAUUACAAUAUACCAUAGCUUAGGCUGGUGCAGGCCCAUCCCGCGUGGGUCGUCGCCUAUAGGGCUGACCCCACAUGACAUGCAACUACGAGGUUAUUAAAUGGUUUAUUACUAUGCUACUGCCAUGCCUCACACUAUUUUUUAUGAUGAUGCAUUUAUUCUUUUUUGGAGAAUUAAAGUUGUGUUUUCAAUGACGUGUGUCGUAUUUUGAUGUGCUAAAAUAUGACGAAGCUACUGAAUUUAUCGUUUAACAUUCAAGAAAACUUAUGCAUGUAUGUCUUGGGUUGACAGGGAACAAACUAUCCCCCGUGAUUUUUAGCUUCGAUGUGCCCUCGCCUUCUGUAAGUAGCAUCUCUAUCCCUGUCAAUUAUUUUUCAUAAAGAUCUCAACGUAUACACAAGGCACAAUGAAUUAUCUUGCUUCUUUCCUGAAGCAUGUACUAGAUCACUUUCUACUUUCAUGCUUCCGGUGGAUAGAUUAUAAACUUUGCAUGCUGAUUGGUAAAGAAAAUAGCUCAAGCAAUUUCAAAGUGAUUUGUUGCUUGGUGCCGUCUAACUCUGAACUUUAUUCUCAUUUUCCUUUGUUACUGAAGAUUAUUUCCCACACACACGCAACUGUGAAGGUAUAUGUGCUUUUUGUUUCUGGACAAGCCAUAUACAUGUUUGACUGCUAAUCAUGAUGCCCUGCUUCCUUCUUUGCUGAAAUUUUACAACAGUGCCUCUACUAACCUCAUUUCAAUUGAUGAGUAGACACCUUCUAUUUGUUUUUAUGUGUAUUGCAUAGCAUAGGAUUUUCCUCCCCUCGAGCUUUCCAGUUCAUAGAACUGAAUCAACAUUACUAAGAAAGGGAACUUCAGAAAGAUUUGCCUGUUCGUGAUAGAAACAAAACUGAAGAUUACACCCUUCUGGUUAGAUAUGGGUACUCCAAAUCAGAAGACACCUUCUUUUUUCUGGUGAAAUUGCUUCCAAAAUCUUGAUUACAUUCAUAUCACAUAUACCUUCAUGAUGUGUUGAUUAAAGGUGAAAAGAAACAUUUCAUGAUAGUGAUAGAUGACUCCACUAUAUAUUCUGUUAUAUACUAAGAUGAGGCUCUACGCUACUUUAAAAUCAAUAAGGUAGAAGUUGAGAACCAACUUGAAAAGAAAACUAAAUGAGUCCAGUUAGAUCGUGGUGGAGAGUAUUUCUCUAAUGAGUUUGUUUCUUUCUGUGCAAAACAUGGUACUAUUCAUGAGAGGACGUCUCCCUAUUCACCACCGUUAAAUUUAGUUGUCGAAUAAAAAAAUCAUACUCUAACAGAUUUGGUUAACGUCAUGUUAGAUACAUCGGGUUUAUCCAAGGCAUGGUAAGGGGAGCCUAUAUUAACUUCAUGUCAUGUCGUGAAUAAGGUUUCGAUAAAUGAUAAUGAGUUCCCUCCCUAUGAGCAGUGGCCGAAGGGAAGGAUGACACUCUCCUACUUAUGUAUUUGGGGUUGUUUGGCGAAAGUCAAUGUGUUAAUCCUCAAAAAGCAUAAGCAUAGAUCAAAGACCGUAGACUGCGUUAAUUUGGGCUACACUAAGAGUAGUGUGAGCUAUAGAUUUCUGAUAGUGAAAUCUGAGGUACCUGACAUGAAGGUCGGUACAAUCAUGGAGUGUAAGGAUGCUACAUUUUUUGAGGAUACUUUUUCCAUGAAAGAUAUACAAAGCACUUUUAGAUAGGAAUAUGAGGAGACUCAGGAGCCCACCAUUCCUAUGAAAUAUUAUGGACAAACACAUAUGAAAAUCCCGAGGUGGAUGGACCCUUGGUAGGGGCAAUAGGCAAAGACUGCAAAGACCUUUGGUGAUGAUUUCUUCAUGUAUUAUGGAUGAUAAUCCCACCUCUAUUUCAGAAGCGUAUGCAUCUCCAGAUGCUGACUACUCGAAAGGUGCGGUGUGGUGUAAGAUGGAUUCCAUCAUGGCUAAUAGGACAUGGGAAAUUAUUGAACUUUCUUAUAUUCACAAACUAUUGGGAUCUAAUAAGCUUAGGCCCAACGGUACAGUUGAAAAGUACAAGACUAGGCUUGUGGCCAAGGUUUAUGCUCAAAUAGAAGAAGAAGACUCUUCGAUACUUAUUCACUUGUGGACAGACUGGCCACCAUUUGAGUAUUACUCUCAUUGGUGGCCUUGCAUGGUCUUUUCGUCCACCAGAUGGGUAUUAAGACGGCUUUCCUGAACAAAGAGCUAGACGAGAAAAUCUACAUGCAACAACUAGAUGGCUUGGUAAUAGAUGGUCAUGAAGGAAAGUUGCGUAAGUUGCUGAAAUAUUUAUAUGGCCUAAGACAACCACCUAAUCAGUGGCGUGAGAUGUUUAAUACAACUGUGACAUCUAUUGGCUUCGUUGUUAGUGAAGCUGGAAAAUGUGUAUACUGUUGCCAUAGUGGGGGUGAAGGAGAUAUAGUGUGCUUGUAUGUUGAUGACAUACUGAUAUUUGGAACCAACCUCAAAGUGAUUGAGGAUGUAAAGUCAUUCUUAUCUAAGAACUUUGAGAUGAAGGACCUUAGGGUGGUUGAUGUUAUCUUGAACAUCAAGCUAUUGAGAGAUGAUGAGGGUGGAAUUACACUUCUGCAAUUCCACUAUGUUGAGAAUAUUUUGAGGCAUUUUGGAUAUUCGGACUACAAAAUUUCUCAAACAUCAUAUGAUCCCGGUGUGCUCAUUCGAAAGUCCGAAGGCGCAACUAAAGAUCAAUUGGGAUACUCUCAAAUUAUUGUAUUACUUAUGUAUCUAGCGACUGCAACAACCUGACAUUGCUUUUCCUAUGAGAAAACUUAGUCACUUUGUUGCUAAUCUAGGUGAUGUACAUUGGCAUGUUGUUGGAAGAAUUAUGAUUUAUCUUAAAGGUACUAUGAACUUUGGACUUCACUAUACUAGAUACCCGUCGGUACUUGAAGGGUAUAGUGAUGUGAAUUAGAUCUCUCGUGCUAAUGAGAUGAUGGCCACGACUGGGUAUAUGUUUACUCUUGGAGGUGGUGUUGUUUUCUUGAAGUCUUGCAAGCAAACCAUCUGAACGAGAUCAACAAUGGAAGCAGAACUAACAACAUUAGACAUGUCUGCUGUCGAAGCAUAAUGACUUCGAGAUCUUUUGAUGAAUUUGAAAGUGGUUGAGAGGCCAAUUCCGAUUAUCUUGAUGAACUAUGUCAAUCGGAUAAUUAUUGUCAAAGUAGAGUGUUCACAGGACAACAUGAAGUCCAACAAACAUAUAAGAAUAGGAUGAAGGUUGUGAGACGUUUAUGAAACUCCGGAGUGAUAGCGUUGGAUUAUAUCCAAAGGAUCUGGCAGGUCACCUUACUAAAGGGCUAUAUCGUGUUGUGAUAGAUAAGACAUCGAGGGAGAUGAUUAUGUGGCCCACAUGAGUUGCCAUGGCGGUAGCCUAAUCUAUGUGAUCGAAGAUCCCGUGAAGCAAGACCAACACUCUCAAAUACUAGUUGGUAGGAUGACUACUAUCUUAGUGUAUUCGAAAGCUCAUAUAAGCAAGAUGCUAUCCACAGAGCGAUUUUUGGAGGAAUACACAUAUAUGAGCCCGAGUGCUGGUCACAAUCUAUGAGACUGAGGUGAUCUCUAGAAAUCUCAUGAACAGGUAAGGAGUGUGACUAAUAUGCUCCACCUCAGGGGUCAUCCUUCGACAACCUAGUACUAUUAACACAUGUGGUAAAGCUUCUUUAUUUGAAACUGACAAUUGAAGGCAUAGUCCAUAGUUCAGUUGUGAAGGAGUGUAGCUGCUUGCUCUAGGUAAAGUUCAACCUUAACAUGUUUUCACUGAAAUACUCGUAUAUCAAAAUAGUGAUUGGAACAUAAUGGGCCCUCGAAAUCUGGUGGGGGAUUGUUGAAAUCUGGGGUGGGCAUUAGGCCCAUUCAACAGUUUCUGAAAAUCUCUAAAGGCCCAUGUAGGUGUCAUGACAAGGGAGUGGUGGGAAGUGUAGUCCCAUCCCACUAGAUAGAUAGGAGUUGGACCUUCUUAUAAGGGAUUCAUUUCCACAUGUUAUUUGAGCUUGAGAAGAGAAGUGACCCUCGUGCACUCCUCCAUCGCCGCCCGCCUUGCCACACCUCAUUAUGACGCAUUGUGGGUUACGAGAAUGAGCCGGGUCAAGAAUACAUACGCGUUUAUUUUUUCCGGUCACAAAUGGACAGUCCCAAAUAGAAGAGCCACAAUCUAAGAUGUCGGAUCGUGGGCUAUUGCCGACUCGGACGUGGAUCCAGCACACAUCUCUCCAUCCGGGCGUGCAUAUAUAUAUGAGGCGUCGGCCAACCCUAGCCGCCAUGAUAACAUAUCACAUCUGCUCCACGCGCACCGCCCCUGUUGUUCCUUUUUCUACUACUGUCGCCGACGACUCCAUCAUGUUAAUGGCGUAUAUGGUUGAUGGGAGAGCGGGCCUUCAAAACCCCGCCUCUCCGGAUCCUACACUAUACUCCCUAAUUUUAGAGCUUUCCCCUUUGGUUGAGGUAUGCAAUUCUAAGCCUUGAUUUUGACUCGAUCAACCCUUGGUUGUGGCAAUGAAAUCUCUAACUUCUUUACGCUCCCCAUUUUAAAGCCCACACAUUCAAGUGAGGUCAUUAAUUUGAAUUGGAUAUACAAUUGAUUGGGUCGUUGACCCGGGCUUGAUGGUGUGAUCUCUCUAGAAUGGGUCCCUUGAUAAGUACAUAGGUGGUGUGGCCUUGGUUGAUAAAACGGAAGUGUCACCCAUGACACAUUUAGCAUCAGCAUAACAGACGCAUCCAACAAUAUAAGUAAUUUCCCUUUGUAUUUGUAUUAAUUAAAAGACGUCCUUCAGUCACAUGGUCAAGAAAGAUGCAUCCAAAAACCACAAUAAAAAAAGUAAAAUGAUACAUUCAGGAACGGUUCGGUACGAUUUGGUCAUACCAAACAUUCCUCCCACCAAUCACUUCCUUGAUUUCACCUUCGGCCCACUGUUCCCCUAAUCUCUGACCAUAAGCUCACACAUCCAUCCAUAACCAUGAUUUCGCAAACUAUGUCAGUAGGAAUAGCAUAUCUGAUAUAAAAAACACUACAUUGUAUCCCCCACACGCCAAACCAAAUACCAUGUAAAUAAUUUUCACAACUCUAAAAAUAUUACCACUUAAAAAUAAAAACAGUACAAACCGAAGAACAUAAGCGGCACGGCAAAGCGCGAGAUGCCCUUCUAAUAAUUAUCAAAUAUGGAAGUUCACAGAAGUUCAAUUACUAACUAGACUCGAUAAUCUCUCCUAAAAGCAUCUUAUCACAAUUAUAACAGGAAAGUCGAGAGAGGUUUAAUAUGAAAGUUUAGAGAAGUUCAGGCAAUGCUUGUUUCCAAAAUUCCAAGAAUUAUGUUUUACAUUUGUGAAGAAUAGAUAUGGUAUUGGUGAUUCUGAGCAUCCAAAAGGUGAUUACGAUAUCCGCUACCAAAUUGUAGGAUGUGCUGUUAGUAUCAGCUCCUGACGUUCUUUCAUUGUAGUAAAAUAACAAUGAUGCGUCUAGGCAACAUCAACUAGUUACUGCACUUUGGCCAGCAACAGUAUAAUACCAUAAGAAAUUUCCUAAGGCCUCAAUUGGAAUUGUAGGAUGUGCUGUUAGUAUCAGCUCCUGACAUUCUUUCAUUGUAGUAAAAUAACAAUGAUGCGUCCAAGAAUUAUGUUUGCAUAGCAUAGGAAUUUCCUCCCUUUGAGCUUUCCAGUUCAGAGAACUGAAUUUGACACUCCAAAUCAGAAGACACCAAUCAACAUUACUAAGAAAGGGAACUUCAGAAAUAUUUUCCUAUGUAUUUGUAUUAACUAAAAGACGUCCUUGAGUCACAUAGUCAAAAAAGAUCCAUCCAAACACCACAACAACAAAAAAAGGAAAAUGAUACACUCACGAACGAUUCGCUAUGAUUUGCUCAUACCAAACAUUUUUCCCACCAGUCAAUUCUUUGAUUUUCAUCGUUGGCCCACUCUUCCAUUAAUCUCAGACCAUAAACUGACACAUUCAUUCAUAACCAUGACUCCAUAAACUAUAUCCGUAGGAAUAACAUAUCGGAUAAGAAAAACACAUUUCAUUGUAUCCCCCACACGCCAAACCAACUAGCACGUAAAUAAUUUUCACAACUCUAAAAAUAUUACCACGUAAAAAUAAAAAUAGUACAACCCAAAGAACAUUAGCAGAGCCGCAAAGUGCGACAUGCCCUUCUAGUAAUUAUCAAAUAUGGAAGUUCAGAGAAGAUCAAUUACUAACUAAAUAAACUUGAUAAUCUCUCCUAGAAAUAUACUAGCGUCUCAUCAUAAUUAUCAACAGGAAAGUACAGAGAGGUUUAAUAUGAAAGUUCAGAGAAGUUCAGGCAACCGCUUGUUUCCAAAAUUCCAAGAAUUAUGUUUUACAUUUGUGAAGAAUUGAUGUGCUAUUGGUAAUUCUGAGCAUCCAAAAGGUGAUUACCAUAUCCGCUACCAAAUUGUAGGAUGUGCUCCUAGUAUCAGCUCCUGAUGUUCUUUCAUUGUAGUAAAAUAACAGUUCAAGAAUUAUUAUGCGUCUAGCCGUCUAGGCAACAUAAAGUGAUUACUGGAGUUUGGCCAGCAACAGCAUAAUACCAUAAGAAAUUUCCUAAGGCCUCAAUUGACAUCCCAAUUCCAAUAGCAGGCUAUAUAUAUCAAGAGGAAGAACAGAUGUCUUGGAUUACAGUUAACCGAGAACAGGCUGAUCAAGAAAUAUUGCAGUAGCAAAGAUCAACAAAGAUCGCACAUCAAAUCCAUGUCGCUCCAAUGAUUCCUGGACGAGCGGAAAAAUAAAUCGAACGAGCGCGACGAUCAACCGACCUUGCAGCUUGCACCCCGCAUUCACGCGUCAUCCCCAAUGCCCGCCUCGUCGCUGACCGCCGUACUCGACCGGUCGUCAGAGAGGCUGCAGCGCUCCAGGCCCUGCACUGCCGCGCGGUCGAACCCCGUCUGGUCGAAGAAGUACCGGCCGGCCUCCGGUGUGCCACAUCAGGCCCAGGCACAGCACCGCCUCGGCGUCCACCCCUGUCUUCUUCUUGUCGUCGCCGAAAACCCUGGGGUCGGAAAAGAGGAGGCCAGUGCGCGGCAGCACCCACGGGCCCGGCCCGGCGUCGUUGUCCAGGGCCGGCGUCUUCUCGCCGUAGUCCGUGCGCUCGAAGAAGGGGUUCGCGGUGGACCUCUCCGACGGGUCCGCCUCCGCGUCACCGAAGGCACCUGCCUUCUCGUCGCAGGGCACGCGGCGGCGGACGAUGGGCCGUUCCAGGCGCAGCACCGCCUCGGCGUCCACCCCUGUCUUCUUGCCGUAGUCCGUGCGCUCGAAGAAGUGGUCCGCGGUGGACCUCUCCGACGGUUCCGCCUCCGCGUCGCCGAAGGCACCGGGCACCCUGGGGCGGCGCAGCAGCGGAAGAAGCACGGGCGCCGCCGCAGCGGUGACGGUGAAGUCAUCGAGCUUGCGCUCGAAACUCACCCGGCUCGGGCGCGGUAGCCCAGCAACACGACGCGGCGGCGGCGGUGGCAUCGGCGGAUGCAUUUCUCUACUCUCCCGUCUCUCUCUCUCGCUUCGCUCCGAGGAAUUGCGGCUGGUGGCGUCUGCGAUUGCGGUGGCCGAGCGGUGAGCAAAGAGGAGGAGGAGGAGGACGGACCGGGAAGAUUGAUUUGGGGGGGGGGGGAAAUCCGUUGGUUUGACCUGGCGGUUAAGGUCCACCUUGCCACGCUGGAAGGAACCCCGCCGGAAAAAAUAAUAUGAACUAGGCUUGCCUACUCCAGUUCCGGUGCUCCUCACCGUCAAUUCUUCAUCGAACGCUUUGCAAGAUAUUUCUUUCGAGCGUCUCUUUUCUAACGAAAACAAAUCACUAAAGUCAUGGGUUGGUUUGAGGACCGAAAGUCAUGAAAUGUCAUGGUUUCAUCCCAAAGGUAUGGGUUGGUACCAUCCUUAUGUUCAGUUGACAAUAAAAAAUGUCAUGGGUUGGUCUCGUCCCGAUGUUUAGUUGGAGAGAUGCAAUGAGAAGAAUCUGAUGUCACUCACCUCUUCGAUGUAAAUGAUGAGAUUACAUCUCUAAACAAAUAGAGUUCUUUGCAUUUGACAAACCUAUAAUUUAAAUUUUCAACAACAUUUUCUUUCUAUUUUUAACACAUGCAAAUAAAAAUAUAUGAUCAUGAGUACAUACCAAAUAUUUACAAAAAAUAAUCACGAAAAUGAAAAAAUAACCACGAAAAAAAUAAUCAUGAAAAUGAAAAAAAAUAACCACGAAAACUUUUGUUCGGGUGCGGGGGUGAGCACGGUGAGAAUUGCUUGGUUAUUUCUUUUUUUCUUUGCUUUCAUGGACGAAUGACGAGUCGAUUCCUCCAAAUCGACGGAAUCACUUGGUGAAGCAUCUGCAGGGAAUAUUCCCUGCAUGCGGAUGACUCAAUUUCGGUUCCUAACCCAACUAAACACGAGAACGAAUGUAGGGAUGGAAACAACCCGUCCGAUUCCACUUCGUCCUGAAACCAAACACACCCUAAACUCCCGUAUUCUCAUCCUCCCGUAUGUAUUCUCUUCAUCCCCUUUCUCUUUCCCUUCCGACAGCCGACGCGGCGGAGAAAGCCAAUAAACCACCAGCUGCCGCCCUAUCGUCUCGAUCUCGUUCUACUCUUGUCGACUUCCCUUCUCCUUCACCCCACCGGCAACUUUCUCCCCAACAACAUGUCGUGGUAGCACGAGCUCGGGAUUGAAUCGAAUGGAACAGUCAGUCAAGAGGAGGUGCGUGUUGCGGUGGUGUUGCUGCCUUUGAAGACCAUGACGACGGCACGACGGAGGCCGCGACGCACUAGGAGGACGACCGCCAUCCAACGGCUCUUUCACGCGCGUUGCUCCGUCGCCAGGGACCCGGCACCAUGCCCAUGCCCGGCAAGGUCGCCCUCCUGCGCGCUAUGACACGUACGUUAACUCAUCUUUGUAUCCUCGUCCUCUCUACUAUUUUGUACGUCGUCAUUUGAGCUACCUAUAUGUAGCUACUAGUACUAGAGCACACAUGCACAAAAAGAAAUCGCAGAUUAAUUUGAUUCAUGUUGUGUGUGAUCUGUUAAAAGUUGAAAUUUUGUUGUGCAAAUUUCUAGAUCGAAACUUGUUUUACCAUGUCCUAGAUGCUUAGCUACCUGAGUUUAGUUUUUACAUGUUGAGUGCAUGUAAUUAGAUUUUUUAUGAAGAUGUUUAUUUUGCGCCAAGAACACGGGCACACGAAUAUUCUGGGUUUUGGAUUAGGCGCCAACACUGCUUUGCUAACAUAGCAAGGUUAAAGCUAUGUAGGUCCCUAAAACCGAGUCCUCCCAUCCUCUUUGGAACACACAUCUUCCACCACGCCAUCCAAUGCAUUUUCUUUUUCAGCUCAUCAUCUCCCCACCAGAAACCCACAAUUUCAUCCGUUAUAGCCUUGCAAAUGUUCAUCGAAAGAUUAAAAUCUGACAUGGCAUAAGAGGGAAUUGCUUGUGCCACUGCUUUGAUCAAAAUCUCUUUUCCUCCCAAAGAUAGAAGUUUUUCUUUCCAUCCCUUUAGUUUCUGGCAUACUCGCCGGAAGUCGCUUAGACGCCUGCCCCACGAUGGGCGCCAACUGUCGUGGGUAUAAGUCUGACAGUAGAUGAGUAAGGUACGAAAGGAUGGGCAGAGCCUUAGCUACGGCGAGGAUGUAUGAGUUCAGGCCCCUCUACGGUGGAGGUAAAAGCCCUACGUCUCAGUGCUCUCGGGAGCUUAGUGUCGACUGGAAUAUGGGGUUACAAAAAUGCCAACCCCUGCACCAGUGGGGAAGGGCGGCUUAUAUAGAGUGCGCUGCCCUUCACAACGGUCCGGUGGACAGGGGUGGAGUAGUGGCGAAUAAAUGCCUACGUUACAGGUAACGUAUGCCUUAAAUGCUAAUAAUGGUGUACGAAAACGUAUGACCGUUGCCCUCCAGGGAGGUUACGAUGUACAGAAUGGAAUCCAGUCGGUACGAUUAAUACGCUCCGAAUGCUCGUCACCGACUGGAUGAUGGGGGAGUCGUCACCCAAUGGAUGAGGGAAGGUCCACAGUUCAGUCGGAACUAUCUAAGGGCCUUGUCCUUUAUGAAGGGUAGUCCUUGGGUAGGACCUAUAGGGCAGGCCUAUUACCCUACCCUGGGACUAUAACCCCAUCAUUAGUCCCCGAAUGGGUCGGGGUUGGAACGACGAAGUGAUGCGUGGAGUACGGAUCCGACUGGUAUGGAUGUGACUUUGGCGUUGUUUGCCUCUAUCCAUUUUAUCCUCUCGACCAGUGAUCCGAGUGAAUAUAUCCGUGAAACGAACCGUCAGGGACCGAGUGCUUCCGCGGAAUCUUUCGAUGUGACCAGUCAACUGACAGCGGUGGAUUUUCUGGGAUCCUCAAAUUUUGGUUGCCGCGCGCUCAGCGGGGAUGACGACAUCGUCAUCGAGUAGUUUCUGCCGCCUCGAUUACCGCGCCUUUAUCUUCUCCACUAAUAUCAAAGCGGCCGGUCGGGGGAUAAGAUUUCGGGGCCACCUGUUAGUGACCCAGUCGGAAGCUUAUUUAAACCUCUCUAGCGGGGGUUUCUCGUUGCGCUGCCCUGGUUACUCGCACUCGCCUCGCUCCUCCCGUAGCUCCCUGCGCGCUCCAAGCCUCCUCCUUCCUCUCCUCCUCUGCGGAUCUCUGUCUCCACCAUGACGAAGGGGCAGACGAGCAAGCUCGAGUCGCAGAAGAAGAAGAAGAAGAAGGCGGCACCUGCUCAGCGGCAACAGCGGGCACUGCCGGCGGGUUGGAUCCAGGGGGAUUUCCUCCCCUUCACGGUGACGACGGACGACCUGCUGGAGCUGGUGGAGCAAGGCAUGGUUGCCAACAAGUCGUGGAGGCUGCCGGCGGAGGGCGAGACGAAGCCGGCGCCGCAGGAGGGGGAGCGCGUCUUGCUGCUCAGCCACGUGUACAGGGGCUUCUCUCUGCCUCCUCACCCCUUCUUCAGAUGUAUUAUGAACCACUUCGGGGCGCAGCUCCAUCAUUUUCCUCCAAACGCGAUAGCCCAUCUCGCCGCAUUCGUCACCCUUUGCGAGUGUUUUAUCGGAUGUCCCCCCCCCAUUGGGGGCUCUUUAAGUACAUCUUCUCCGCUAGGUCCCAGACUGUCAAAAAGCUUAGCCAGUCGGACGAUAAAACUCAUCUCCUCCAGCUGUGCGGCGGCUUAGGCUUCCAAAAGAAAACGAAGAGUAGCUACCCCCCGCUCCAGUUGUCCGAGUCAGUUAGGAACUGGCACUCGACCUGGUUCUACUGCCAAGACAUAGCUUGUCCGAAUGUCGCGACUGGGUUGCCACCCUUUAGCCUUGACCGUCCGGCCCAUCCCAGGCAGCUUGCGCUCACAAAGGUGGAGAAGACCCAGAUCCAACCUCUGGUCGACGCACUGAUUGUUGUCGUCCGCAAGGGGGUCACCGGCACGGAUCUGCUGGAGACUUUCCUGGGUCGGCGCAUCCAGCCGGUGCAAUCCCGACACCACGCCAUGUGGCACUACGCGGGGCCUGAGGACUCCACUCGGACUCAUCCAGAAUGCGUAACUGGGGAGGUUGUGACGGCGUGGGUCCGCGGCAUCACAGGCGCCUGCGAUAACCCCCAAGGAGCUCGGCGAGUGAAGCCCUUCCGCGCUGACAAUCCUCCUCCGAACGAGGUGAGCACAUCUUGUCGAGUGCUUUCAAUCUUCUUAGAUUUAUCGCUUUUUCUUGCUCCACCACCUGACGUCUGAUGUUGUCGACUGUAUUUCGUGCAGGCGUGGACCAACUGGCAUUCUCCCGUCUCGAACGGGAAUCCAGCUGAGGAAGAGGAGGGCAGCCAGGAGGGCAGCGUGGACAGCGCCGAGUACAUCUUCGGCAGUGGGGAGACGGAGGAGGAGACCAAAGAGGAGGAGGGGGAGGCUGGGGAGCAAAGCUCGCCACCUCCACCAUCAGAGCCUCGAGCCAAGCGCCUCACGAACCUGCGACUCUGUCGGCUCCUCCAGCAGCUCCGAGUGCUCCGCCAGCUCCUCCCGUGGCUCCGAGUGCUCGGAGCAUGAAGAGGACCAGGGACGCUGCUGCCGAGUCCACAGACCAACCGUCCAAGGUGGCCAAACCGAGUGGGUCCAAGCCUCGGAAAGCUUUGCCUCGGAUGAGGAUCGCUGUUCCAGUUGCCUCAGCGUAAGUGUCUUGUUCUCCUAUCUUCUUUUAGUAUUUGAUUAAACUCAUGUUUAUCGGUCGAGUGGAUUUUACUCGACAGAGCUGCUACCUCCGCCACCUCUCUGCCAUGCCAGGACAAUUAUCCCAUGGAUACGGAUAACGCUGCCACAUCCCAGCAAGGUACGUUGUGACGACUCCGAGAGUUCGCAUUAUUGUUUCACGAGUGCUGUCUUUAACCUUGCCCUUUUUCUGUAAUCUCAUGUUGUUCAGUCGGGCUUCCUUCGGAGGUGAUUCAUCUGGAGGAGGACGACCCGAAGGGGUCAGGGCAAACUUUGGCGCCUGUCCUUGAGGUUGUUCCAUCUGCUGCUGCUCCCACCAUGGACGCGCCGCCGACCAAGACGAUGCUGUCGACUGAGGCGGUGCCCCUCGCGGCGGAACCGACUGGAGCAGGACUUGGGAUGCCCAAGGAGUCUCCUGUCGUGCCGGGUCCGUCGACCGUCCAGUACGACGCCCGACACCUCCGGAAGACCAAGUGGGAGCCGCCAAGGAGGCUAUGGUGCAGGUGGAGUUGAUGGUGGGUGACGCCAAGGGAGCGUACAACUCCAUCACAUCUUUGUACAAGAGAAGCUUGGAGCUCCGGGACGAUAUCCGAGUAAGUGCGCUAGUAAGUGUUUACUUUCCUCUUGUAACCCACUGGGGGUUUAAGCGAUAUACUCGGAUACAGUAGGAUUAUUUUGCAGUGGGUUCACUCCGAGUGAACCCAGUGGGUGUAGUCCCCGAGACUUCUGUCGAGUGCUUGCACCGGCAGUUGUCUUUAUAUGCAUUUUCCGUGACUUGAUCGGAUCAGAGCUGAUCUGUCUGAAUGGUACCAGUGGGGGCACUCCGAGUGCACCCACUAGAUGUAGUCCCUGAGAGUAGUUUUACUCAGGUCGGGUAAUAGUAGUCUCAUAGGCUUGUCUGUUUGUCAUGUAGCUCAAUAGGGCCAACCUGUUCGAGCUUCAUGCCAGUGGGGUCACUCUUAGUGAACCCACUUGGUGUAGUCCCCGAGACCGUUGUCGACUGCUUGCGUCGGCAGGGGUCUGAAGAACUUUGAGCUUUUAUUGUUUUCCUUGUUGAAUGUGUCUGAUCUUUCCUUUGCGCUGAUUUGGCAGAAGACUUGCGAAAUGGGAUCCUCGUACAAUGCUCUGAAGGCUGAAAAGAUUCAGCUUGCUGCGGAAUUGGAGGCGGCUGUGAAUGACUUGGCUGGUGUGAAGGGGGCUCUUGCUGACCGAGAGAAGUCUUUGGAGGAGUCCCGGGAGACCAACAAGGCAUUGGUGGCCGAAAUUGAGAAAAUGGGCAAGCAAAGAACUGAACUGAUGGGUCAGAUGAAGUUGAUGAACAGUCGGUGCAUUUCGCAGGAGAAGUACGUCAGCGACUGGGCAAGGAAGAUGAUUGCACUUCUCGGUGGUAAGUUUUUUGCCGAGUGCUUCUUGACUUUGUAGUUCAUUCUGCGCUUACUUUUUGCUCGUCUUGUCGUUGCAGAUUUUUGUCUGGGCGCUGAGGCUAAAGCAGCUGACAUUGAGCGGUCGGUUAUUCUAAACGUUCCACUCGACGAUGAAGCCAAUCGGGACUUGCUCCGAGCGCAUAUUCGCCUUGGCAGAGUGGGACCUUUCAUUGGCCGCCUGAGAGAAGUCAUCGGCCGGAUCGACAAGGAGCUGUGGCCCGAAGAUGAUUCCCGACGAGAAAUAUAAGGGUUGAUGACUCGGCUGGAGGACGUCCCGAACAGAGUGCAGGCAUGGAAGAAGUCUGCCGCUCGUUGUGGUGCGGACGUGGCACUAUCGCUGGUCCGAGUGCACUGCAAGGAAGCUCGCGAAGAAAAGCUGAAGGCGUUGCAGGUCGCCAACACCAAGAAGCUUCGAUUCGAAGAUUUCAUGGAGACCUUCCUCGAGACAGCCACACGCAUCGCAGACGGGAUCGACCUUGAUACCUUUGUGGAGCCUGCCAGACCCGGUGCUAGUCCUGGUGACGCUUGAAAAACUUUACCUCGGUAUGCCGAGUGCUAUCUGUACCAAACUUUGGCCACUGCUGUUGGCCGUCACAUUCGUGGUUCGAUGUGGGUAAGCUUGACCCACACCGAGCCGACUAUCGUAGAUCCAACUUUGAAUUCGAAUCGAAUAUUUUGCUCUUCUUUCGCCAAAAAAAAAUUGACACGAUUUUGGCUCGUGGUUUUUGUUUGGUGUUUCUUGGUGAAGCCUAUGGCAAACAUGCGGAGCAUGUAGUUGCCAGUUGUCUUCACAUCCACAUGAGCCUCAAUGAGGGUCUGUCAAGUCUCCGAGUGCGCACUCGGAGCGAGCUUUUACUUAGGUGACUCUUCGUCGCGGCUAAGUCUCCGAGUGCGACUUUUAGUGCACACUCGGAGCGAGUUGUUACUCAUGUAGUUGUCAGUUGUCUUCACAUCCACAUGAGUCUCAAUGAGAGUCUGCUAAGCUUCUCAGUGGAUCUCUAGGAUACACUCGAAGGAAGCUUUUUACUUAGGCGAUUCUGGAUCGCAGCUAAGUCCUCGAGCGCGACUGUAAGGUCGUGCUCGGAGCGAGUUGCUAUUCAUGUAGUUGUCAGUUGUCUUCACAUCCACAUGAGCUUCCAUGAGGAUCUGCUAAGCCUCCGAGUGGAUCUCUAGGAUACACUCGAAGGAAGCUUUUUACUUAGGCGAUUCUUGAUCGCAGCUAAGUCCCCGAGUGCGACUUUUAGUGCACACUCGGAGAGAGUUUGUACUUAGGUGAUUCUGGACCAUGGCUAAGUCCCUGAGUGCGACUUUUAGUACGCACUUGGAGCGAAUUUUUUACUUUUUAGACCGGAGUCUGCCAACGCGGAAGAAUUUUGAACUUGCAAGAAAUCAAUCUGCUUUGUAUUACUUCAAUGAUACUUGUUCUUUACAUUGCCUCCGUCGGCGGUCACGUGUAGAAGCGCUUCAGGAGAUCUCCGUUCCAUGAUCGCGGCUCGUCCGUUUCCCUGUCGAGAUUGUAGAGUCGAUAUGCUCCGUUGUUCAGCACCUUGGAGAUGAUGAAGGGUCCUUCCCAAGCGAGAGCCAACUUGUGAGGUCUCUGCUGAUCCACUCGGAGCACCAGGUCGCCUGCUAGGAAUGUGCGACUCCUGACGUGUCGUGCGUGAAAACGCCGUAUAUCUUGUUGAUAAAUCGUUGAGCGAGUCAGUGCCAUCUCGCGCUCUUCUUCUAGUAGAUCCACUCCAUCUUGCCUGGCUUGCUCUGCUUCGGCUUCGGAGAAGAGUUUGACUCGUGGAGAGUUGUGAAGCAAGUCACUCGGAAGGACUGCCUCUGCUCCAUAAACAAGGAAGAACGGGGAUCGCCUUGUAGAUCUAUUUGGAGUUGUGCGGAGGCCCAACAACACCGAAGGCAGCUCGGUGACCCAUGCGCCGGCAGCAUGUCCAACUUCUCGCAGGAGUCGAGGCUUCAACCCUUGAAGAAUAAGUCCAUUCGCCCGCUCUGCUUGCCCGUUUGUUUGGGGAUGCGCCACAGAUGCAAAAUCCACUCGGAUACCUUGGCCUGUGCAAAAACCUUUGAAUCUGUCCGAGUCAAAGUUUGUGCCAUUGUCAGUGAUUAUGUUGUGCGGAACCCCGAAUCUGGCGAUGAUGUCUCUGACAAACUUGAUGGCCGUAAGGGCGUCGAGCUUCUUGACGGGCUUGGCUUCAAUCCACUUGGUGAACUUGUCGACUGCUACCAAUAGAUGAGUGAAUCCCCCUUGGCCUGUUCUGAAGGGUCCGACUGUAUCUAAUCCCCACACUGCGAACGACCAAACAAGAGGGAUUGUCUUCAGCGCAGACGUUGACUUGUGGGACUUGUUCGAGUAGAACUGACAGCCUUCGCAUCAGUCGACCAUAUCUUUCGCCAUUUCAUUCGCCUGCAACCAGAAGAAACCAGCUUUGAAUGCUUUGGCGACGAUUGCUCUUGAGGAGGCAUGAUGGCCGCAGGUUCCCGGGUGAAUUUCUUCCAAGAUCAACUGUCCCUCCUCAGGGGAGAUGCACCGCUGAAGGACGCCUGAAACACUUUCCUUGUACAACUGGCCAUCAAUGACGGUGAAGGACUUCGACCUGCGGACGAUCUGCCUCGCUUGGACUUCGUCUUCCGGUAACUCUUGCCUCAGGAUGUACGCAAUGAACGGCACAAUCCAAUCGGGGAUGAGAGCAAGAAUCUCCAUGAUCAAAUCAACCACAGCGGGGACCUCGACUUCAGUCGAAUCUGUUGAGCUCUUUGGUUGUACUGGUUCCUUUGUGAAAGGAUCUUUUUUUACUGAGGGAAGGUGUAGGUGCUCGAGGCAGACAUCACUCGGGACUGGUCUCCGAGUGGAUCCAAGUUUCUCCAAUUCGUCAGCUGCUUGGUUUUUCACUCGCGGAACAUGGUGAAGUUCCAGACCUUCAAACUUGUUCUCGAGCUUCCUCACUGCGUUGCAGUAUGUAGUCAUGGUGGGGUUCCUUACAUCCCACUCCUUCAUCACUUGAUUAACCACCAAAUCCGAAUCGCCAUAAACCAUCAGGCGACGGACGCCGAGUGUGAUGGCCAUGCGCAAUCCAUAAAGGAGAGCUUCAUAUUCUGCCUCAUUGUUGGAGGAAUCGAAAUGUAUCUGCAACACAUACUUAAGUUUAUCACCUUUUGGCGAUAUGAUCACUACGCCAGCGCCGGAGCCAUUCAACAUCUUGGACCCGUCGAAGAACAUUGUCUAAUGAGCCGAGUAGAUGUGAGUCGGUUGCUGUUGCUCUACCCAUUCUGCUAUGAAGUCAGCCAGAGCUUUAGACUUUAUAGCCUUCUUGGCUUCGAACUUGAUGUCGCAGUAUAACAUCUCCAUUUCCCACUUCGCCACUCGGCCUGAUGCGUCCCGAUUGUGGAGGAUUUCCGACAACGGAGCAUCAGAAACGACAGACACCGAGUGGUCUUGGAAAUAAUGAGCCACCUUCUUCGCAGUCAUGUAGAUCCCGUAAAUAAGCUUUUGAUAAUGGGGAUACCUCUGCUUGGAAGGAGUCAGGACUUUGGAGACAUAAUAUACUGGCCGCUGAACCUUGUACACUUUGCCUUCUUCUUCGUGUUCGACUGUGAGAACAGUGCUGACGACUUGAUUUGUAGCCGCGAUGUACAGAAGAAGGGGUUCUUUACUGAGCGGGGCAGUAAGAACCGGCUGGGUGGAAAGCAGGGCUUUGAGCUCGUUGAAAGCAAUUUGGGCUUCGUCUGUCCACUCGAAAGUAUCUGAUUUCUUCAUGAGUCGGUACAGAGGUAGCGCCUUCUCGCCGAGUCGACUGAUAAACCUGCUCAAAGCCGCUAGGCAACCUAUGAGCCUUUGAACAUCAUGUAUUCUGACCGGCCGCUCCAUUUGGACGAUGGUCCCGAUCUUUUCGGGGUUGACAUCGAUCCCUCGUCCGGAGCGAAGAAACCGAGCAACUUUCCGCUGGGAACACCGAAUGAACACUUGGCAGGGUUGAGCUUGAUAUCGUACCUACGAAGGUUGGCAAAUGUUUCUGCCAAGUCAGUCAGCAGGUCAGAACCUUUGCAUGACUUGACUACGAUAUCAUCCAUAUACGCCUCCACAUUUCGACCGAUCUGGUCAAGGAGGCAUUUUUGGAUCAUGCGCAUAAAAGUUGCUCAUGCAUUCUUCAAACCGAAUGGCAUAGUGAUGUAGCAGAAGCACCCGAAUGGGGUGAUGAAGGCUGUUUUUAAUUCAUUGGGACCAUAUAGACGGAUCUGAUGACAGGCCGAGUAGGCAUCAAGGAAUGACAAACGCUCGCAACCCGCAGUCGAAUCAACAAUUUGAUCAAUGCGGGGGAACGGGAAAUGGUCUUUCGGGCAGACCUUAUUGAGAUGCUUGAAGUCGAUGCACAUUCAGAGAGACUUGUCCUUCUUGGGCACCAUGACAACAUUGGAGAGCCACUCGGAGUGGUGUACCUCGCGAAUGAAGUUGGAUGCCAAAAGUUUAGCCACCUCCUCUCCGAUUGCCUUCUCUUGUGCGCGGCGGACCGACGCAGGCGUUCUCGAAUGGGCCGAGUAGCAGGAUCCACAUGCAGUCGGUGCUCAGCCAACUCCCUGGGUACACCUGGCAUGUCAGCGGGCUUCCAUGCGAAAAUGUCCCAGUUCUCACGGAGGAAUUGGAUGAGCUCGGCUUCCUAUUUUGGAUCGAGGGUGGUGGAGAUGUUCGUCGGGGCAGCGGUGUCAUCCGUCGGGUGGAUGCUGACCUUCUUCGUGUCUCCCGCCGACUGGAAUGCGGACUCUGAAGCUGGCUUCUUCGAACGCAUCAAGUCAGCGGGGUCGGCUGUCUUCUUGUACUCGUCCAGCUCAAGGAUAGCCAUCUGCUGAUCGGCGAUCCUCGACCCCUGCUGCAGACACUCCUCGGCCCGCUGUCGAUUGCCUGUGACAGUGAUCACACCUUUGGGACCCGGCAUCUUCAGCUUUAGAUACACGUAACAUGGACGGGCCAUGAAACGCGCAUACGCCGGACGGCCCAGAAUCGCAUGGUAUGCACUCUGGAAGUCCACCACCUCGAAUGUCAGCUUCUCCUUGCGGAAGUUCUUGUCGGAGCCGAAAACGACGUCCAACGCGAUCUGGCCGAGUGACUUGGCCUUUCGUCCAGGGACGACUCCGUGAAACUGCAUGCUGCUCUCGCUAAGUUUGGACAUCGGAAUGCCCAUCCCCUUGAGAGUGUCGGCGUACAUGAUGUUCAAGCCGCUGCCGCCGUCCAUGAGGACUUUGCGCAGUCGGACUCCUUCCACCACCGGGUCGACGACCAGAGCCUGCCUCCCCGGGGUGGGCACGUGUGCUGGAUGAUCCGACUGGUCAAAGGUGAUCGCAGUCUGAGACCAUUUGAGGAACGUGGGGUUGGUUGGGGUGGCCAUGUUCACCUCCCUGUUCACCAGCUUCGGUCGACUCUUGCUUUCCACGUCAACAAAAAUCAUCAGUGUUGCAUGAACUUGGGGGAACGGAUCCUCCUUGUCCUCAUCAUCCUGUUCAUUGUCCUUUUCACUCGGCUGCCCUUUGCCGAACCCUUGGAUCAGGAGGCGACAUUGCCGAGUGGUGUGCUUCGGGAAUAUGGCGUUGCCUUCUUCGUCCGUCUUCGUGUGGAUUGGACAUGGUUGAUCCAGGAUGGAGUUCCUGAACUGCUUCUUCUUGGGGGUGAACUGAGCUUUCCCCUUGCCCUUGAACUUGGCAUUGGUAACGGCUGCUGCCUCUUCCUGCGGAGUGGACGGAGCUUUCUGCUUCUGCUUCCGAGUGCUGUUCCCAUCUCCAUCGGCGACUGCUUUAUGCUUGCCGCUACGUAUGCGGUCCUCUUCUUCGCCAUUUGCAUAGCGUGCGGCUAUCUCCAUCAUCUUUCUCAUGGAGAUGUCGCAUGUCCGACCGAACUUCAGGUACAGAUCUCUGUACCGCACGCCUGCCUUGAAGGCGCAGACUGCUUGGUGCUCUGUGACGUUCUCCACUGUGUGGUAGAGGGUCGUCCAACGCUGGAUGAAAUCGCGCAGGGGAUCAUUCUGCUUCUGGACACAGUGCUAGAGCUCCACGAGACCAGCAGGGCGUUUGCACGUGCCCUCGAAGAUCCUGAUGAAGACUCGGGCCAGAUCUGCCCAGCUGUAGAUGCUUGAAGGAGCCAACUGGUUCAGCCACGCUCGUGCCGAGCCAUCGAGGAUCAGGGGGAGAUGUUUCAUGGCGACCUGGUCAUCUCCGCCACCGAUCUGGACCGCCACUCGGUAGUCGUCCAGCCACGUUUCUGGCUUGGAUUCUCGUGUAAACUUGCUGAUCCCCGUCGCCAAUCGGAAGUUGGGAGGGAUGUCAGCUGAACGGAUGGCCCAACUGAAACACUCAGGGCCAGAGACAAUGGUCCUGCUUCCACUCGGACGGUCUUUGUCGUGACCAUCACGGUGAGCUCGACUCUUGUCGACCUUCCUGUGGGCGAUGUACCCUCUUGUGUCGGGCCUUGGAUCAUAUGUGUCACCGACUGAACGCCGAUCAUCAUGAUGUCGGGGCCCGUAAGGUCCACCCCGCGGAGGGGUGCGUGAACGGCGACGAUCUUCGGGAUUCAUGGAACGGCUGCCUCCUCUACGUCGCUGAUGAGAAUCGGGGCUAUAAACCGACCGAUGUGUGUUCGCGUGAACAGAACUGUUGUGGAUCCUGUUGUGUGACUAGGAGACCGCCAAAUUAUGCUGCUGCGCCGUGUGCAACAGGGCACGGAUCUGCUCGAUCCCUCUACCAGCCUCUGAAUCAGUCGGUUGGAGGGAAUCGGCUAUCUUGGCAGUGGCAGCCAGGUUGAGGACGGGUGUGCGGAACACCUCCAGGUUGCUCUGACGAGUGCGUCGACUGGCAGAAUGGCGGGGUUGACGGCGAGCGCCGGAUGACUCGCCGACCUCGUGCUCGUUCCGACCAGUCUGGCGGGGACUUUCAUGGGAAUUGGCCAUGAGAACUUCGGUUGUGGGCCUGCGACCCAAGUACUCGGAAGGCAACUCAAUCGGAACUGAGUCCAAGCACUGGGACAACGGUGCGACCACAACCGACUCGAGGACCGCCAAAUGAGAGGACGCGUUCUGGCGCGCCAGGGCGUGUCGCACCCAACGCUGGAGCCGCGGACGGCGGGACCGCUUGUUGCGGCGCGUGACGGGGGCGAAGAUCGACACCGGAGCCGAUUGCUGGAAAAGAAGGACACAAUGAACACCGACACGGAAGUGUGUAGCCCCGCGACUGGGGAACGCCUCGACGUCGAGGGGCGCAUCCCGAUGCCAUGCCGAAUCGUCAAUGAUGAAGGAGAGUGCGCCGAAGAGGAUCUCAUGACCCAUGCACAAAUCUCCACCGGACGACAUGAUGAAAAGAUGAAGUCGCAAACUCGCCGGAAGUCGCUUAGACGCCUGCCCCCACGGUGGGCGCCAACUGUCGUGGGUAUAAGUCUGACAGUAGAUGAGUAGGGUACGAAAGGAUGGGCAGAGCCUUAGCUACGGCGAGGAUGUAUGAGUUCACGCCCCUCUACGGUGGAGGUAAAAGCCCUACGUCUCAGUGCUCUUGGGAGCUUAGUGUCGAGUGGAAUAUGGGGUUACAAAAAUGCCAACCCCUGCACCAGUGGGGAAGGGCGGCUUAUAUAGAGUGCGCUUGAAAGUGCGUUAUAUCGACUAGAGGGGGGUGAAUAGGAGAUUUUUAGAAUUUCAUCACUCAAGGAAAUUCUUUUUGAGGAAAUUCCUCACUGAUGACUAACUUCAGCGGAAACAGUAAAGGNNNNNNNNNNNNNNNNNNNNNNNNNNNNNNNNNNNNNNNNNNNNNNNNNNNNNNNNNNNNNNNNNNNNNNNNNNNNNNNNNNNNNNNNNNNNNNNNNNNNNNNNNNNNNNNNNNNNNNNNNNNNNNNNNNNNNNNNNNNNNNNNNNNNNNNNNNNNNNNNNNNNNNNNNNNNNNNNNNNNNNNNNNNNNNNNNNNNNNNNNNNNNNNNNNNNNNNNNNNNNNNNNNNNNNNNNNNNNNNNNNNNNNNNNNNNNNNNNNNNNNNNNNNNNNNNNNNNNNNNNNNNNNNNNNNNNNNNNNNNNNNNNNNNNNNNNNNNNNNNNNNNNNNNNNNNNNNNNNNNNNNNNNNNNNNNNNNNNNNNNNNNNNNNNNNNNNNNNNNNNNNNNNNNNNNNNNNNNNNNNNNNNNNNNNNNNNNNNNNNNNNNNNNNNNNNNNNNNNNNNNNNNNNNNNNNNNNNNNNNNNNNNNNNNNNNNNNNNNNNNNNNNNNNNNNNNNNNNCACAGUCCCUACCGUAUUUUCCUUGAGCUAAGGACACACAGUCCUCGCCCAACACUCGUGGUAAGUCUUCAUGGCAGACUUCCAAACCCUCACAAACUUGGUCACCCGACGAUCCACAAUUGACUGCUCGAUUGCUCUAGACCUUGACGUCUAACCGUCUGGAGGAUCCGCAGUCCUCAAAGGUAAAAUGCUUCAGUCCCACACAGGAACAACUUCUUCAGUGAUGCUCAAUCACUAGGUUUGGUUUGUGGUUUCGGUGGGUGGUGUAUUUCCUCACUGAUGAAUUACUUUUGAAAGCUUUGAGGAAUUUGGGUUGCUCUUAUGACAAGUGUCAGUUUCUAACGGAGCAGCCAACCAGCUAAUGGUUGUGGGGGUGGCUAUUUAUAGCCUGGGAGCAUCCCGACAUGAUUUGACACUAAUGCCCUUAAAUAAUAUGACCGUUGGAGUGGAUAAGACCAAUGACUUUGCGUGGUUAUCGAAACGGUCGGAACCCUCAAGUGUGAGAGUCCUCAUGUCACUCAUAUUCCUCACUUGAGGCUUUUGAUAGGAUUAGGCUUGGGUUGAGCAUCAUGAGGAAAUUCACUCCAUAGUGUAACUUCGACCCCCUUUAACAGUACGGUGUUCCUAUUCAUCAAUUGCGAAGAAAGUAAAACAGAAAACGUAAAUCUUCACGCUUCAAUUUCUUCAGAACGAUUUUCUUUAGGAACCACUGGUCUUCUCAAUAUCAGUAUCUUCAUGAGCACACUGCAGAGAAUUCUGUAGACAGACCGGGGUGUGUACUUGAGCUCAUGGACGAGGAAUGUGGUUCUUGAGGGUUUUCCUGCAGCCAAAGGCUUCAUGAGGACUUCCAUCAUUCCAUUUGGCAGCUCACGCUCACCAUAAAGCUUCACUGCCCCAUCUGAGGGAAUUGGUACAUGCAGUUCUCUGAGAAGUUCAGAAGCAGGAGCUUUGUAGUGAGUAUUUUGGGACAUCCACUCAAACACCCAAGUGUCGAUGUCAUCAGCGUUGCCAGAUAUGUGCAGAAUGGCAUAGAACUAAAGAAUGAGCGCGCUAUUCCAGUCUGAUAUGUCUGAGCACAUAGGGAGCAAACCUGCAUCGUGGAGUACACUGAGGAUUGGUUCCAUGCAAGGUAUUGCUACAAGCUCAACAUGAGGAAUGUGCUGGUGCUGGAAUAUCUUGUUGCAUCCACAGAGCACAGAGGCAUAGUAGUUCAUCUGGGUCCUUGUCCAAAACUUCAGAUGCCUCAUUUGAGGCUUGUCAUAAGGAUUCUCUCCGAUGAAAUACAUGCGUUCUUCAAAGAAAUCUUCUUUCUGAAACUUUGGACGCUUGGAGAAUGGUUGGCGCUGAACUGGCUUAAAGUUUUGCUGAGGAAUGGGGGAGGAGACAACAAUGGCAGUCUCUGGGUUGAGCACAAUGAAUUCCUUGUCUUGGGUGGGUACAUUUUCUUCAGCUUUUUCUUCAAGGAAAGGAUUUCAUCAGCUGGUACAUCACGCUGAGGAGAUGAUGCUUGCUCUGGCUGAGCCUUAGGCUGAGGAAUUUCCACAUCUUUCUCAUUUGGAGGAGUUGGGUCAGCCUGUUCCUCAUCUUGAGGAGUCUUCUUAGAAUGUACAAUUUCAUCAGUCUGAGGAAGUUCAGCUUGUUUUUCUUCAGCUGGCUUUGUGGAAAAAGCAGUUUCAUCAGCUGGUGCAGCUGAUGCUUGAGCAGUCUCUGUCUAAGGAAUAGGAGGUUGAGGACUGUCGUCAAUCUGAAUUUCCUCAUCAGUGUGUUCCUCAGAGGCGACAUCCUUCAUUUCCUCAUCUGCCCUUGUAGCUGGGUCAUCAAUGACGACCAUCUCAUAGGAAGGGGCGACAUUGAGAGGCACUGGGUCCAGAGGAGCAUUUUCUUCAGUUUCUUUGAGGCGCUUUGCCUCUGUCUCUUCUACUGCUGAAGAGGCUUUUCUCUUCUUGGCUUCCUUUUCAGCAGCCCUUGUUUUCUUCGCGUCUGAUGCAGACGGAAUUAUCUUCUUCACCUUUGAAGCUUUUGGUGAAGGUGUUCUUUCUUCAGAUUCUUCAGCUGGUAGUGAGGAACCAGCUGGAACAGAGUCAUCAGCCUGCUUUGAUGAAGCAGCUGGAUCAGGAGCAGUCUCAUCAUUGGUUGCAAUUUCAUCAAUUGCAGUUUCCGUGAUGAUUUCUUCAAUGGCCGGUUCAUCAACACGGUGCUCUUGGUGUUCUUCCUCAGCUUGAGGAGUUUCCUCCUCAUCAGGAGAUGCAUCUUCUGGCUGCUCAACCAAGGACUGAGGAGUUGGUGCUGGGGGUGGGUUUCUUUUGUUGUAGUCAUCAACAACACUAGUGGCUAGCUUGACGAAAUUGCUCUUGAUGCUUUUGCGAUCUGACAGCUUGGCGUACUUGUCAGUCAGUACUUGCAGCUCUGCCUGGGUUGACACCAGUGCAUCAGGAGUAAGUUUGAGGAGAUUCUGCCUGAGGAAUUUCUCCUUUUUGUCCUUUGCAACCUUUGCCUACCUGGUCUGCUGUUCUUUCCACUUGGCUUCAUUUAUGAAGGUGGCCACCAUGUGGCUGAUGCCAGGAGGAAGUUUCAAAUCAUCAAUGGGAGUGUUUGGAUCCUCAUACCAGAUAUUGAUGUAGUCAAGGAGGACCUUGGGGUCCAUGGCCAGAGGAAUAGCACUGCCUGAUGCUUGUGCUACCCUUUCUUGCUUGUUUCUGAUGAUGGCUUGCAGGGUUUCAUCAUUAUAUUCAUCACUUCCCUCUGAUGCAGAUGGGACUGCGAUGAUUUUGCUGGGGCUGGGCAGAGGUGCAGGUUCAACAGUUGUCAAAGUCUUCACAAGUGGUGUUGAAGACUUAGUCUCCGAGCUAGUUGCAGCUGGGAGUGAGGAGCUGGAGCUGGCGGUCGUAGGUUUCACGACUUGCUUCUGUACUGGUUUUUCUUGAGGCUUUGGAGGUGGAGCUGAGGAUUUUUGUGCUGAGGAUAUUGGUGCAGAGGGUUUUGGCGAUGAUGGUUUUGGUGUUGAAGGUUUUGGUAGUGAGGGUUUUGGUGCUGAGGGUUUUGUGACAGAAGUCUGAGAAGACUUCUCUUGAGGCUUUGGAGCCUUUGGCUUUGUUGGCGCACACUGCAUUUGAGGAAUCUCUAAGCCUGAGGUUUCUGCAGCUGAGGAAUGAGCAGCACCGGAGGCAGCAGCUGAGGAUUCAUUGAAUUUCCUCACUGCAGCUUCUGCUUGCCUCUUGAGCUUGGCCAGAUGCUUUUCUUUCUCAUCUGGAUAGUCAUCAAUGGUCAUGAGAGUUGAGGGAUGUGCUACUUGAUGAUCCUCAAGUGGGGCCCUUCUGCCAGGAGGCUUCAAAGCGAAUUUCUUCGCAUAUUUGGGAGUCACAAACCUAUACUCCUUCCAUUCCUUCGCCCAUCGGCGUUCAAUUUUCUGCAGCCGUAUUUUUCUCUUGGCCAUUGUCUCAUGUUCAUCAGGUGUGCAGUAGUCCAGGUAAAUGUCCUCAGGGAUAUCAACAGCUGUGUUCUGCUCAAGCUUCUUUCCUCCCUUCUGUUUUCUGUCUUCCUCCAUUUUCUUGAGUUGAGGAUUUUGCUGAUGAUUUUGAACUCGUGAGGAUUCUGAUGAGCCUUGAAGAGUUUCUUCCAGAAACGCUGCAAAUGAGUUAAUGUGAUGAGAACCGAGAGAUUCAUCAGCUGACAUGUGUGUACCUGUGAACAGAGUAUGGUUGCGAGGAAUUUGGAGAGGUCAUAUGCGUUCUCAGGUUUGAGGAAAAUGAAAAAGUUUGAUAGUUUGAGGAAUAUAACCAGUGGUUGAGGAAUUUGCCUAAGCAUACUGUUCUUGGGUUCCAGAGUUGUACAGGUCCGAAAAUUUGCACAACUGAGGAAUCUCGUGAUAGUCUUAGAUGCUUAGCAUAGUUCAUCAAUAAUUGUGGUGAUAUGUAGUGUUCGAGGAAUCAUGUGCGCAUCGUAUCUUGGGGAAAAACAGAUUUCACAUAGAAGAUGUAAAAUUUCAGAUCUAAUAUGCUGUAAAAAUGGGAUAUAUUUACCCUAGAAGGUGCGUACGAAGAACACAGAAGGUAGUGUUGGAGAGGCUCUUCGUACGAGUGUCCAAUGCACCCUAACUUGGCGACAGAGGACGUCUACGGCGGCGGCGGACAAAGAUGAUCCGACUCCGGCGUGGUUCUUGGCGACGAAGAGGUCGAGGCAGCAAAGCUCUUCCUCACCGGCAACAAGACUACCAGCGGUGGCGCUAGGGUUCGGUGGAGUGUGCUGUGGCAGGAGAGCGAUGAGGCGAAGAAGAGGAUACCGAGGGGGAUAAGGACAUAUUUAUAGCCCAAAAGUUACUGUUUGGUGCGAAAAUUUCGGACCAAAUAGCCCUUGCCUCUACGUCUCCGCAGGACACGUGUAGCUCCCAUACGAUGCGGUGGAGAUAGUGGAGAUCGUGGUUAUCCGAUCGUGGGAAGUGGGGGUUCAGUUACUGUGUCUUUAAAGAAACAAUUUUUGAAGAUUUGAGGAUUUUCCUUACAAAAUCAUCAGCUAACAAGGACGCAGUGAGGAUUUUGAACAAAGUUUCAAAUAGAACGCAUAUGAAGAAUUGAAUAGACUGGGUAAGUAUAGAAUAGAGGGAAAGUAGGGUCCAAUCACAUUCACUUAGCAGAAACAUCAACUUGAAGAAAUAGCCAUAAGUGAAUGAUGUUGAGGACUAGAAAUCACAGUCUACCUAGUCAAAUGAAAGUCAUCAAGUUUUUUUGAAGAUUUUGUAAUAAAUCAUCACAAUGGAGAAUCAACUGUUUUGAAGAAAAACACAUUGUGAGGAAAUUGAUCAUUUGAUGAAAAAAAAAACUUGAGGAAUUUCAUAUAGGGUGGUGGCGUUACCCACCAUAUAAGAACGUUGAUUACAGACGCCGCGUACAAUUGUCGUAGGGCCCUGAGAAUCAAUUUCUUCGUUAAUUUCUUCACAUUCAGAGUGACAUUCUUCAUCAGUUGAAGAAAAUCGAUUCAUCAUGUGUUGCACAUCUAAGUCAUCAACUUUUCAUAAGUGUCAGGAUGUGUGGAUGUUUUCUUACAAAACAUUUGAAGAUUCUAUGAUAUUUAGCUCACACCGCAACUUGCAAAACCUUUUCUCAUCCAAGGGCUUAGUGAAGAUAUCUGCUAGCUGAUCAUCAGUCUUCACAUGGUCGAUGAGGAUAUUGCCCUUGAGGACAUGGUCCCGAAGAAAAUGAUGACGAAUCUGGAUGUGCUUGGUCUUCGAGUGCUGUACUGGGUUGUAUGCAAUCUUGAUAGCACUCUCAUUGUCACAGUAGAGAGGUUCAUUUUUCAUGUUGAUGCCGUAGUCCUUGAGGGUUUCCUUCAUCCAUAGCAAUUGAGCACAGCAAGAACCAGCAGCAAUGUACUCAGCUUCGGCAGUGGAGAGUGAUACGCAGUUCUGCUUCUUUGAGGACCAGCAAACUAGUGAUCUUCCGAGGAAAUGGCAUGUGCCAGAAGUUGACUUGCGAUCCACACGGUCACCAGCAUAGUCUGAGUCAGAAUACCCUACCAGAUGAAGAUUGGGCCCUUGGGAUACCAUAAUCCUAGUGUUGGUGUGUGAGCUAAGUAUCGAAGAAUAUGUUUCACAGCCUUAUGGUGUGAUUCCUUCGGUUUUGCUUGAAAACGUGCACACAUGCAAACACUAAGCAUUAUAUCUGGCCUAGAUGCACAUAGAUACAAUAAAGAGCCAAUCAUAGAACGGNNNNNNNNNNNNNNNNNNNNNNNNNNNNNNNNNNNNNNNNNNNNNNNNNNNNNNNNNNNNNNNNNNNNNNNNNNNNNNNNNNNNNNNNNNNNNNNNNNNNNNNNNNNNNNNNNNNNNNNNNNNNNNNNNNNNNNNNNNNNNNNNNNNNNNNNNNNNNNNNNNNNNNNNNNNNNNNNNNNNNNNNNNNNNNNNNNNNNNNNNNNNNNNNNNNNNNNNNNNNNNNNNNNNNNNNNNNNNNNNNNNNNNNNNNNNNNNNNNNNNNNNNNNNNNNNNNNNNNNNNNNNNNNNNNNNNNNNNNNNNNNNNNNNNNNNNNNNNNNNNNNNNNNNNNNNNNNNNNNNNNNNNNNNNNNNNNNNNNNNNNNNNNNNNNNNNNNNNNNNNNNNNNNNNNNNNNNNCAUGGACAUCUGAUAUUCCUCACUCAUCAUGUUGGCAAAUUCAUCAUUGUAUCUUUUGUCAGUACAGCCAAAUAUAAUAUCAUUGACAUAUAUUUGACACACGAAUAGCUCAUUAUCAUAGGAUUUAGUGAAAAGAGUUGGAUCGAGUGAACCAGGUUUUAAGCCUUUCUUCAUGAGGNNNNNNNNNNNNNNNNNNNNNNNNNNNNNNNNNNNNNNNNNNNNNNNNNNNNNNNNNNNNNNNNNNNNNNNNNNNNNNNNNNNNNNNNNNNNNNNNNNNNCUGGUGACAAUAUGGACAGCGAUGUUCAUAAUAAUGCUAAACCUAGCAGUGAUGAGGAUGUGGAGAUUGAACAUACGGUUAAUCCUGAUAACCCACAACCUAAGAGAUACGAUUAGAAUGACUUCACUGCUAGGAAUCAUGGUAAAGAAAGGGAGCCAUGGGUUCAGAGACCUAUGCCCUUUCCUCCUAAGUCAUCUAAGAAAAAGGAUGAUGAGGAUUUUGAGCGCUUCGUUGAGAUGAUAAGACCCAUCUUUCUGCUGAUGCGGUUAACUGAUAUGCUCAAAAUGUCUUCGUAUGCCAAGUACAUGAAAGAUAUCGUGACAAAUAAACGGAAGAUACCAGAUCUUGAGAUCUCCACGAUGCUUGCUAAUUACACAUUCAAAGGUGGAACUCCUAAGAAACUUGGUGACCCCGGAGUGGACACUAUACCUUGCUCCAUUAAAGGAAACUACGUAAGAACCGCCUUAUGUGACCUUGGAGUCGGUGUUAGUGUUAUGCCGCUCUCUCUUUAUCAUAGACUUGAACUGGAUAAGUUGACUCCCACUGAAAUUUCUUUGCAAAUGGCCGAUCUAAUCAACUGCUUUCCCUAUCGGCAUUUGCGAGGAUGUGCCUGUUGUGGUUGCUAACACCAUUAUCUUAACAGACUUUGUUAUCUUGGAUAUUCCCGAGGACGAUGCUGUUGCAGUCAUCCUCGAAAGACCCUUUUUAAACACUGCAGGGGCUGUUAUAGAUUGCAACAAAGGCAAUGUCACUUUCCAUGUCAACGGUAAUGAGCACACAGUGCACUUUCCGAAGAAAAGAUAUCAAGUACAUUGCAUGAAUGCUAUCGAAAAAACUUCAUCGAUUCUCAUUGGGAGCUUUGAAUGCCCUAUUCCUCGUGUCAAGAUGAAGUAUGAUUUGCUUGUUGGGGAGAUACAUAUCCCCAUUGAGGUGACUUAGUGGCUAUUCGAAAAUUCUCCGUUCUCUCUUGUGAUUCGAGAAGGUUUUGUCAUGAGGACUUGAUCAACCCCAUUGACGGAUUUCUUUUGAUGACCACGAAAUGGAUGAAUCAAAGAGUCACAUACCUCUGUAUUAAUCUUUCACUUUCUGUUGCUUAGAAGAAAAAUGAUAGAUUUAGUUUAGUUUUUCCUGUUUUCUGCUUUAGCGUCUCGGAGAAAAAUACCCCGAAAAUAAAAGUUCUCCGAUGGUCCUAAAAAUCUAGUAUGAUUUUUUUUUGGAAUAUUUGAAAAAUACUGGGCCUCAGAGCUGGCCUGGGGGCUAGACCAGUGGGCCAGAAGCCCUGCAGCUGCCGCCCGUAUACUUGCUUUCAUGAGAGAAGCCACUAGUGAACACUAUGCCCCCCGGGUCUAUUCACACCUAUCGUUUCCACUGUCGCUUUUACUUUUCUUUGUUACUUUGUUGCUUUCAGUUCUCACUUGGCAAACAAUCUAUAAGGGAUUGACAACCCCUUCAUAGUGUUCGGUGCAAGCUCUUUGUGUUUGUGCAGGUACUUGUGAUAUUCCUUCACUAGAUCGAUACCUUGGUUCUCAAAACUGAGGGAAAUACUUACCGCCGCUGUGCUACAUCACCCUUUCCGCUUUGAGGGAACACCAACGCAAGGCUCCAAGGCCACGGGGGAAUCCUUUGCAUAUUUGCCAAGGAAGUCCCUAAAGGCGUAGCCGUAGCAGAAGGAUUCCUGGUGUCGUUGCUGAGGAGUAUCAAGACAAGAAUAGUCUUUCGUCAGCGCAUGUUUCUGGCGCCGUUGGAAGGUCUUUUGUUGCAGUAGCACCACCUCCUAAACCAACUCCUAAGAAAAGAGGUAUUCUAUUCCUCAGUCCCGAAGAUAUGAAAGAAGCCAAGAAAUCUAUGCAAGAGAAAGGCAUUAGAUCUGAACAUGUCAAAAAUCUACCACCUACCGAAGAUAUCCAUGGUCUCGAUAACCCGAUACAAGUAGUAGAAGUGAAUUCUCUGCGUAGGUUUGAUGAGAGUGAUAUUCCUUUUGACAAACCUGCUAGCCUAUGCUUUGAUGAAUUUGACANCUGGUGACAAUAUGGACAACGAUGUUCAUAAUAAUGCUAAACACCCCGAAAAUAAAAGUUCUCCGAUGGUCCUAAAAAUCUAGUAUGAUUUUUUUGGAAUAAUUGAAAAAUACUGGGCCUCAGAGCUGGCCUGGGGGCUAGACCAGUGGGCCAGAAGCCCUGCAGCUGCCGCCCCCCUGGUGGCGGCUAGCAAGCUUCUGGGGGGCACAGGGACCCCCUCCACUCAUUCCAGCUCCCAUCCUCUUCUUCUACCGCCAGAAAAAAUUGUUUCGCAGCUCAAACCCGUGUUCUUGCUCAUUUGGCCGUGAUUUUCAAUCUCCUUGCUCAAAGCACCAUUCUCCGAACCGUUUUGGGGAAAUUACUCCUUGGUAAGUGACACCUCUAUUGGUCCACAAGGUGUGGUUGGUCUUCAUUCACUUUUCUCUUGAACUUCAAAAAUUUCAGCAAAAGGAAAUUAUGUUCAGGAGGAAGUUUCAUGGUAGUUCCUCAAGUAAGAAGGGUCCCCGUCUUUCUUUUCGGGAGGCCGAACCUUAUCAACUAAGAGACGCACCGGUACAACCAUGUGAAUGGCCUUCCGAUGAGUUCACGAUCGAAGCAGGCUUCAAGGAUGAGUUUGAUACACUUGUCCGCAAUGCCGGGUUAGAAGAAUUCCUCUCAGAUAAAUGUGAACGGUAUGCUAUGCUCACUGCCUCUUUAGAUUUUCAGUUGAUCGUGACUCAUCCAUACUGUUUGAUCUGUAUGAUAAAUCCUACACCAUGUAUUUGGUGGAUUUCAAUAGGAUUUGCAAGAUACCCGAUGGGGGUAGUAUUAAUGAUCCUUCUAAGUCUUCGGUCAGAGACUUUAUCUCUAGUAUAACUGUUGGAGAAACUAGAGAUAUCACGCAAGCCACCAUAGGAAGCAUCCAUUUCCCUGCCUUGCACUACUUUGCCCUCUUCAUAGGUAGGUGCAUUAACGGCAAGGGUGCACAUUGUCACCUAUGCGCUUCCGACCUUAGUAUCCUUAAGAGCGCAGUAACAGGUGACAGGAGCUUCAAUAUGGGAGCUAUAAUAGCAAGGAGGCUGAAUAAUAAUGCCAUUGAGGGGGAUUUCUUUGGUGGAAUUUAUGCUAUACGCUUAGCAAAUUUUCUUGGAGUAUCCAUCCGUUCAGAAGACCCUCCUCUCCGUACAGCCUACCUUGAUCGUGUCGCUCUAAAAUGCUACCAGUUCCUUGAGAGGGAUCAUGGAUCCCUCCUAUACCGCUUGAUGUUUUCCAUAUUACCCUUCCUGCUCCUGCUUUCUUUGACUUUCAGGUAAAACAAAUAUACUACAUAACCAUAGGAGAGGGAGAGGAGUAUGAGAGGGAGGCGACGGCUGCUCGACUUCGUGAGGCAGCUAUUCAGGAAGUGGCUGCAGCACUCCUGAAUAACACUCAUUAUGAUUUUGGGUUCCGCCAGGACCAUCCUUGGGAGUAGACCAAGCUAGGCCAAAAGCCUAAGCUUGGGGGAGUACGUGUUCUCACCGACCCUACAUUCAUGCUUAUGCUUUCACUUUGUUAGUCGGUGUUUACACUUUGCCACUGUAUUAUCCAUGCUAGUUUAUUUUUGUUUUCUUGUUUUGUGUCCUUUUAAGAAAACCCAAAAAUAUUUUUCUUUCUUCUUUUGCUUGUUGUGUGCUUUCCCGUGUAAAUAGUUUUCUUUUUCUUUGGGUCAAGGUAGAAGAUAUUGGUUACAAUGUUUAGUGGUUCUUGCAUGCAUACCUAUUUAGCUUUCAAAGAGCCAUAUUACUUUUUCUUCUCCUUUGUGUUUGCCUGCAGAUUCAGCUUAGUCCAAUGCACGAGCACUCUUAUUAUUGUUCACAUCGUUCGAUCGUGCAAAUGAAAGGCAAUAAUGAUGAUAUAUGAUGAAGUGACUGAGACUCGAAAAGCAGGUAUGAACUCUAUCUAUUUUGUUUUUGUAAAUAUGACUAGCUUGUCAUGCCUGAUUCAGCUUUUUUGUGAGAGAACCAUGUUUGCAAUGAAAACUUAGAGAUCAUAGUUUCUAAUGCCAUGCUUAACUAGCUGAGAGCUUAUAAUGGUUUGUCUUGAAUGCCAACAUAGAUUUUGAGAUGACUAUGAUGUAGUAUGAUAGGAUGGUAUUCUCCUUUGAAUGAUUCAAGUGGCUUGACUUGGCGCAUGUUCAUGCAUGUAGUUGAAACAAAAUCAACAUAGCCUCUAUGAUGUUCGUGUUCAUGGUGAUUUAUAUCUUGUUCAUGCUUGCAUUCAAUGUUAGUCAAACUCAUUGCAUCUUGAUGACUGUUGUCGCUCUCUAGUUGGUCGCUUCCCAGUCUUUUGCUAGCCUUCACUUGUACUAAGCGGAAUACUACUUGUGCAUCCACUUCCAUAAACCCAAAAGUUUUUCCAUGAGAGUCCCCAUACCUACCUAUUUGCGGUAUCUAUCUGCCGUUCCAAGUAAAUUUGCAUGUGCCACUCUGUAAACCUUCAAGAAAUAAUCUGUUUUGCAUGGCCGAACCGCUCAUGUGUUGACAGGGGGCUAUUGGUAUCUUCCAUGUUAGGCGUGUUAUCCUCGACAUGUGUUUAUUCACUGUCAUUCACGAGAAAGGGGCGGUAAUUGGAAUGCCCAGUUUCACGCUUAAAUCGAAAACAUAACUGUAAAACAAGACUUCCCCCGGACUCAUGUUAGUAUGGACGGUACCCGAGGAUUCGGCUAGCCAUGGAGUGUGAUUGAUUGGUGGUGGGGGAGUUAAAACUUUAUUUUUCUGUUUGGGAAUCGCCUAUAGCAUGAGUAGCAUGGAAGAUAUUGAGAACUCUUGGUCAUUGCGUUGACAAUGAAAGCAUGCCACCCAAAAUUAUUAUCUCUGUUUUCAAAGCUUGAGCUCUGGCACCUCUGCAAAUCAAUGCUUCCCUCUGCGAAGGGCAUGUCUAUUUAUUUUCCUGUGGAGUCAUCCUCUUCUUAUAUAAGCACAAAUUAGAGAGCACCUCUAUCAUUUUUAUGCUUUGCUUUUUGAUUGAUAUUGAGUAUGACUAUGACUGGAUCUUCGUUGCUAUGAAUUACAAUGUUUAGUGAGCCCUUGAUCUUUGAAAGUGCUCUGCAUUUAUGUUUUGCGGUCUCAGAAAGAGCUAGCGAGAUACCACCUAUUCAUAUUGCUUCAUGCCUGUUUUGAUUGAAGUGUUGGUAUUUGAAACUCGUUAUUAUUUGCUCGUUAGCUGAUUAUGCCAUUGAUAUUAGUUUCCCAUGAGACCUCUGUGUCACUUGCUUAUGUGGUUAACUUGUGAUCUUGCUGAAAUUCUGGUUAUGAGUUAGACAUAGUUGCAACAACAAGAUCAAACAGAGUUUGUCAAAGUUUUUCUUUCUCUUCCAGUUUGUCAACUGAGUUUCUUGAGGACAAGCAAGGUUUUAAGCUUGGCGGAGUUGAUACGUCUCCAUCAUAUCUACUUUUCCAAACUCUUUUGCCCUUGUUUUAGACUCUAAUUUGCAUGAUUUGAAUGGAACAAACCUGGACUGACACUGUUUUUAGCAGAAUUGCCUUGGUGUUGUUUUUGUGCAGAAAUGAAAGUUCUCAGAACGUCCUGAAAUUUUACAGAGAAUAUUUUUGGAAAAUAUGAAAAAUACCUGCGCAAAGAUCCACCAGAGGGGAUGGGCUAGUGGGCCACAAGCCCUGUAGCCGCCCCCCCCCCUGGUGGCCGCUAGCAAGCUUGUGCGACCCACGUGGCCCUGCCGCCCCCAAACUCAGCUCUAUAAAUUCAUUUUCGUCCCAGAAAAAAAAUCAAGAGAGAAGAUUUCGUCGUGUUUGCGAUACGAAUGCGCCACCACAUCCCGUUCUUCAUCUGGAGGGCAAAUCUGGAGCCCGUUUUGGGCUCCGGAGAGGGGAAAUCAUCGCCAUCGUCUUCAUCAACCUUCUUCCCUCUCCAAUUCCACGAAGCUCUUCAUCGUUCGUGAGUAAUCUAUUCGUAGGCUCACUGGGCGGUGAUGAGUAGGAUGAGAUCUAUCAUGUAAUCGAGUUAGUUUUGACGGGGAUUGAUCCCUAGUAUCCACUAUGUUCUGAGAUUGAUGUUGCUACUACUUUGCCAUGCUUAAUGCUUGUCACUAGGGCCCGAGUAGCAUGAUUUUAGAUCUAAAAUUAUUAUGUUGUCACCAAUAUAUGUGUGUUUUAGAUCCGAUCUUGCAAGUUGUAGUUACCUACUAUGUGUUAUGACCCGGCAACCCGGAGUGACAAUAACCGGAACCACUCCCGGUGAUGACCAUAGUUUGAGGAGUUCAUGUGUUCACCAAGUGCUAAUGUGUUGGUCCGGUUCUUUAUUAAAAGAAGAACCUUAAUAUCCCAUAGUUUCCUUUAGGACCCCGCUGCCACGGGAGGGAUGGACGAUAGAUGUCAUGCAAGUUCUUUUCUCUAAGCACGUAUGAUGACACACGGAAUGCAUGCCUACAUCACAUUGACGAACGGGAGCUAGCCACAUAUCUCUCCGCGUUAUAACUGCUGCAUGAUGAAUAUCAUCCAAACAAAUCACCGACCCAUUGCCUACGAGUUUGUCCCACUGCUGCUGUUACUAUUGUUGCUGCUGCUGUUACUUGCUACUGUUUCUACUUGUUACUGCUGUCACUACUGCUGUUCCUUGCCACUGCUGCUACCUGCUACAAUUUUGGUUCGCUCGGCGUUGACGGGAAAAGACAAUUUCUGUCAACGGGCAACUUCUGGCGCCAUUGAUACAAUCGUUAGGAAUAGUCUGCCGUCAACAGAUCAUUUCUGACACCGUUCUUAUCAUACUACUUUGUUGUUGAUAUUUUGCUUGCAGAUAUUAAUCUUUCAGGUGUGGUUGAAUCUGACACAUUCAGCUGCUAAUACUUGAGAGUAUGCUCUCACUUCCUAUUGGCGUACCAACAAAUUUGGGUUGAAUACUCUACCCUCGAAAAAUGCCUCGAUCCCACGCGCUGGUGGGUUAUUGCAAGACAAUUUCUAAUUGUUGAGCAAUCGAGAAUAGCAUUCGUCCAACCAUUGCUAGAGAUCUGAUAAACAACAUUUUUCUGGCAAUGUUGCUGGGGAGUGCCAUCAUGGCUGCACACACCACAUGAGUGGUGACAAAAGCUUGCUGAUGAAUAUGCCACUGACUCCAUCACCCCUGAAGCAAAUCACUUAUGUUGACAAAGGUAAAAGCAAGGUAUUGUGAAUUGGCAAAGUGGUUAUUUCCAAGGACACGCACAUGGACAAAGUGAUGCUUGUUGAGUCCCUUGGGUUUAACCUCAUGUCAGUUUCAAUGCUUUGUGAUCUUGAUAUGGUUGUUAUCUUUGGAAAAUAUAGAUGUGUUGUGAUCAUGGAAUCUGACAGAUCCAAAGUCUUCGAAGGUGUUAGAGGAGGGGAUUUGUACAUUGUUGAUUUCUCUAUAGGUCCUCAACCAGCCACAUGCUUACUAGCAAAACCCUCGGAAGGGUGGCUAUGGCAUCGAAGACUUGGUCAUGCAGGCAUGAGGAAUUUGCACACACUGGCGAAGAACAAGCAUGUCAUUGGCAUGGAAUUAGUCAAAUUCCUCAAGGACCACCUCUGCGGUGCUUGUGAGUCUGGAAAAAUGACCAGAUCCAAACACCCCUCGAAGACUAUCAUGACCACUACUCGUCCAUUUGAAUUGCUUCACAUGGAUCUAUUUGGACCUACUCAUUAUGCCACUCUAACAAAUGAUGUAUCUUUAUAUGGCUUUGUCAUAGUUGAUGAUUAUUCCAGAUACACUUGGGUGAACAUCAUUUUGUAUAAAACUGAAGUGCAGGAAGUCUUCAAACGAUUUUCCUCAAGGGCCUCGACGAACUUCGGCGUCAAGAUCAAACACAUCAGGAGUGAUAAUGGGACAGAAUUCAAAAACACUAGUCUUGAUGCUUAUCUUGAUGAACUUGGUAUUACUCACGAAUUGUCUGCUCCUUAUACUCCUCAACAGAAUGGCGUCGUCGAAAGAAAGAACAGUACUCUGGUUGAAAUGGCAUGGACCAUGCUUGAAGAAUAUCAGACUCCUUGUCAUUUUUGGCCUGAAGCAAUCAACACUGCUUGCCAUAUCAUCAACAGGGUAUAUCUUCACAAAUUCCUCAAGAAAACCUCAUAUGAACUCCUCACUGACAAGAAACCCAAUGUAAGGUAUUUGAAAGUCUUCGGUGCAAAAUGUUGGAUUAGAGAUCCUCACCAUAGCUCAAAGUUUGAACCUAAGGCACAUGACGGUUUUAUGCUUGGUUACGGAAAGGACUCACACACGUGCAGAGUCUUCGGCACCUAUCACAACAAGGUUGUUGAAUCUGUAGAUGUGAGGUUCGAUGAAACUAAUGGCUCGCAAAGAGAGAAAUUGCCUCCUGAUCCAGAUAAGUUGUCUCCUGAGGAAGCAAUAAAGCUCAAAGAUACUGAAGACAUUGUUCCUACUGAGGAAAUUGCUGAAGAAAUGACGCCCAGCACUGAUGAAAACCAAGAAGAUGCUCAUGAGGAAAUUGCUCCAAAACAAAUUCCUCAACCCACACGAAAUCCUCAACCCACACGAAAUCAAGAAGAUGCUCAUGAGGAAAUUGCAAAUGAAGUAGAACUUGACAAAAUCCUCGAUGACAUCAACGCGCCAGGUCCUCUCACUCGCUCAAAAGCUUCACACUUGGUUAACUUUUGUGGGCAUUCUUCUUUUGUGUCUAUCACAAAACCUUCAAAAGUUGCUCAGGCUUUCAUGGAACCUGAGUGGAUUCAAGCCAUGCAAGACGAACUUCUUCAAUUCAACCUGAAUGAUGUAUGGGAGCUCGUCAAACGACCAGAUCCUUUCAAGCACAAUAUCAUCGGCACCACGUGGAUUUUCCAAAACAAGCAAGAUGAGGAUGGUCAAGUGGUGAGGAAUAAGGCACGACUUGUAGCCCAAGGCUACACACAGGUUGAACGAAUUGAUUUCGAUGAAACUUUUGCACCUGUUACUAGACUUGAUACUAUUCGAAUACUACUUGCUUAUGCUAAUCAUCAUAACAUUACCUUAUAUCUAAUGGAUGUGAAAAGCGCAUUCCUCAAUGGUAAGCUUGAGGAAGAAGUAUAUGUUGCUCAGCCCCCAGGUUUUGAGGAUCCAAAGAAUCCAGACAAAGUCUUCACACUCAAAAAGGCGCUCUAUGGUCUCAAGCAAGCUCCUCGAGCAUGGUACGAUACAUUGAAGGAAUUCCUCAUGAAGAAAGGCUUCAAACCUGGUUCACUCGAUCCAACUCUUUUCACAAAAUCCUAUGAUAAUGAACUAUUUGUGUGCGACAUAUAUGUCGAUGACAUCAUAUUUGGCUGUACUGGCAAACGUUACAGUGAUGAAUUUGCUUACAUGAUGAGUGAAGAAUAUUAGAUGUCUAUGAUGGGGGAGCUGAAAUUCUUCGUAGGUCUUCAAAUUCGUCAACGGCGCAAUGGCAUCUUCAUAUCACAGGAGAAAUACCUCAAGGAUAUUCUGAGGAAAUUCGACAUGCAUGAAUGCAAAGGCGCCAAGACUCCCAUGCCUACCAACGACCACCUCUGCACUGACAAAAAUGGUAAAGAAUUCAAUCAGCAGGUAUAUCGCUCAAUGAUUGGAUCUUCACUGUAUUUAUGUGCAUCUAGGCCAGAUAUAAUGCUUAGUGUUUGCAUGUGUGCACGUUUUCAAGCAAAACCGAAGGAAUCACACCAUAAGGCUGUGAAGCAUAUCCUUUGAUACUUAGCUCACACACCAACACUAGGAUUAUGGUACCCCAAGGGCUCAAAUCUUCAUCUUGUGGGAUAUUAUGAUUCUGACUAUGCUCGGGACCAUGUGGAUCGCAAGUCAACUUCUCGCACUUGCAUUUCCUCAGAAGAUCAUUAGUCUGCUGGUCCUCAAAGAAGCAGAACUGCGUCUCUCUCUACUUCCGAAGCUAAGUACAUUGUUGCUGGAUCAUGCUGUGAUCGAUUGCUAUGGAUGAAGCAAACCCUCAAGGACUACGACAUCAACAUGAAGAGCGUGCCUCUCUACUGCGACAAUGAGAGUGCAAUCAAGAUUGCAUACAACCCAAUACAACACUCGAAGACCAAGCACAUCCAGAUUCGUCAUCAUUUUCUUCGGGACCAUGCCCUCAAGGGCAAUAUCAUCAUCGACCAAGUGAAGAUUGACGAUCAACUAGCUGAUAUCUUCACCAAGCCCUUGGAUUAGAAAUGGUUUUGCAAGUUGCGGUGUGAGCUAAAUAUCUUAGAAUCUUCAAAUCUUUUGUAAAAACAUGCACACAUCCUAACACUUAUGCCAAAUUCAUGACUUAGAUACGCAACACACGAGGAAUCGAUUUUCUUCAACCAAUGAAGAGUAUCACUCUUCGUGUGAGGAAAUUAAUGUAGAAUUUGGUUCUCACGGCCCUACGACAAUUGUACGCGGUGCCUGAAAUCAUCAUUCUUAUACGGUGGGUCACGCCACCACACAACUUUGAAAUUCCUCAAUUUGAUUUUCUUCAAAGUUGUUUUUCUUCAAAGCUGAAAUUCAUCAACCUAACACUUUGUCACAAAAUCCUCAAGUUAGUCAAAAUCUUCAAAACCCUUGAUGAUUUUUAUUUGCCUCGAUAUAUAUAUAUAUAUAUAUAUAUAGACUGUGAUUUCAAAGUCCUCAACAACAUUCACUUAUAGCUAUUUCUUCAACUUGAUAUUUUAUCUAAGUGAAUGUGAUCAGACCCUAAUCCCCUCUAUGAUAUACUCAACCAGUCUAUUCAAUUCUUCAUAUGUGUUCUACUUGAAACUUUGUUCAAAAUCCUCACUGUGUCCUUGUCAGCUGAGGACUUUGCAACGAAAUCCUCAAAUCUUCAAAAAUGAUUUUUAAAUCGUUACACAGUAACUCAUCCCCACUUCCCACGAUCAAAUAAGCACGAUCUCCACCUCUUUAAACUCAAGCUACACGUGUCGUGCGGAGACGAAUAGGAAAGGGUAGUUCGGUUCGAAAGAAUCGGCCUAACAGUUUUCACCUGAGCUAUAAAUAUGCCCUUACCCCUUCUGUCCAAACUCUUCGUUCUCUCUCUCGACCUUCUCUCCGCCACAAGCAAAACCUAGCGCCACCGCUAGAAAUCUCGUCAUCGGCGAGGAAAAGCUUCACUGCCUCGACCUCUCCGUCGUCGAGCUCACGCCGAAAGCGGAACAUCUUCAUCCGUCGCCGCCGUAGCCGUCUUCUGCCGCCAAAUUAGGGCGCAGCAGACUCAAACCGAAGAGCUUCUACUGUUGCUACCUCUGCUCUUCGUGCUUGCUAUAUAGGGUAAAUAAAAUCAUAUUUUUACCCUCCCUUUCGAUCUACUAUUUUACCUUAGAUUCGAGAAAUCUAUUUUUCCUGAGUGACUAUCAGCCUCGCACACUCUAUUCCUCAAACACUUGAUGAAUUUCACUAAGCCACUAAAAUUCUUCACAUCAUUCCUCAAUUGUGCAAAUUUUCGAACAUGUACAACUCUAGAACCCAAGAUCAGAGUGCUUAGACAAAUUCCUCAACCCACUGGUCAAAUUCCUCAACUUUUAAAAAAAUAAAUUUCUUCAAAUCAAAGAACUCAUAUGACCUCUCCAAAUUCCUCGCACCUAUACUCUGUUCACACAUACAAAAUAUCAACUGAUGAAUCUCUAGGUUCUCAUCAACUUAACUCAUUUGUAGCAUUUCACGAAGAAAUUUUGCCAGUGUCAUCAGAAUCCUCAAGAGUGCAAAUUCCUCAGCAAAAGCCUAAGCUAAAUAAAAUGGAAGAUGACAGAAAGCAAAAGGGUGGCAAGAAACUCGAAGAAAACACUACAAUUGAUAUCCCUGAGAAUAUAUACCUUGACUAUUGCACACUAGAUGAGCAAGAACCAGUGCCAAAGAGGAAAAUCAGGCUUCAAAAGAUAGAACGCAGGUGGGCUAAGGAGUGGAAGGAAUACCGCUUCGUCACUCCAAAGUAUGCGAAGAAAUUCGCCCUCAAGUCACCUGGCAAAAGGUCUCCUCUUGAAGAUCAUCAGGUUGCAUAUCGUUCAAGCCUCAAAACUAUUGAUAAUUAUCCUGAGGAGAAAGACAAACACUUGUCUAAGCUUUAGAAGAAAGCAGAAGCUGCAGUGAGGAAAUUCAAUGAGGAAUCUGCUGCUGCCACUACAACCACCUCUUCUGUUGCUGAAGCUUCUGGCACAGCUAUUCCUCAAGUGAAGUCUAUGCCACUGAAACCAAAGUCUUCAAAGCCUAAAGAGCAAUUGCUUCAGAAGGAUGCGCCUGCGCCAAAACCGUCAGCAACUACACAGGCUUCAAGGCCUGAACACAAGAAGAUCGUCAAGCAACAGCCUGCUCACUCCAGCUCCUCUGUACCAUCUGCCAUGAGUUCAGAGACAAAGUCUUCACCAACACCUUUGAAGACUAAAAUGACUGUUGGAAGAGGCAUCAGACCCAGCCCAACAAAAGUCAUCAAAGUCCCUUCUGCAUCAGAAGGAAGUGAUGAAUAUGAUGAUGAAACUCUUCAAGCCAUCAUCCGAAACAAGCAGGAAUGCGUCGCACAAGCUUCAGGCAGCGGCAUUCCUCUUGCCAUGGACCCAAAGGUCAUGUUGGACUACAUCAUUGUCUGGUACGAUGACCCUAACACACCCAUUGAUGACUUGAAGCUUCCCCUGGUAUCAGCCAUAUGGUGGCCACAUUCAUCAAUGAGGCCAAAUGGAAGGAGGCGCAAGCCAAACAAGCAAAGACAACAAAGCUGAAGAAGGAGAAAUUCCUCAGACAUAAUCUCCUAAACCUGACGCGUGAUGCUCUUGUGUCAACCCAGGCAGAACCGAAGACUUUGGCCGACAAAUGUACCAAACUAUCUGAUCGUCAAAGUUUCAAGACCAAUUUCAUCAAGUUUGCAACCAAUGCAGUUGAUGAAUACAACAAGAAGGCUGCUCCUCCAGCAAAACCAGCGCAGCCUGAGCAGUCUCAGCCCAACUAUUAUGUUCAGCUCAUGGAGGAAGAUGAAGAAAAAGACACCCCUGCUGAGGAAAUGCCUCAAGAAAGCCGUGCUGAUGCACCGGUUAUUGAGGAAAUAGCUAAGGACAUUCCAGCUCAUAAAUCUGUGCCAGCUGAUGAAUCUGCUCCAGCUGAAGAAAAUGCUUCAGCUGAGGAAACUACUAGGACUGAUACUGCACCAGCUCCUGAAGAAAAAAUUCCUUCACCUCAAUCCUCAAAGGUGAAGAAAAUGGUUCCGUCUGCAUCAGACGUGAAGAAAACCAAGGCUACCGAGAAAGAAGCAAAGAAAAGAAAAGCUUCUUUAACUCCAGAAUCAUCAGAGGCCAAGCGUGAAAACACUCUUGAUGAAACUGCUCCACUGGAUGUUGUGCCUCUAAAGAUAGCUCCAUCAUACACUAUGGCCCUUUUCGGAAUUGACUAUGUCAUUCCUGAAGAAGAUGAGGAGAUUCCAGUUGAUGAGGAAAUGAAGGACGCUAAUUCUCACGAAACCAUGGAUGAGGAAAUUCAAAUUGAUGGUAUUUUGCCGUCCUUCGUUCCUCACAAGACGUCUGAUGAAACUGCACAAGGAUCAGCUGCAACAGCUGAAGAUUUUGCCUCCUCCUCCAAGCGAAUUCCUCAAGCCGAGGAAAACCCAGAAGAAAAUCGUCAGCCCGAAGAAAAUCCUCAACCUGAGGAAAAUCCUCAUCCUAAGGAAAACCCUCAACCUGAACCAAAUCCUCAACCUGAGGUUGAGGCUGAAGAAAAUGCUCCUGCACCCAAUACUAAAACUGCUAUUGUGGUGGUCAGCACUGAGACUACAAUGAUAGUAUCUCCUCAAGAGAAGCAGCAUAAUCUUCAGCCCAUGCAAAAUCAGCCUUUUUCAAAGAGGCCAAAGUUUCAGAAGGAAGCGUUCUAUGAAGAACGUAUGUAUUUCAUCGGCGAAAAUCCUUAUGACAAGCUUCGCAUUAGGCACAGGAAGUUUUGGACAAGGACUUAGAUCAACUAUUAUGCAUCUGUGCUCUGUGGAAGAAACAAAAUAUUUCAGCACAGGCAUAUUCCUCAUGUUGAGUUGGAAGAAAUUCCUUGCUUCGCCCCAGUCCUCAACGUUCUUCAUGAAGUCGGACUGCUGCCACUUUGCACUGAUAUCUGUGAUUGGAACAGUGAUAUCAUUCUUCAAUUCUAUGCAACUCUGCACAUCUCUGGAGACCCGAAGGAUAUCAACACUUGGGUGUUGGACUGGAUGACACAGCACACACAUUACAGAGCCCCUGCUACUGAGCUGCUGCGAGUACUUCCGGUGUCAAGUCCCUCAGAACAUGUUGUGAUGAUGUAUGAUGAACGGGAGUUGCCCAAUAAGUUGAUGGAAGUCCUCACGAAGCCUUUGCCCAAGGAUCAGCCUCCAAGAAUGAUUUUUCUGGUUCAAGACUUGAAGUAUGAACCCAGGACUGUCUACAGGAUUCUAUGCAGUGUCAUUGCUCCAAUCAAGGGCCAUGAUGAUGAAGAAGAUGUUGUAGGCAUCAUGAAGAAUAUCCUCUUCAACAUCAUCCAUGGCAUCCCAAUAAAUCUUCAUGACUUCUUUCUGAGGACUCUGGCUGACAAUGCUAUGUCACCCUUUGAUCUAAAGAUUUACGCUCCAUGGAUCAUGAGAUUCAUCAGACACAGGUGAGGCAUCAACUAUCAUGCUGAUUUCAACAACCACAUUGGAUAUAUGCCUCCUAUCAGAGUCAACAAGAAGACUUUUGAGCAUGUUGAAGGAAAAGGAAAAUCAGUCAGCGAUGAAGGUAGUCGGCCCCUUAAUGGCCAGUUUCGUGAACCAGAUGCAUAUUCUUCAUGGGAUGAUAGUGAAACUCAGGAGCCGCCAAGCCCAGUUGCCCCAAGGGUGAUGACUAACACAGAACUACUCCUCAGUCUUCAUCAGAAGGUCGAUUGCAAUCACAAAUGGGUCAAACGUCAAUUCAGUGCCAUUGUGAAAACCCUCAAUGAGACUCAGAAUGCAGUGAAGAAAAAUCACUAUUAUCUUCAUGAGGUUUUGAUCGCACGUGGGACACUUUGGCUCAUCUGAAGACUCAAGAAUUACUUGAUGAAUUGGAAUUUACUCAGGACUUCGACUGUUCGUGGCCUCCCAAGAGGAAAUUCAAGCCAAUCCCAGUUCUAGACCUUGAGGACAGCUCCUUUUCUUCAUUCCACACUGCAGAGUCUGAUGAAGAUUAAGAAGACACUGCCACCGGCCCAAGGAGGAAGCCCGCCAAGAAUCCUCAUGCGUCUUCUUCAUCAGCCAAGAAGUGUAAGUCUUCAUGGGGCGUUAGUCCUCAGUUUUGUCCCUUUUUCGUCACUUGAUGACGAAGGGGGAGAAAUAUGAGAGUUAGUCUUCACACGGGAUAUAUUUUGGGUCUUAUGAACUUUAUUAAGUUACAAACUCUUGGUUCUUCCGAAGUGUUUUAUGUAAUGAGUUGUAACUUAAGCCCGAUGGUACUCUGACGCUUUUGAACGUUUUUCUUUGCAUAAACAUUCCUCAAAAUAUUAAUGCAGGCAUGCUGAAAUUCGUGAGAUACCAUUUCUCAUCAUGCAUUCUUCAUAUUAUAUGUCAUAUGUAUGCAUGAUUUACAAGACUCAGGGGGAGAUCUCCAUGAUGUAAAUCAUCAAUGUGCAUUUGUUGUGAAAAGCAAAAUCCUCAAGAUAUGCACAUCUUCAGGGGGAGUCUCUCUGUAUCUUGAUUUCAAAUACCUCAAAUGAGUAUUUACAGUUCACAUUUUUCCCCAUUGAAGACUUAACCUAAUUUUCAUCAACCACCAAAAAGGGGGAGAUUGUAAGUGCAUCUAGUGCCCCUUAGUGAUUUUGGUGGUUUGAAGACUUAUAGGUUAAGUAUCUAAUGUGUUCAUGAGUGUACACAGGAUCUAUAAGUCGCUAAGGAGUUUGAAAUAUACGAUGAAUAUCGAACCCUAAAAAUAUAUAUCUUCGGCUGAAGACUUUGAUCACAAAGAAAUUGCGAUGAAAUUGAUAUUACACAUGAAGAUAUUGAAGAUGAGGAAUUCGGUAUGUCCUAAAGAAAAACGAUCCGAAGACUUUGAAGCAUGAAGAUUUAUUCUUUCUGGUUCAUUUUCUUCACUCUUGAGUCAUAGGAUCACCGUACUGUUAAAGGGGGUCGAGGUAACACUACGGAAUGAAUUUCCUCAUGAUGCUCAACCCAAGCAUAAUCCUACCAAAAGCCUCAGGUGAGGAAUAAGAGAGACAUGAGGACUCUCACAGUUGAGGGUCCCGAACAUUGUCGCAAUUCACGCCACAUCACCGAUCUUAUCCACAACAAUGGUCAUAUUAUUUAAGGGCAUUAAUGUCAAAUCAUGUCGAGAUGCUCCUAGGCUAUAAUUAGCCGCCCCCCAUAACCAUUAGCUGGUUGGCUGCUCCGUGAGAAACUAACACUUGUCAUUUAGAGCAACCCAAAUUCCUCAGAGUCUUCGAGAGUAAAUCAUGAGUGAGGAAAUACCCCAAACACCAAACCACAAACCAAAACCAAGUGAUUGAGCAUCACUGAAGAAUUUGUUCCUGUGUGGGACUGAAGCCUUUUACCUUUGAGGACUAUGCAUCCUCCAGACGGUUAGGCGUCAUGGUCUAGAGCAUUCCAGCAGUCAAUUGUGGAUCGCCGGGUGACCAAGUUUGUGAGGGUUUGGAAGUCUGCCCUGAAGACUUACCACGAGUGUUGGGCGAGGACUGUGUGUCCUUAUCUCAAGGAGAAUACGGUAGGGACUUUGUGUCCCGGGACUGUGUGUCCUUUGGUUUCAACACGAAGCCGCUCCAAACCAGACGUACAACUAUCACAGCAGUUGGAACUGGGUCAUCAACCAUUGUCUUCACUGUGAUACGGGUUCUAUUUCUUCAACUCUUUCAAUUCCUCAAUAUUAAAUGUUGAGGAAUUUCAUUGUCACUGUUUGAAGAAUUUGCUGAAGACUUUCUGUGAAAUUCCUCAACCUCAAAUUCUUCACGCAUGUUUAUCUUCAUCUGCUUUCUCUGUGCCUGCGUACUAUGAAAACUGUUUUUCAUAUUCCUCAUCUUGAAAACUGUUGUAGUGAUACUUUGCACCCCUGAUCCUUUGUUGUUUCCGCCGCAAGUUAGUCAUCAGUGAGGAAUUUCCCAGUGAUGAAAUUGUAAAAAUCUCCUAUUCACCCCCCUCUAGUCGAUAUAACGCACUUUCACAACUAGAGGUUCACUAGGGACACAUUGUGAUCUAUAUAUUCACACAUGUAUUACGGUUUCUGGUUAAUACAAUUAUAGCAUGAAUACUAGAGAAUUAUCAUGAAUUGGAAAUAUAAUAAUUCCGACUUUAUUAUUGCCUUUAGGGCAUAUUUCCAACAGUCUCCCGCUUGCACUAGAGUCAAUAAUCUAGUUACAUUGUGAUGAAUCAAACACCCACAGAGUUCUGGUGCUGAUCAUGCUUUGCCCGUGGAAGAGGUUUUGUCAACGGGUCUGCGACAUUCAGAUCCGUAUGUACUUUAUAAAUAUCUAUAUCUCCAUCCUGGAUGUAUCCACGAAUGGAUUUGAAGCGGCGCUUGAUGUGCUUGGUCUUCUUGUGAAACCUAUGCUCUUUUGCAAUAGCAAUAGCUCCAGUGUUGUCACAUAACAGAGUCAUCGGACCCGACGCACUUGGAAUCACUCCUAGGUCGGUAAUGAACUCCUUCAUCCAGACUCCUUCCUGUGCUGCUUCCGAAGUAGCUAUGUAUUCCGCUUCACAUGUAGAUGUCGCCAUGACGCUUUGCUUGCAAUUGCAUGCUACGGCGGCAGAAAUCCUUCUGUUGCCUCUUGAGCUUGCGUUUGUUUUUCCCUUGAAGAGGAAAGGGCGAUGCAGCUUAGGAGCAGUAAGUAUUUCCCUCAGUUUGAGAACCAAGGUAUCCAUCCAGUAGGAGAAUCGCGCCAAGUCCAGAGUACGUGCGCAAACACAAAAGAGCUUGCACCCAACGCUAUAAAGGGGUUGUCAAUCCCUUCAAGAUUGAUUGCAAAGUGAGAUCUCAAGGCGGAAAGUGCAACGAAGUAAAAUUGUAAAGGCUGUAAAUAUGGUGUGAAGUAGACCCGGGGGCCAUAGUGUUCACUAGAGGCUUCUCUCAAAAUAGCAAAUAAUACGGUGGAUUAACAAAUUACUGUCGAGCAAUUGAUAGAACCGCGCAAAGUCAUGACGAUAUCUAAGGCCAUGAUCAUACAUAUAGGCAUCACGUCCAAGACAAGUAGACCGAUACUUUCUGAUCUACUACUAUUACUCCACACAUCGACCGCUAUCCAGCAUGCAUCUAGUGUAUUGAGUUCAUGACGAACAGAGUAACGCCUUAAGCAAUAUGACAUGAUGUAGAGGGAUAAACUCAAACCAAUGAUGAAAACCCCAUCUUUUUACCCUUGAUGGAAACAACACGAUGCGUGCCUCGCUACCACUUCUGUCACUGGUUGAGGUCAUGAUAAGAUAAUAACAUGGAACCAUCAAAAAUUAUAGAUACGUUGGAGACGUAUCAAGCAUCCCCAACCUUAACUCCUGCUCGUCCUCGAGUAGGGAAGUGAUAAAGAAUGAAAUUUUGAUGUGGAAUGCUACCUAGCAUAGUUGUCCUUUGUAACUACUUUCAUGUGACAUGAAUGUUCAGAUCCGUAAGAUUCAAAACAAUAGUUUGUUGGAAUUAUGCCCUAGAGGCAAUAAUAAAUGUAUAGUUAUUAUUAUAAUUCCUGUAUCAAGAUAAUAGUUUAUUAUCCAUGCUAUAAUUGUAUUGAAUGAAGACUCAUUUACAUGUGUGGAUACAUAGACAAAACACCGUCCCUAGCAUGCCUCUAGUUGGCUAGCCAGUUGAUCGAUGAUAGUCAGUGUCUUCUGAUUAUGAACAAGGUGUUGUUGCUUGAUAACUGGAUCACAUCAUUGGGAGAAUCACGUGAUGGACUAGACCCAAACUGAUAGACGUAGCAUGUUGAUCGUGUCAUUUUGUUGCUACUGUUUUCUGCGUGUCAAGUAUUUAUUCCUAUGACCAUAAGAUCAUAUAACUCACUGACACCGGAGGAAUGCUUUGUGUGUAUCAAACGUCGCAACGUAACUGGGUGACUAUAAAAGAUGCUCUACAGGUAUCUCCGAAGGUGGUAGUUGAGUUAGUAUGGAUCAAGACUGGGAUUUGUCACUCCGUGUGACGGAGAGGUAUCUCAGGGCCCACUCGGUAAUACAACAUCACACACAAGCCUUGCAAGCAAUGUAACUUAGUGUAAGUUGCGGGAUCUUGUAUUACGGAACGAGUAAAGAGACUUGCCGGUAAACGAGAUUGAAAUAGGUAUGCGGAUACUGACGAUCGAAUCUCGGGCAAGUAACAUACCGAAGGACAAAGGGAAUGACAUACGGGAUUAUACGAAUCCUUGGCACUGAGGUUCAAACGAUAAGAUCUUCGUAGAAUAUGUAGGAUCCAAUAUGGGCAUCCAGGUCCCGCUAUUGGAUAUUGACCGGGGAGUCUCUCGGGUCAUGUCUACAUAGUUCUCGAACCCGCAGGGUCUGCACACUUAAGGUUCGACGUUGUUUUAUGCGUAUUUGAGUUAUAUGGUUGGUUACCGAAUGUUGUUCGGAGUCCCGGAUGAGAUCACGGACGUCACGAGGGUUUCCGGAAUGGUCCGGAAACGAAGAUUGAUAUAUAGGAUGACCUCAUUUGAUUACCGGAAGGUUUUCGGAGUUACCGGGAAUGUACCGGGAAUGACGAAUGGGUUCCGGGGGUUCACCGGAGGGGGGCAACCCACUCCGGGGAAGCCCAUAGGUAUUUGGGGGGGUCACACCAGCCCUUAGUGGUCUGGUGGGACAGCCCACCAAAUCCUAUGCGCCAAGGAAGAAAAUCAAAGAAAGAAAAAAAAAGGAGGGGAAGUGGGAAGGGGGAAGGACUCCCUCCCACCAAACCAAGUAGGACUCGGUUUGGGGGGGGAGAGUCCUCCCCCCUGGCUCGGCCGACCCCUUGGGGUUCCCUUGGACCCCAAGGCAAGGUCCCCCUCCCUCCUCCUAUAUAUAUGGGGCUUUUAGGGCAGAUUUGAGAUGACUUUCUCACGGCUGCCCGACCACAUACCUCCAUAGUUUUUCCUCUAGAUCGUGUUUCUGCGGAGCUCGGGCGGAGCCCUGCUGAGACAAGAUCAUCACCAACCUCCGGAGCGCCGUCACGCUGCCGGAGAACUCUUCUACCUCUCCGUCUCUCUUGCUGGAUCAAGAAGGCCGAGAUCAUCGUCGAGCUGUACGUGUGCUGAACGCGGAGGUGCCGUCCGUUCGGUACUAGAUCGUGGGACUGAUCGCGGGAUUGUUCGCGGGGCGGAUCGAGGGACGUGAGGACGUUCCAAUACAUCAACCGCGAUAUCUAAUCGCUUCUGCUGUACGAUCUACAAGGGUACGUAGAUCACUCAUCCCCUCUCGUAGAUGGACAUCACCAUGAUAGGUCUUCGUGCGCGUAGGAAAAUUUUUGUUUCCCAUGCGACGUUCCCCAACAUAGUUUGCUAUUGACAUGAAAACAAUAAUACUUCAAGCGAACUAGCAAGGUAAUCAUGAACUUUUGAAAUAAAAAGGCCAAAGAAAGUUAUCCCUACAAAAUCAUAUAGUCUGGCUAUGCUCCAUCAUCCCCACACAACUAAUUUAAAUCAUGCACAACCCCGGUAUUGGCCAAGUAAUUGUUUUUGCACUCUUACUUUGUCAAAUCUUUUUCAACUAUCACGCAAUACAUGAGCGUGAGCCAUGGAUAUAGCACUAUAGGUGGAAUAGAGUGUGGUGGUGGUUGUGAGACAAAAAGGAGGAGAUGGUCACAUAGAAUCGGCGUAUUAAAGGGCUAUGGAGAUGCCCAUUAAUAGAUAUCAAUGUGAAUGCAUAGGGAUUGCCAUACAAAGGAUGCACUAGAGCUAUAAGUAUGUGAAAGCUCAAAAGGAGAACUAGUGGGUGUGCAUCCAACUUGCUUGCUCACGAAGACCUAGGGCAAUUUGAGGAAGCCUAUCCUUGGAAUAUACAAGCCAAGUUAUAUAAUGAAAAUUCCCACUAGCAUAUGGUGGUGACAAAACAAGAGGCUCUCAAUCAUGAAGAACCUGGUGCUAUUAUGAAGCACAAGUGUGGAAAAAGAUAGUAGCAUUGUCCCUUCUCUCUUUUUCUCUUUUUUUAUUUGGUUCUUUGGCCUCUUUUUUUCUCUUCUCUUUUUUUUAUUUGGGCUCUUUGGCCUAUUUUUUAUUUUAUUUCCUCACAUGGGACAAUGCUCUAAUAAUGAUGAUCAUCACACUUUUAUUUACUCACAGCUCAAAGCUUAGAACGAUGAUAACUCUAUAGGAAAUGCCUCCGGUAGUGUACCGGGAUGUGCAACGAUCUAGCUUGGUGUAUGACGUUGAAACAUCUCGCUAGCUAUCUUACGAUCAUGCAAUGGCAAUAUGAGAGUGACGGCACAAGUCAUGAGGCGGAACGGUGGGAGUUGCAUGGCAAUAUAUCUCGGAAUGGCUAUGAAAAUGCCAUAGUAGGUAGGUAUGUGGCUGUUUUGAGGAAGGCGUGUGGUGGGUUUGUGCACCGGAGAAAUUUGCGCGGUACUAGAGAGGCUAGCAAUGGCGGAAGGUGAAAGUGCAUCUAUACCAUGGACUCACAUUAUUCAUGAAGAACUCACAUACUUGUUGCGAAAGUUUUUAUUAGUAAUCGAAACAAAGUGUUAAACGCAUACUCCUAGGGGAAGGGUUGGUAGGUGUUAACCAUCGCGACAUCCCGACCGCAACACAAAGGAUGACAAUCAAUAGAUCAAUUAUGCUCCGACUUCCUAACAUAGCGGUUCACCAUACGGGCAUGUUACGGGAAUAACUAACUUCAACACAAGUAUUUCUAGAUUCACAACACCCUACUAACAUAACUCUUAAUAUUACCAAAUCCACGUCUCAAAACUAAUUGAGAGGAAUCAAACUUCUCUUUCUACUCAAUUCACAUUAAGAUGGAAGUUUUUUGUAUCCUCUUUUUGCACCUAUCACCUUUGGGACUACUUUCAUAGCACAAACCAACUACCAAGUCACGCACCGCCGUGCUCUAAAAGAUCUAAGUGAAGCACAUAGAGCAAAAAUUAUCUAGCUCAAAAGAUAUAAGUGAAGCCCGAUGAGCAUUCUAGUAAAUUCACGAUGAGUGCAUGUAUCUCUAAAAAGGUGUGCAGCAAGGAUGAUUGUGACACAACAAAAAGAAAAGACUCCUACGAUACAAGACGCUCCAAGCAAAGCACAUAUCAUGUGGUGAAGAAAAAUAUAGCUCCAAGUAAUGUUACCGAUGGAUUGAAGACGAAAGAGGGGAUGCCUUCCUGGGGCAUCCCCAAGCUUAGGAUUUUUGGUGUCCUUGAAUUUGGCUUGGGAUGCCUUGGGCAUCCCCAAGCUUGAGCUCUUUCCACUCUUUAUCCCUUUGUCCAUGAGAACAUCACCCAAAACUUGAAAACUUCACAACACAAAACUUAAAUAGAAACUCGUGAUAUCAUUAGCACAAGAAAACAAACUACCACCUCUUUAGGUACUGUAGAAAACUUGAUUUCUAUUCAUAUUGGUGUUAGAUUACUGUAUUCUCACUUUUCCAUGGCUAGUACCCCCUGAUAAUAUACAUAGUUUCAUCAAAACAAGCAACCAACACAACAAAAACAGAAUCUGUCAAAAACAGACUAGUCUGUAGCAAUCUGUAUACUUCGUAUACUUAUGUUAUCUCAAAAAUUCUGAAAACUUACGACAAUUUGGGAAAAAUGCAUAUUAACUAGGAGCAAAAAGAAUAAACUCAAAAGCUCUUUCUGAAUAAAAAUGAAAAAUAAUCUCGUGAGCGAAAAGUUUAUGUCUUUUUCCAGCAGGAUCAAACAACCAUCACCAAGACUAGUCAUAAAGGUUUUGCUUGGAUCAAACACAAAAAUAAACACAAAAUACACAAUCAUAACAUAAUUAUGAUGGUGUGGAUGCAAAAAAACAGAAAGAAAAAGAUAAAUUCAUUGGGCUGCCUCCCAACAAGCGCUAUUGUUUAACGCCCUUAGCUAGGCAUAAGGCGAUAGAAUCACGUAUCAUCGCCUUUGGCGCUCAAACCAUAAGUAGCCCUCAUCAUAGAUUCAUAAGGCAAUCUUAUUUUCCUUCUAGGAAAAUGUUCCAUGCCCUUCUUUAAAGGAAACUGAAAUCUAAUAUUCCCUUCCUUCAUAUCAAUGAUAGCACCGAUAGUCCUUUGGAAAGGUCUACCAAGAAUGAUAGGGCAUGUAGGAUUGCAAUCAAUGUCAAGCACAAUGAAAUCCACAGGUACAUAGUUCCUAUUUGCAAUAAUAAGAACAUCAUUGAUCCUUCCCAUGGGUUUCUUGACAGUAGAAUCGACAAGAUGCAAAUUAAGAGAACACUCAUCAAUCUCAUUAAAACCCAGAACAUCACAUAAAGACUUUGGAAUCGCGGAAACACUAGCACCCAAAUCACACAAAGCAUUGCAUUCAUAGUUUUUUAUUUUGAUUUUGAUAGUAGGUUCCCACUCAUCAUGAAUCUUUCUAGGGAUAUAAACUUCCAAUUCAAAUUUCUCUUCAAGAGAUUUUAUCAUAGCAUCGACGAUAUGAUCGAUAAAGGCCUUGCUUUCCCUAUAAGAGUGUAGAGACUUUAGCAUGGAUUGCAUCAAGGAAAUGCAUUCAAUCAAGGAGAAACUAUCAUAAUUGAAUUCCUUGAAAUCCAAAGUAGUAGUUUCAUUACUACUCAAGGUUUUAAUAUCUUCUACUCCACUUUCAAUGCUUUUAGCAUCAAGAUAGAUGGACUCCGAAUCAUUGGGGCGUUUUUCAACCAAAGUGGAUUCAUAUCCAGCCCCAUCAUCAUUAGGUUUGACACAAGAAAACAAAGAAUCAAUGGGAGUCACACCAAGCACUUUAAGAUCUUCGUGAUUCUCAUCACAAAUUUCAAGUUUAGCAGCCAUUUUAUUGACUAAACUAGCCUGUUUAUCAGAAAUCUGGCCUACCAAUUUUUCUAGACGAGCAAACUGUGAAUUUAGUGCAAGGAAUUCUUUGGCCAUAUCAUCAACUUCAUUAUUCAUAAAACCCAAAAAAGAAUUUUGCUCCUUCAGUUCCCUAAAAGAGUAACUAUUGUAAUCAAACUGUGUAGACAUGAAGCCUUUAACACUAGUUUCAAUCUCUUCCAACCUCGCAUAGUAAGCAUCAAAAUCCCUUGGUUGGGCCAUACAGGUCUUAGCAGGUAGACAAGCGGGCAGAAAGGAAGAGAGAGAAAAGGGAAAACGAAAAAGGCAAACGAAAAAGGCAAAUAUUUUUGUAAAUUUUUGUUUUUCAUAAGUGGGGGAGAGGAGAACGAGAGGCAAAGAAGUAAAUGCAAGAGAUGAGUUUGCGACACUUACUUGGAUGAGUUCUUGACUUGAUCCUCCCCGGAAACGGCGCUAGAAAUUCUUCUGCUACGACGGCAGAAAUCUUUCUUCUGCCUCUUGAGCUUGCGUUGGUUUUUCCCUUGAAGAGGAAAGGGCGAUGCAGCACAGGAGCAGUAAGUAUUUCCCGCAGUUUGAGAACCAAGGUAUCAAUCCAGUAGGAGAAUCGCGCCAAGUCCAGAGUACCUGCGCAAACACAAAAGAGCUUGCAUCCAACGCUAUAAAGGGGUUGUCAAUCCCUUCAAGAUUGAUUGCAAAGUGAGAUCUGAAGGCGGAAAGUGCAACGAAGUAAAAUUGUAAGGCUGAAAAUAUGAUGUGAAGUAGACCCGGGGGCCAUAGUGUUCACUAGAGGCUUCUCUCAAAAUAGCAAAUAAUACGGUGGGUGAACAAAUUACUGUCGAGCAAUUGAUAGAACCGCGCAAAGUCAUGACGAUAUCUAAGGCAAUGAUCAUACAUAUAGGCAUCACGUCCAAGACAAGUAGACCAAUACUUUCUGCAUCUACUACUAUUACUCCACACAUCAACCGCUAUCCAGCAUGCAUCUAGUGUAUUGAGUUCAUGACGAACAGAGUAACGCCUUAAGCAAGAUGACAUGAUGUAGAGGGAUAAACUCAAACCAAUGAUGAAAACCCCAUCUUUUACCCUUGAUGGCAACAACACGAUGCGUGCCUAGCCACCUCUUCUGUCACUUGGUGAGGUCACCGCACGGUAUGAACCCAAAACCAAGCACUUCUCCCAUUGCACAAAUCAUAGAUCAAGUUGGCAAAUAAAAACCCACAACUCAAAGAGAAUUACAAGGAUAUUAAAUCAUGCAUAUAAGAGAUCAGAAGGAACUCAAAUAAGAUUCAUAGAUAAUCUGAUCAUAAAUCCACAAUUCAUCGGAUCUCGGCAAACACACCGCAAAGGAAGAUUACAUCGGAUAGAUCUCCAUGAAGAUCAUGGAGAACUUUUUAUUGAAGAUCCAAGAGAGAGAAGAAGCCAUCUAGCUACUAGCUAUGGACCCGAAGGUCUAUGGUGAACUACUCACGCAUCAUCGGAGAGGUCAUGGUGUUGAUGAAGAAGCCCUCCGUAUCUGAAUCCCCACUCCGGCAGGGCACCAGAACGUGCCCAGAUGGGAUCUUGCGGAGACAGAAGCUUGUGGCGGCGGAAAAGUAUUUUCGUGCAUCUCUUUGUCAGUUUUGGAUUUUUCUAAAUUUAUAGGCGGAAGAGGUAGGGCAGACGAGCCACAGGGGCCCACAAGCCUGCUAGGCGCGGCCCCCCUGGCCGCGCCUAGGGGGCUUGUGGGGUCCCCUGGUGGCCCCUACCUUGGUUCUCAAGUCUCGUGCGUAUCUUCUAUUCUGGGAAAAAAUCUUUUCAGAAGUUUUAUUCCGUUUGGACACCGUUUAAAAUCCUCCUGUGAAAAGGGUCAAAAACACGGAAAAAACAAGAAGUGGCACUUGGCACUGAGUUAAUAAGUUAGUCCCAAAAAAUAUAUAAAAGGCAUACAAAACAUCCAAGUUUGACAAGAUAAUAGCAUGGAACCAUCAAAAAUUAUAGAUACGUUGGAGACGUAUCAUUGCACUAGCUAAUUGCCCUAUUAUUCAAAAUGUACACGUAUUCGGUUUGUGACUUGGAGUCAUCCGGAUCUGUGUCGAAGCUAGCAUCGACGUCAACCUUUAUGACGAGCUCUUCGGCACCUCCAUAGACGAGAAACAUAUCUUUUGUCCUUUUCAAGUACUUUAGGAUAUUCUUGACCAUUGUCGAGUGAUCCACUCAUGGAUCACUCUGUGUUGGAAAUAUGCCCUAGAGGCAAUGAUAAAAUAGUUAUUAUUAUAUUUCCUGUUUCAAGAUAAUCGUUUAUUAUCCAUGCUAUAAUUUUAUUGAAUGAAAGCAUAGAUACAUGUGUGUAUAUAUAGACAAAACAAUGUCCCUAGUAAGCCUCUAGUUGAGUAGCCAGUUGAUCAAGGAUGGUUAAGGUUUUCUGACCAUAUGCAAGUGUUAUCACUUGAUGACUGGAUCACAUCAUUAGGAGAAUGAUGUGUUCGACAAGACCCAACCAUAUUUUUAGCCUUACACUUUUUACUUCGUUGCACUUUCCGCCUUCAGAUCUCACUUUGCAAACAAUCUUGAAGGGAUUGACAACCCCUUUGAAGCACUGGGUGCAAGCUUGUUUGUGUUUGCGCAGGUACUUUGGACUUGAUGAGGCCCUCCUUCUGGAUCGAUACAUUGGUUCUAAAAUUGAGGGAAAUACUUACUGCUCCUGUGUUGCAUCACCCUUUCCUCUUCAAGGGAAAAACAGACGCAAACCAGAGAAGUGAUACGUCUCAAACGUAUCUAUAAUUUUUGACAGUUUCAUGCUAUUAUCUUGUCAACUUUGGAUGUUUUAUAUACCUUUUAUAUCUUUUUUGGGACUAACUUAUUAAUUCAGUGCCAAGUGACAGUUCCUGUUUUUUCUGUGUUUUUGACUCUUUUCAGAUCUGAUUUUGGAACGGAGUCCAAACGGAAUAAAAUCCCCGAAAUGAAUUUUUCCAGAACAGAAGAAGAUCGGGGGACUUGAGGGCCAAGGCAGGAGGCCCACAGGGAGCCCACAAGCCAUGUAGCCGCGGCCAGGGGGCCCGCGGCUACCAGGCUUGUGGCCCCCUCGAGCUCCCCUGCCCUAGCUCUUUGGCCUAUAUAUUCCCUAAAAUACCAGAAAAAUAAGGGCAUCCACGAAACCACUUUUCCGUGGCCGCAAGCUUCCGUUUCCGCGAGAUCUCAUCUGGAGACCCUUCCCCGUGCCCUGUAGGAGGGGACUUUGGAGCUGGAGGGCUUCUACAUCAACAUCAUUGCCUCUCCAAUGACUCAUGAGUAGUCUAGUUCAGACCUACGGGUCCGUAGUUAGUAGCUAGAUGGCUUCUUCUCUCUCUUGGAUCUUAAAUACAAAGUUCUCCAUGAUCAUGGAGAUCUAUCCGAUGUAAUCCUCUUUGGCGGUGUGUUUGUCGAGAUCCGAUGAAUUGUGGAUUUGUGAUCAGAUUAUCUAUGAAUUAUAUUUGAGUCUUUGCUGAUUUCUUAUAUCCAUGAUUUGAUAUCCUUGUAAGUCUCUCCGACUCUUGGGUUUUGUUUGGCCAACUAGAUCUAUGAUUCUUGCAAUGGGAGAAGUGCUUGGUUUUGGGUUCAUACCGUGCAGUGACCUUUCCCAGUGACAGAAGGGGCAACAAGGCACGCGUCAUGUUGUUGCCAUCAAGGGUUACAAGAUGGGCUUUCAUCAUAGAUUUGAGAUUGUCCAUCUACAUCAUGUCAUCUUGCUUAAGGCGUUACUCUGUUCUUAUGAACUCAAUACACUAGAUGCAUGCUCGAUAGCGGUCAACGUGUGGACUAAUAGUAGUAGAUGUAGAAAGUAUCGGUCUACUUGUUUUGGACGUGAUGCCUAUAUGUAUGAUCAUUGCCAUAGAUAACGUCAUGACUUUGCGUGGUUCUAUCAAUUGCUCGACAGUAAUUCGUUCACCCACCGUCUACUUGCUUUCAUGAGAGAAGCCACUAGUGAACACUACGGCCCCCGGGUCUAUUCACAAUUGUCAUCUCCACUUUUACUUUUACUUCGCUUUGUUUACUUUUUGCUUUCACUUCUCACUUUGCAAAUAAUCUAUAAGGGAUUGACAACCCCUUCAUAGUGUUGGGUGCAAGCUCUUUGUGUUUGUGCAGGUACUUGUGACUUGACGCGAUCCUCCUACUGGAUUGAUACCUUGGUUCUCAAACUUAGGGAAAUACUUACCGCCGAUGUGCUACAUCACCCUUUCCUCUUCAAAGGAACACCAAAGCAAGGCUCCAAGGCCGCGGGGGAAUCCUUUGCAUAUUUGCCAAGGAAAUCCCUAGAGGCGUAGCCAGUAGCAAGAAGUAACAAGAAGAAUUCCUAAGCGCCAGGGAAGGACUUUUUUCGCCGUAGCAGAAGAAUUUCUGGCACCGUUGCCGGGGAGGAAGAUCAAGUCAAGAACUCAUCCAAGUAGGUGUCGCAAACUCAUCUCUUGCAUUUACUGUGUUUGCCAAUUGCCUCUCAUUUUCCUCUCCCCCACUUCACCAAUUUGCCUUUUUCGUUCACCUUUUCGUUCGCCCUUUUUCUCGGCUGCUCUUUGUUUGCUCGUGUGCUUGCUUGCUUGCUGAAGUCACCAUGAACGAAAACACCAAGAUUUGUGACUUCUUGAAUACUAAUAAUAAUGAUUUUAUUAGUACUCUGAUUGCUCCCGCCACUAGUAUCGGGGGGUACUAGCCAUGGAAAAGUGAGAAUACAGUAGCUCAUCAUCAAUAUAGAUGGAAUUCAAGUUAGCUACAGUACCAAAAUAAGUGGUAGUUUUUUUUCUUAUACUAAUGUUAUCACAAGUUUCUGUUUAAGUUUUGUGUUGUGAAGUUUUCAAGUUGUGGGUAACGUUCUCAUGGACAAAGAGAUAAGGAGUGGAAAGAGCUCAAGCUUGGGGAUGACCAAGGCAUCUCAAGCUAAAUUCAAGGACACCAAAAAGCCUAAGCUUGGGGAUGCCCCGGGAAGGCAUCCCCUCUUUCGUCUUCAAUCCAUCGGUAACAUUACUUGGAGCUAUAUUUUUAUUCACCAUAUGAUAUGUGUUUUGCUUGGAGCGUCUUGUAUCUUAGCAGUCUUUUCUUUUUGUUGUGUCACAAUCAUCCUUGCUGCACACCUUUUUGAGAGAGAGAGACAUGCACUCAUCGUGAUUUUGCUAGAAUGCUCAUAGUGCUUCACUUAUAUCUUUUGAUCUAGAUACUUUUCCUCUAGUGCUUCACUUAUAUCUUUUGAGCUAGAUACUUUUGCUCUAGUGCUUCACUUAUAUCUUUUGAGCUAGAUACUUUUGCUCUUGCGCUUCACUUAUAUCUUUAGAGCACGGCGUGCAUGAUUUGGUAGUUGGCUUAUGUUAUGAAAGUAGUCCCAAAUGUGCUACGUACCCAAAGAGGAUGCAAAAGCCUACAUCUUCAUGUGCAUUGAGUAGAAAGAGAAGUUUUGAUUCCUCUCAAUUAGUUUUGAGACAUGGAUUCGGUAAUAUUGAGAGUUAUGUUAGUAGGGUGUUGUGAAUCUAGAAAUACUUGUGUUGAAGUUAGUGAUUCCCGUAGCAUGCACGUAUGAUGAACCGCUAUGUUAGGAAGUCGGAGCAUAAUUGAUCUAUUGAUUGUCAUCCUUUGUGUUAACGUCGGGAUCGCGCGAUGGUUUACACCUACCAACCCUUCCCCUCGGAGUAUGCGUUUAGCACUUUGUUUCGAUUACUAAUAAAAACUUUCGCAACAAGUAUGUGAGUUCUUUAUGACUAAUUUGAGCCCAUGGUAUAGAUGCACUUACACCUUCCACCAUUGCUAGCCUCUCUAGUGCCGCGCAAUUCUCGCCGGUACUCAAACCCACCAAAUUCAUUCCUCAAAACAGCCAACAUUGUAAGUGCAUCUAGUGCCCCUUAGUGAUUUUGGUGGUUUGAAGACUUAUAGGUUAAGUAUCUAAUGUGUUUGUGAGUAUACACAGGAUCUAUAAGUCAUUGAGGAGUUUGAGAUAUUUGAAGAAUAUCGACCCCUAAAAAUGUAUAUCUUCAGUUGAAGAAAUUGGUCUGAAGCUGAAGAAAUGAAUCGCGAAGAAUCUGCGAUGAAAUUAAUAUUCCUCAUGAAGAUACUGAUAUUGAGAAGACCGGUGGUUCCUGAAGAAAAUCAUUCUGAAGAAAUUGAAGCAUGAAGAUUUACGUUUUCUGUUUUACUUUCUUCGCAUUUGAUGAAUAGGAACACCGUACUGUUAAAGCGGGUCAAACUAACACUAUGGAAUCGAUUUCCUCAUGCUGCUCAACCCAAGCCAAAUACUACCAAAAGCCUUAAGUAAGGAAUAUGAGUGACAUGAGGACUCUCACAGUUGAGGGUCCCGACCGUUUCGAUAACCACGCCAAGUCACUGGUCUUAUCCACUCCAACGGUCAUAUUAUUUAAGGGCAUUAGUGUCAAAUCAUGUCGGGAUGCUCCCAGGCUAUAAAUAGCCACCCCCCACAACCACUAGCUGGUUGGCUGCUCCGUUAGAAACUAACACUUGUCAUAAGAGCAACCCAAAUUCCUCAGAGCCUUCGAGAGUAAUUCAUCAGUGAGGAAAUACACCACCCACCGAAACCACAAACCAAACCUAGUGAUUGAGCAUCACUGAAGAAGUUGUCCCUGUGUGGGACUGAAGCCUUUUACCUUUGAGGACUGUGCAUCCUCCAGAUGGUUAGGCGUCAUGGUCUAGAGCAAUCUAGCAGUCAAUUGUGGAUCGCCGGGUGACCGAGUUUGUGAGGGUUUGGAAGUCUCCCCUGAAGACUUACCACGAGUGUUGGGCGAGGACUGUGUGUCCUUAGCUCAAGGAGAAUACGGUAGGGACUCUGUGUCCCGGGACUGGGUGUCCUUUGGUUUCAAUACCAAGCCACUCCAAACCAGAUGUACAACUGCCACAGUAGUUGGAACUGGGUCAUCAACGACUGUCGUCUCUGAGAAUCGGGUUCUAACUCCUCAACUCUUUACUUUCUGUGUAUUAUGUGUUGAUGACUUUCACUGUGACUGUUUGAAGAAUUUGCUGAAGACUUUCUCUGAAUUUCCUCAACCCCAAAUUCUUCACAAUAGUUAAUCAUCGUCUGUAUUCUGCGUGCCUGCUUACUGUGCAAUCUGUUUUCACAUUCUUCACUCUGAAAUGAUGCUGGUGUGAACAUUUGCACGUCUGAUCCUUUACUGUUUCCGCUGUAAGUUAGUCAUCANNNNNNNNNNNNNNNNNNNNNNNNNNNNNNNNNNNNNNNNNNNNNNNNNNNNNNNNNNNNNNNNNNNNNNNNNNNNNNNNNNNNNNNNNNNNNNNNNNNNNNNNNNNNNNNNNNNNNNNNNNNNNNNNNNNNNNNNNNNNNNNNNNNNNNNNNNNNNNNNNNNNNNNNNNNNNNNNNNNNNNNNNNNNNNNNNNNNNNNNNNNNNNNNNNNNNNNNNNNNNNNNNNNNNNNNNNNNNNNNNNNNNNNNNNNNNNNNNNNNNNNNNNNNNNNNNNNNNNNNNNNNNNNNNUAGUCGAUAUAAUGCACUCUCAAUUGGUAUGAGAGCAAGGUACUCCCUUGUUUUGUGUGAUUUUGGUUUAACCACCUGGAGUUUUAGUUAUGUCGACUGCAGGCAUGUUCAAGGUGACUGCAGCAUGUCCUACCUACGAAUGGAAGAACUUUCCCUUAUGGAAGAACAAAAUGCAAAUGCAUCUACAAGCUAUUGAUAAUGAUCUCUGGUAUAUUGUGGAAAAUGGCGUCCCCAUCAUUUCUGCGAGUGUCACUGCAGCUGAUGUGAAGAAAUUCAAGCAACUUGAUACUCAAGCGAAGAACAUCAUCUGUGGCCAUCUGAGCCUUGGCCAGUUUGGAAGAGUAAGUGCUUUGGGCUCUGCAACACUGAUCUGGGAGAGACUGUGCAAGGUAAACGAAGGAGUAUCAACCCAGCGUGACUCUCGUGUUGAUAUUCUUCGCAAUCUCUUCAAUCGCUUCAAGAGACAUGACAAUGAAUGCUGCCAAGACACCUUUGAUCGCCUCACUGAUAUAUCAAAUGAACUGCAAGCACUGGGAGCAAGAGACAUCACUGAUCACGAAGUUGUGAAGAAACUGCUGAGAUCCUUGGAUUCUUCAUUUGACACUCUAGUUCUGAUGAUUCAAGAAAGACCAGACUACAAGAUGCUGGAUCCAGCUGAUAUCCUUGAAAGGCUAAAUACUCAUGAAUUCCAGCUAGAAGAAAAGAGAGAUCUAUAUGGAGAAAGCUAUUCCAGACCACGUGCACUGAAGGCUAGAGCAAUUUCCUCAUCUGAAGAAGAAGACACAGAUGACAGCAGUUGUGACCCUGAAGAAUUUGGACAGGAGCUUGCAAUGCUUGUGAGGAAAUUCCAGAGAUUUACACGACGAGGCCAGUUCGUAAAUCAUCAAGAAGAGACAUGAGGAAAUCAGAAUCUGCAUCUGAGGACUACAAGAAACGGACCUGUCACAAGUGCAAGAAAUCAGGUCAUUACAUUGCUGAUUGUCCCCGCUGGGGAAAGGAAUCAAAGAAGAAGAAAUACAAGGAUGACAGUUCUGAUGACUCGAAGAAGAAGAAGAAAUCUUCAAAAUCCUCAUCUUCAAAGUCCUCAUCACACAAGAAGACUAGCUUCAGAAAGGCUCGGGCACUUAUUGGCAAGGAAAUGGACUCCGAGGCAGAAUCAAAGGAAUGUGAUGAAGAAGAAGGCUCUGGAGAAGACUCAGAAUCCGGACAGGCUAGUCUUGCACUAGCAACCACUUUCGUCAGCAAGUCAAUCUUCAAUCUUGAAGAAAAUGAUUGCACCAUCCAUACUGAUGACUAUGCUGAUGACAUCGCUCCAACCUAUUGCUUCAUGGCAAAAGGUUCAAAGGUAUCAAAUAAUGCCUCCUCCUCUGAUUCAAGUGACUCUGAACAUAAUGAUUAUAAGAAACCCAGUUACAGUAAACUUGCUAUCAUUGCCACUAAACAACAAACUGCUCUGGAAAAGCUUCAAAAACUGCUAGACAAAAGUGAUGAUCUGUUGAAUGAUGAAAUGAACCUUAACCAAAUCCUCACUGAUGACAUGAGAAGUCUUCAGUCUAGAUUUGAUAAUCUUCAGGAUCGUUAUGAUACACUCCUCACUGAUCAUGAGAAGCUUUCCUACGAAUUUCUUCAAAGGAAGCUUGAUCUUGAGAAGCUGAGGAUGUCUCAUGAUGAUCUUCGUAUGGAAAAUGAUUCAUUACUAGCUCAACAGAUCAGCGCUAGUCAAGUUGAAUUUAUUCCUCCAUGUCUUAAAUGCAUUGAACGCGAAACUGCCAAUUCCUCACCAGAAUCAUCAAAUGCUACCAUUGCUACAAAUUCUUCAACUGCACCUGUUGUGUCUAUUUCCUCACUUGAGGAAAACACAAAUGUUACUGAUGAAAAUGCAGGUUUGAAGGAAUUGUACAUGACAGGCAUGUACAAAAGUCUCAAAGGACAUCAAACCCUUUGUGAUGUGCUCAAAAAGCAGAUCUUGAACAGGAACCCGAGGAAAGAAGGAAUUGCCUUUGAGAGGAAAUUAAAUGCUGAUGGAUCUUAUUGGAAACCUGAGCAGUAUCCCAAAACCUCAUGGGUUGCUUCUACUGGGCCUCCUUUUGAUCCAUCUAAUCUAACUGGCUUCUCAUGUGAAUUAUCCUAUUCCUCGGAUGAAUCAUUUGAUUCCAACUAUAAACUGUUCAAAAAUCAAUCUGGUGAAAUAUUUGCUCGAUAUGUUGGAACUAACUGCAGGAAUGGCCCUCCUCUGAGGAAAAUCUAGGUUCCCAAAAGUUGUCUUGAAAAUCUUCAGGUGAAUGUCCUCAUGACACGACCACAGAAGAAUCUGAACUCCAGAUCAAAUUCCUCAGGAGGACCAAAGUCUUCAAGAGGAUCAAAGUCCUCAACUGGUCAAAACUAUGCUCGUACCCGUGCUUAUGUAUCUAACAUGCAGGGAAACUACAAGGAAUAUGAAUAUGAGCGUUACUCCUCAAAUCAUUAUGUUCAUAAAUCCUCAAACCAGUUCUCUGCAUAUUCAUAUGAGUACUUUAAUGCCCCUACUAUUAAGAGAAGUGCAUUAGCUUCAAUGCCACCUUUCUCAUAUGGUGCUCGCAGGAUGAUGAACGCUUUGCCACCCCUUCAGAUGUGGGUGGUGAAGAAAUCGAACUAAUCACUUCUGCAGGUCACGUCUCCAGAUGAAAAUCAUCAUCUGAAGAAUUUGCUGGAGACUUGAGGAAAUGCUUGAUAGGACGCAAGCUAAUAAUUGAUGAAAUAGAAAUAUUUCACAUGUCCUUACAUUUCUGUUAUGAUGAAAUUAGUAUCAUAUUCUUCAAAUCUGAAGCAUAUGAGAUGGUAAGCUGUACUAAUUCAUCUGCAGGAUGACAAACCCAAAAAUACUGAGUGGGUUCUCGAUAGUGGCUGCACACAUCACAUGACUGGUGAUAAAAUCUUAAUGAUGAAUAUGCCACUAACUCCAUCACCUCUGAAGCAAAUCACAUAUGCUGACAAAGGUAAAAGCAAGGUAUUGGGACUUGGCAAAGUAGCUAUUUCCAAGGAUAGGCAUAUGGACAAAGUGAUGUUGGUUGAAUCCCUUGGUUUUAACCUCAUGUCAGUCUCGAUGCUUUGUGAUCUUGAUAUGAUCGUUAUCUUUGGUAGAUAUAGAUGUGUAGUCAUCAUGGAAUCUAACAGAUCCAAAGUCUUCGAAGGUGUAAGAAGAGGGGNNNNNNNNNNNNNNNNNNNNNNNNNNNNNNNNNNNNNNNNNNNNNNNNNNNNNNNNNNNNNNNNNNNNNNNNNNNNNNNNNNNNNNNNNNNNNNNNNNNNNNNNNNNNNNNNNNNNNNNNNNNNNNNNNNNNNNNNNNNNNNNNNNNNNNNNNNNNNNNNNNNNNNNNNNNNNNNNNNNNNNNNNNNNNNNNNNNNNNNNNNNNNNNNNNNNNNNNNNNNNNNNNNNNNNNNNNNNNNNNNNNNNNNNNNNNNNNNNNNNNNNNNNNNNNNNNNNNNNNNNNNNNNNNNNNNNNNNNNNNNNNNNNNNAAAACCUCAGAAGGAUGGCUGUGGCACCGAAGACAAGGUCAUGCAGGCAUGAGGAAUUUGCACACGCUUGCAAAGAAGAAGCAUGUCACCGGCAUCGAAUCAGUCAAAUUCCUCAAGGACCAUCUCUGCGGUGCUUGUGAAUCUGGGAAAAUGACCAGAUCCAAGCAUCCCUCUAAAACCAUCAUGACCACUACACGUCCAUUCGAAUUGCUUCAUAUGGAUUUAUUUGGACCUACUCACUAUGCCACACUAACCAACGCAACAUCUUUAUAUGGCUUCGUCAUAGUUGAUGAUUAUUCCAGAUAUACUUGGGUGCAUAUCAUAGUGUAUAAAACUGAAGUGCAGGAAAUCUUCAAACGAUUUUCUUCAAGGGCCUCGACGAACUUUGGCAUCAAGAUCAAACACAUCAGGAGUGAUAAUGGAACUGAGUUUAAAAACAUAGGUCUUGAUGAUUAUCUUGAUGAACUUGGUAUUACUCACGAAUUGUCUGCUCCUUAUACUCCUCAGCAGAAUGGUGUCGUCGAAAGGAAGAACAUGACUCUGGUUGAAAUGGCAAGAACUAUGCUUGAAGAAUAUCAGACUCCUCGUCGCUUCUGGCCUGAAGCAAUCAACACUGCAUGCCAUAUCAUCAACAGGGUAUAUCUUCACAAAUUCCUCAAGAAAACCUCAUAUGAACUCCUCACUCACAAGACACCCAAUGUAAGUUAUUUCAAAGUCUUCGGUGCAAAAUGCUGGAUUAGAGAUCCUCACCAUAGCUCAAAAUUUGCACCUAAGGCACAUGAAGGUUUUAUGCUCGGUUAUGGAAAGGACUCGCACACCUACAGAGUCUUCAACAACUAUCACAACAAAGUUGUUGAGACUGUAGAUGUGCGGUUCGAUGAAACUAAUGGCUCGCAAAGAGAGCAAUUUCCUUCUGAUCCAGAUAAGCUGUCUCCUGAGGAAGCAAUAAACCUUAAGCCUACUGAAGACAUUGUCCCCACUGAGGAAAUUGGUGAAGAAACGAUCCCCAUCGCUGAUAAAAACCAAGAAGAUGCUCCUGAGGAAAUUGCUACAGCACCACUUCCUCAGCCCAGACAAAAUCCUCAACCAGCUCAUCCGAGGAUUGCAAACGAAGUAGAACUUGAAAAAAUCCUCAACGACAUCAAUGCGCCAGGUCCUCUCACUCGCUCAAAAGCUUCACACUUAGUUAACUUUUGUGGGCAUUUUUCCUUUGUAUCCAUCACAGAACCCUCAAAAGUAGCUGAGGCUUUUCUGGAACCACAGUGGAUCCAAGCUAUGCAAGACGAACUUCUUCAAUUCAAGCUGAAUGACGUAUGGGAGCUCGUCAAACGACCAGAUCCUCGCAAGCACAACAUCAUCGGCACCAAGUGGAUUUUCCGNNNNNNNNNNNNNNNNNNNNNNNNNNNNNNNNNNNNNNNNNNNNNNNNNNNNNNNNNNNNNNNNNNNNNNNNNNNNNNNNNNNNNNNNNNNNNNNNNNNNCGGAAAAUCCACUUGGUGUCGAUGAUGUUGUGCUUGCGAGGACCUGGUCGUUUGACGAGCUCCCAUACGUCAUUCAGCUUGAAUUGAAGAAGUUCGUCUUCCAUAGCUUGGAUCCACUCCGGUUCCAGAAAAGCCUCAGCAACUUUUGAGGGUUCUGUGAUGGAUACAAAGGAGAAAUGCCCACAAAAGUUAACUAAGUAUGAAGCUUUUGAGCGAGUGAGAGGACCUGGCGCGUUGAUGUCGUUGAGGAUUUUGUCAAGUUCAACUUCGUUUGCAAUCCUCAGAUGAGCUGGUUGAGGAUUUUUUCUGGGCUGAGGAAGUGGUGCUGAUGCAAUUUCCUCAGGAACAUCUUCUUGAUUUUUAUCAGCGAUGGGGAUCGUUUCUUCAUCAAUUUCCUCAGAUGGAACAAUGUCUUCAGUAGGCUUGAGCUUUAUUGCUUCCUCAGGAGACAGCUUAUCUGGAUCAGAAGGCAAUUGCUCUCUUUGCGAGCCAUUAGUUUCAUCGAACCGCACAUCUACAGUCUCAACAACUUUGUUGUGAUAGUUGUUGAAGACUCUGUAAGUGUGCGAGUCCUUUCCAUAACCGAGCAUAAAACCUUCAUGUGCCUUAGGUGCAAAUUUUGAGCUAUGGUGAGGAUCUCUAAUCCAGCAUUUUGCACCGAAGACUUUGAAAUAACUUACAUUGGGUUUCUUGUCAGUGAGGAGUUCAUAUGAGGUUUUCUUGAGGAAUUUGUGAAGAUAUACCCUGUUGAUGAUAUGGCAUGCAGUGUUGAUUGCUUCAGGCCAAAAGCAACGAGGAGUCUGAUAUUCUUCAAGCAUGGUUCUCGCCAUUUCAACCAGAGUCCUAUUCUUCCUUUCGACGACACCAUUCUGUUGAGGAGUAUAAGGAGCAGACAAUUCGUGAGUAAUACCAAGUUCAUCAAGAUAAUCAUCAAGACUAGUGUUUUUGAACUCGGUUCCAUUAUCACUCCUGAUAUGUUUGAUCUUGAUGCCAAAGUUCGUCGAGGCCCUUGAAGAAAAUCGUUUGAAGAUUUCCUGCACUUCAGUUUUAUACACUAUAAUAUGCACCCAAGUGUAUCUGGAAUAAUCAUCAACUAUGACAAAGCCAUAUAGAGAUGCUGCAUUGGUUAGUGUGGCAUAGUGAGUAGGUCCAAAAAAUCCAUAUGAAGCAAUUCGAAUGGUCGUGUAGUGGUCAUGAUGGUUUUGGAGGGAUGCUUGGAUCUGGUCAUUUUCCCAGAUUCACAAGCACCGCAGAGAUGAUCCUUGAGGAAUUUGACUGAUUCGAUGCCGAUGACAUGCUUCUUCUUCGCGAGCGUGUGCAAAUUCCUCAUGCCGGCAUGACCUAGUCUUCGGUGCCACAACCAUCCUUCUGAGGUUUUNNNNNNNNNNNNNNNNNNNNNNNNNNNNNNNNNNNNNNNNNNNNNNNNNNNNNNNNNNNNNNNNNNNNNNNNNNNNNNNNNNNNNNNNNNNNNNNNNNNNNNNNNNNNNNNNNNNNNNNNNNNNNNNNNNNNNNNNNNNNNNNNNNNNNNNNNNNNNNNNNNNNNNNNNNNNNNNNNNNNNNNNNNNNNNNNNNNNNNNNNNNNNNNNNNNNNNNNNNNNNNNNNNNNNNNNNNNNNNNNNNNNNNNNNNNNNNNNNNNNNNNNNNNNNNNNNNNNNNNNNNNNNNNNNNNNCCCCUCUUCUUACACCUUUGAAGACUUUGGAUCUGUCAGAUUCCAUGAUGACUACACAUCUAUAUCUACCAAAUAUAACAAUCAUAUCAAGAUCACAAAGCAUUGAGACUGACAUAAGGUUAAAACCAAGGGAUUCAAUAAGCAUCACUUUGUCCAUAUGCCUAUCCUUGGAAAUAGCCACUUUGCCAAGUCCCAAUACCUUGCUUUUACCUUUAUCAGCAUAUGUGAUUUGCUUCAAAGGUGAUGGAGUUAGUGGCAUAUUCAUCAGUAAGCUUUUAUCACCAGUCAUGUGAUGUGUGCAACCACUAUCGAGAACCCACUCAGUAUUUUUGGGUUUGUCAUCCUGCAGAUGAAUUAGUACAGCUUACCAUCUCAUAUGCUUCAGAUUUGAAGAAUAUGAUACUAAUUUCAUCAGAUCAGUAAUUUCAUCAUAACAGAAAUGUAAGGACGUGUGAAAUAUUUCUAUUUCAUCAAUCAUUAGCUUGCGUCCUAUCAAGCAUUUCUUCAGGUCUCCAGUAAAUUCUUCAGAUGAUGAUUUUCAUCUAGAGACCUGACCUGCAGAAGUGAUUAGUUUGAUUUCUUCACCACCCACAUCUGAAGGGGUGGCAAAGCAUUCAUCAUCCUGCGAGCACCAUAUGAGAAAGGUGGCAUUGAAGCUAAUGCACUUCUCUUAACAGUAGGGGGAUUAAAGUACUCAUAUGAAUAUGCAGAGAACUGGUUUGAGGAUUUAUGAACAUAAUGAUUUGAGGAGUAGCGCUCAUAUUCAUAUUCCUUAUAGUUUCCCUGUAUGUUAGACGCAUAAGCACGGGUACGAGCAUAGUUUUGACCAGUUGUGGAUUUUGAUCCUCUUGAAAACUUUGGUCCUCCUGAGGAAUUUGAUCUGGGGUUCAGAUUCUUCAGUGGUGGUGUCAUGAUGACAUUCACCUGAAGAAUUUCAAUACAGCUUUUGGGAACCCAUAUUUUCCUCAGAGGAGGGCCAUUCCUGCAGUUAGUUCCAACAUAUCAAGAAAAUACUUCACCAGGUUGAUUUUUGAACAGUUUAUAAUUGGAAUCAAAUGGCUCAUCUGAGGAAUAGGAUAGUUCACAUGAAAAGCCAGUUAGAUUAGAUGGAUCAAAAGGAGGCCCAAUAGCAGCAACCCAUGAGGUUUUGGGAUACUGCUCAGGUUUCCAAUAAGAUCCAUCAGCAUUUAGUUUCCUCUCAAAGGCAAUUCCUUCUUUCCUCGGGUUCCUGUUCAAGAUCUGCUUUUUGAGCACAUCACAAAGGAUUUGAUGUCCUUUGAGGCUUUUGUACAUGCCUGUCACGUACAAUUCCUUCAACCCUGCAUUUUCAUCAUUGACAUUUGUGUUUUCCUCAAGUGAGGAAAUAGACACAACAGGUGUAGUUGAAGAAUUUGUAGCAAUGGUAGCAUUUGAAGAUUCUGGUGAAGAAUCAGCAGUUUCACGUUCAAUGCAUUUAAGACAUGGAGGAAUAAAUUCAACUUGACUAGCGCUGAUCUGUUGAGCUAGUAAUGAAUCAUUUUCCAUACGAAGAUCAUCAUGAGACAUCCUCAGCUUCUCAAGAUCAAGCUUCCUUUGAAGAAAUUCAUAGGAAAGCUUCUCAUGAUCAGUGAGGAGUGUAUCAUAACGAUCCUGAAGAUUAUCAAAUCUAGACUGAAGACUUUUCAUGUCAUCGGUGAGGAUUUGAGUAAGGUUCAUUUCAUCAUUCAACAGAUCAUCACUUUUGUCUAGCAGUUUCUGAAGCCUUUCUAGAGCAGUUUGUUGUUUAGUGGCAAUAAUUGCAAGUUUACUGUAUCUGGGUUUCUUAUAAUCAUUAGGUUCACAGUCAGUUGAAUCAGAGGAGGAGACAUUAUUUGAUACCUUUGAACCUUUUGCCAUGAAUCAAUAGGUUGGAGCGAUGUCAUCAGCAUAGUCAUCAGUAUGGAUGGUGCAAUCAUUUUCUUUAAGAUUGAAGAUUGACUUGGUGACGAAAGUGGUUGCUAGUGCAAGACUAGCCUGUCCUGAUUCUGAGUCUUCAUCAGAACCCUCUUCUUCAUCACAUCCCUCUGAUUCUACCUCGGAGUCCAUUUCCUUGCCAAUAAGUGCCCGAGCCUUUCUGAAACUGGUCUUCUUGUGCGAUGAGGGCUUUGAAGAUGAGGAUUUUGAAGAUUUAUUCUUCUUCUUCAAGUCAUCAGAACUGUCAUCCUUGUAUUUCUUAUUCUUUGAUUCCUUUCCCCAACGGGGACAAUCAGCAAUGUAAUGACCUGAUUUCUUGCACUUGUGACAGGUUCGUUUCUUGUAGUCCUGAGAUGCAGAUUCUGAUUUCCUCAUGUCUUUUCUUGAAGAUUUACCGAAUUGGCCUCGUCGCGUAAAUCUCUGGAAUUUCCUCACAAGCAUUGCAAGCUCCUGUCCAAAUUCUUCAGGAUCACAAAUGUUGUCGUCUGUGUCUUCGUCUUCAGAUGAGGAAAUUGCUCUAGCCUUCAGUGCACGUGGUCUGGAAUAGCUUGGUCCAUAUAGAUCUCUCUUUUCUUCUAGCUGGAAUUCAUGAGUAUUUAGCCUUUCUAGUAUAUCAGCUGGAUCAAGCAUCUUGUAAUCGGGUCUUUCUUGAAUCAUCAGAACUAAAGUAUCAAAUGAAGAAUCCAAAGAUCUUAGCAGUUUCUUCACAACUUCGUGAUCAGUGAUGUCUCGAGCUCCGAGUGCUUGCAGUUCAUUUGAUAUGUCAGUGAGGCGAUCAAAGGUGUCUUGGCAGCUUUCAUUGUCAUGUCUCUUGAAGCGAUUGAAGAGAUUGCGAAGAAUAUCAACACGAGAGUCACGUUGGGUUGAUACUCCUUUAUUUACCUUGCACAGUCUCUCCCAGAUCAGUGUUGCAGAGCCCAAGGCACUUACUCUUCCAAACUGGCCAGGGCUCAGAUGACCAUAGAUGAUGUUCUUCGCUUGAGAAUCGAGUUGCUUGAAUUUCUUCACAUCAGCCGCAGUGACACUUGCAGAGAUGAUGGGGACUCCAUUUUCCACAAUAUACCACAAAUCAUUAUCAAUAGCUUGUAAAUGCAUUUGCAUUUUGUUCUUCCAGAAGGGAAAGUUCUUUCCUUCGUAGGUAGGACAUGCUGCAGUCACCUUAAACAUGCCUGCAGUCGACAUAACUAAAACUCCAGGUGGUUAAACCAAAAUCACACAGAACAAGGGAGUACCUUGCUCUGAUACCAAUUGAAAGUGCAUUAUAUCGACUAGAGGGGGGGUGAAUAGGAGAUUUUUAGAAUUUCAUCACUCAGGAAAUUCCUUUUGAGGAAAUUCCUCACUGAUGACUAACUUACAGCGGAAACAGUAAAGGAUCAGACGUGCAACCGUUCACAACAGCAGUAUUACAGAGUGAAGAAUGUGAAAACAGAUUGCACAGUAAGCAGGCACGCAGAAUACAGAUGAUGAUUAACUAUCUUGAAGAAUUUGGGGUUGAGGAAAUUCAGAGAAAGUCUUCAGCAAAUUCUUCAAACAGUCAUAGUGAAAGUCAUCAACACACAAUACANNNNNNNNNNNNNNNNNNNNNNNNNNNNNNNNNNNNNNNNNNNNNNNNNNNNNNNNNNNNNNNNNNNNNNNNNNNNNNNNNNNNNNNNNNNNNNNNNNNNAUCAGACGUGCAACCGUUCACAACAGCAGUAUUACAGAGUGAAGAAUGUGAAAACAGAUUGCACAGUAAGCAGGCACGCAGAAUACAGAUGAUGAUUAACUAUCUUGAAGAAUUUGGGGUUGAGGAAAUUCAGAGAAAGUCUUCAGCAAAUUCUUCAAACAGUCAUAGUGAAAGUCAUCAACACACAAUACAAGAAAAGUAAAGAGUUGAGGAAUUAGAACCCGUUUCUCAGUGAAGACUGUUGUUGAUGACCGAGUUCCAACUGCUGUGACAGUUGUACAUCUGGUUUGGAGCGGNNNNNNNNNNGGAAAAGUAAAGAGUUGAGGAAUUAGAACCCGUUUCUCAGUGAAGACCGUUGUUGAUGACCCAGUUCCAACUGCUGUGACAGUUGUACAUCUGGUUUGGAGCGGCUUGGUAUUGAAACCAAAGGACACCCAGUCCCGGGACACACUGUCCCUACCGUAUUCUCCUUGAGCUAAGGACACACAGUCCUCGUCCAACACUCGUGGUAAGUCUUCAUGGCAGACUUCCAAACCCUCACAAACUUGGUCACCCGACGAUCCACAAUUGACUGCUCGAUUGCUCUAGACCUUGACGUCUAACCGUCUGGAGGAUCCGCAGUCCUCAAAGGUAAAAUGCUUCAGUCCCACACAGGAACAACUUCUUCAGUGAUGCUCAAUCACUANNNNNNNNNNUUUGAAAGCUUUGAGGAAUUUGGGUUGCUCUUAUGACAAGUGUCAGUUUCUAACGGAGCNNNNNNNNNNNNNNNNNNNNNNNNNNNNNNNNNNNNNNNNNNNNNNNNNNNNNNNNNNNNNNNNNNNNNNNNNNNNNNNNNNNNNNNNNNNNNNNNNNNNCGGUCACCCCGCGAUCCACAAUUGACUGCUGGAUUGCUCUAGACCAUGACGCCUAACCGUCUGGAGGAUGCACAGUCCUCAAAGGUAAAAGGCUUCAGUCCCACACACGAACAACUUCUUCAGUGAUUCUCAAUCACUAGGUUUGGUUUGUGGUUUCGAUGGGUGGUGUAUUUCCUCACUGAUGAAUUACUCUCAAAGGCUCUGAGGAAUUUGGGUUGCUCUUAUGACAAGUGUCAGUUUCUAACGGAGCAGCCAACCAGCUAGUGGUUGUGGGGGGUGGCUAUUUAUAGCCUGGGAGCAUCCUGACAUGAUUUGACACUAAUGCCCUUAAAUAAUAUGACCGUUGUAGUGGAUAAGACCAGUGACUUGGCGUGGUUAUCCAAACGGCCGGGACCCUCAACUGUGAGAGUCCUCAUGUCACUCAUAUUCCUCACUUGAGGCUUUUGGUAGGAUUUGGCUUGGGUUGAGCAUCAUGAGGAAAUCCAUUCCAUAGUGUUACUUUGACCCCCUUUAACAGUACAGUGUUCCUAUUCAUCAAAUGCGAAGAAAGUAAAACACAAAACGUAAAUCUUCACGCUUCAAUUUCUUCAGAAUGAUUUUCUUCAGGAACCACCGAUCUUCUCAAUAUCAGUAUCUUCAUGAGGAAUAUAAAUUUCAUCGCAGAUUCUCGCGAUUCAUUUCUUCAGCUUCAGACCAAUUUCUUCAACUGAAGAUAUACAUUUUUAGGGGUUGAUAUUCUUCAAAUAUCUCAAACUCCUCAAUGACUUAUAGAUCCUGUGUAUACUCACAAACACAUUAGAUACUUAACCUAUAAGUCUUCAAACCACCAAAAUCACUAAGGGGCACUAGAUGCACUUACAAUCUCCCCCUUUUUGGUGGUUGAUGACAAUUAGGUUAAGUCUUCAACAGGGAUCAAAAAUAUGAAGUGUAAAUGCUCAUUUGAGGAAUUUGAAAACAAGAUUCAGAUAGACUCCCCCUGAAGAUGUGCAUACCUUGAGGACUUUGCUUUUAUAGCAGAUCCACAUUGAUGAUUUAUAUCAUGGAGAUCUCCCCCUGAGUCUUGUAAAUCAUGCAUACAUAUAACAUAUCAUAUGAAGAAAAUGAAGAUGCAUGAUGGCAAAUGGUAUCUGACGAAUUCUAGCAUGCGUGCAUUAAAACUUUGAGGAAUAAGCAUGCGAAGAAAAACGUUCAAAAACGUCAGAGUACCAUCGGGAUUAAGUGACAACUCAUUACAUAAAUAAUUCAGAAGAGCCAAGAGUUUGUAACUUAAAUAUAGUUCAUAAGCCCCAAAAGUAUCCCGCUUGAAGACUAACUCUCGAGUUUCUCCCCCUUUGUCAUCAAGUGACAAAAAGGGACAAACUGAGGACUAACGCCCGUGAAGACUUCAUUUCUUGGCGGUUGAUGAAGAGCCGUGACGCUUCUUGGGGGUAGUCUUCUUCCUUGGGCCGGUUGCUGUGUCGAGUUGUUCCUCAUCAGAUUCAACGGUGCGGAAUGAAGAAAAGGAGCUGUCUUCAAGGUCUGGCACUGGAAUGGGCCUGAACUUCCUCUUGGGAGGCCACGACCAGUCAAAGUCCUGCUCAAAGUUCAUUUCUUCAAGCUCAGUCUGAGUCUUCAGAUGUGCAAGUGUAGCCCAGGUGCGAUCGAAAACCUCAUGCAGAUAGUGAUGAUUAAUCUUCACAGAGUUCUGGGUUUCAGUGAGGGUUUUCACAAUGGCACCAAACUGGCAUUUGACCCAUUUGUGGUUGUGAUCCACCUUCUGGUGAAGACUGAGGAGAAGCUCUCUGGUGGUUAGCACGCGAGGAGGAACAGGGCUUGCUGGACGAGUCUCAGCAUCAUCCCAUGAAGAAUAUGCUUCUGGCUCUUUGAACUGGCCAUCAAGGGGCCUGCUGCCUUCUUCAAUCAUAGAUUUUCCUUUUCCUUCGAUGGGCUCGAAAGUCUUCUUGUUUACCCGGAUAGGAGGCAUAUAACCCAUGUGGUUUUGGAAAUCAGCGUGGAAGUUGAUGCCUGUCCUUGUCCUGAUGAAUCUCAUGAUCCAUGGGGCAUAAAUCUUGUGAUCAUAGGGGCACAUGGCAUUGUCAGCCAAAGUCCUCAAGAAGAAAUCAUGGAUAUUGAUAGGAAUACCAUGAAUGAUGUUGAAGAGGAUAUUCUUCAUGAGGCCUACAACAUCUUCUUCAUCGUCAUGGCCUUUGAUUGGCGCNNNNNNNNNNNNNNNNNNNNNNNNNNNNNNNNNNNNNNNNNNNNNNNNNNNNNNNNNNNNNNNNNNNNNNNNNNNNNNNNNNNNNNNNNNNNNNNNNNNNUAUUCCAUUUGGCAGCUCACGCUCACCAUAAAGAUUUACUGCCCCAUCUGAGGGAAUUGGUACGGGCAGUUCUCUGAGGAGUUCAGAAGCCGGAGCUUUGUAGUGAGUAUUUUGGGACAUCCAGUCGAACACCCAAGUGUUGAUGUCAUCAGCGUUGCUAGAGAUGUUAAGAGUUGCAUAGAACUGAAGAAUAAGCUCACUAUUCUAGUCUGAUAUGUCUGAGCACAUAGGGAGCAAACCUGCAUCAUGGAGUACACUGAGGACUGGUUCCAGGCAGGGUAUUGCUUCAAGCUCAACAUGAGGAAUGUGCCUGUGCUAGAAUAUUUUGUUGCGGCCACAGAGCACUGAGGAAUAGUAGUUCAUCUGAGUCCUUGUCCAAAACUUCAGAUGCCUCAUUUGAGGCUUGUCAUAAGGGUUCUCUCCGAUGAAAUACAUGCGUUCUUCAAAGAAAUCUUCUUUCUCAAACUUUGGACGCUUGGAGAAUGGUUGGCGCUGAUCUGGCUUAAGAUUCUGCUGAGGAAUGGGAGGGGAGACAACCAUGGCAGUCUCUGGGUUGAGCACAAUGAAUUCAUUGUCUUGGGCGGGAACAUUUUCUUCAGCAUUUUCCUCAGGUUGAGGAAUUUCAUCAGCUGGUACUUCUUGCUCUGGCUGAGCUUCAGGCUGAGGAAUUUCUGCUUCUUUCUCAGCUUGAGGAGUUGGGUCAGCCUGUUCAGAACGAGGAGUCUGCUCAGAAUGUGCAUUUUCCUCAGCUUGUUUUUCUUCAGCUGGCUUUGUGGCAGAAGCAUAUUCAUCAGCUGCUGCAGCUGAAGCUUGAGCAGUCGCUGUCUGAGGAACAAGAGGUUGAGGACUGUCAUCAAUCUGGAUUUCCUCAUCAGUGUGUUCCUCAGAGGCGACAUCCUUCAUUUCCUCANNNNNNNNNNAGCCCUUGUAGUUGGGUCAUCAAUGACGACCAUGUCAUAUGAAGGGGCGACAUUAAGAGGCACUGGAUCCAGAGGAGUAGUUUCUUCAGUUUCUUUGAGGCGCUUUGCCUCUGUCUUUUCUACUGCUGAGGAUGCUUUUCCCUUCUUUGCUUCCUUUUCAGCAGCCCUUGUCUUCUUCGCGUCUGAUGCAGACGGGAUUAUCUUCUUCACCUUUGAAGCUUUUGGUGAAGGUGUUCUUUCUGCAGAUUCUUCAGCUGGUAGUGAGGAACCAGCUGGAACAGAGUCAUCAGCCUGCUUUGAUGAAGCAGCUGGAUCAGGAGCAGUCUCAUCAGUGGUUGCAAUUUAAUCAGUUGCAGUUUCCGUGAUGAUUUCUUCAAUGGCCGAUUCAUCAGCACGGCGCUCCUGGUGUUCUUCCUCAGCUUGAGGAGUUUCCUCCUCAUCAGGAGAUGCAUCUGCUGGCUGCUCAACCAGAGCCUGAGGAGUUGGUGCUGGUUGUGCGGUUUUCUUGUUGUAUUCAUCAACAGCACUAGUGGCUAGCUUGAUGAAAUUGCGCUUGAUGCUUUUGCGAUCUGACAGCCUGUCAUACUUGUCAGUCAGUACUUGUAGCUCUGCCUGAGUUGACACCAGUGCAUCAGGAGUCAGCUUGAGGAGAUUCUGCCUGAGGAAUUUCUCCUUUUUGGCCUUUGCAACCUUUGCCUGCCUGGCCUGCUGUUCCUUCCACUUGGCUUCAUUUAUGAAGGUGGCCACCAUGUGGCUGAUGCCANNNNNNNNNNNNNNNNNNNNNNNNNNNNNNNNNNNNNNNNNNNNNNNNNNNNNNNNNNNNNNNNNNNNNNNNNNNNNNNNNNNNNNNNNNNNNNNNNNNNUGUGCCACCCUUUCUUGCUUGUUUCUGAUGAUGGCUUGCAGGGUUUCAUCAUCAUAGUCAUCACUUCCCUCUGAUGCAGAUGGGACUGCGAUGAUUUUGCUGGGGCUGGGCAGAGGUGCACGUUCAGUAGUUGCCAAAGUCUUCACAAGUGGUGUUGAAAGACUUUGUCUCCGAGCUAGUUGCAGCUGGGAGUGAGGAGCUGGAGCUGGCGGUCGUAGGCUUCACGACAUGCUUUUGUACUGGUUUUUAUUGAGGCUUUGGAGGUGGAGCUGAGGAUUUUGGUGCAGAGGAGAUUGGUGUUGAGGGUUUUGGCGCUGAUGGUUUUGGUGUUGAAGGUUUUGGAACUGAGGGUUUUGGAGCUGAGGGUUUUGGAGCUGAGGGUUUUGUGACAGAAGCCUGAACAGACUUCUCUUGAGGCUUUGGAGCCCUUUGCUUUGAUGGCACAGAAUGCGUGUGAGGAAUCUCUGAGCCUGAGGUUUCUGCCGCUCAGGAAUUAGGAGCACCGGAGGCAGCAGCUGAGGAUUCAUUAAAUUUCCUCAUUGCAGCUUGUGCUUGCUUCUUGAGCUUGGCCAGAUGUUUUUCUUUCUCAUCUGGGUAAUCAUCAAUUGUCAUGAGACUUGAGGGAUGUGCUACUUGAUGAUCCUCAAGUGGGGCCCUUCUGCCAGGAGGCUUAAAGCGAAUUUCUUUGCAUAUUUUGGAGUCACAAACCUGUACUCCUUCCAUUCCUUUGCCCAUCUGCGUUCAAUCUUCUGCAGCCUUAUCUUUCUCUUGGCCAUUGUCUCACGUUCUUCAUGAGGCGUACAAUAGUCCAAGUAUAUGUCCUCAGGGAUAUCAGCAGCUGUGUUCUGCUCCAGUUUCUUUCCUCCCUUCUGUUUUCUCUCUUCCUCCAUUUUCUUCAGUUGAGGACUUUGCUGAUGAUUUUGAACUCUUGAGGAUUCUGAUGAGCCUUGAAGAGUUUCUUCCAGAAACGCUGCAAAUGAGUUAAUGUGAUGAGAACCGAGAGAUUCAUCAGCUGACAUGUGUGUACGUGUGAACAGAGUAUAGCUGCGAGGAAUUUGGAGAGGUCAUAGGCGUUCUUAGAUUUGAAGAAAAUGAAAAAGUUUGACAUUUUGAGGAAUAUAACCAGUGGUUGAGGAAUUUGCCUAAGCAUACUGUUNNNNNNNNNNAUCCGAAAAUUAGCACAAUUGAGGAAUCUCGUGAAAAUCUUAGAUGCUUAGCUAGUUCAUCAAUGAUUGCGGUGAUAGGUAGUGUUGGAGGAAUCACGUGCGCAUCGUAUCUUGAGGAAAAACAGAUUUCACAUAGAAGAGGUAAAAUUUCAGAUCUAAUCUACUGUAAAAAUGGGAUAUAUUUACCCUGGAAGGUGCGAACAAAGAACACAGAAAGUAGUAUUGGAGAGGCUCUUCGGUCGAGUGUCCAAUGCACCCUAACUUGGCGGCAGAGGACGUCUACGGCGGCGGCGGACGAAGAUGGUCCGACUCCGGCGUGAUCCUGGUGACAAAAAGGUCGAGGCAGUGAAGCUCUUCCUCACCGGCGACAAGACUACCAGCGGUGGCGCUAGGGUUUGGUGGAGUGUGCUGUGGCAGGAGAGCGAUGAGGCGAAGAAGAGGAUACAGAGGGGGAUAAGGACAUAUUUAUAGCCCAGAAGUUACUGUUUGGCGCGAAAGUUUCGGACCAGAUAGCCCCUGCCUCUAUGUCUCCGCAGGACACGUGUAGCUCCCGUACGAUGCGGUGGAGAUGGUGGAGAUCGUGGUUAUCCGAUCGUGGGAAGUGGGGGUUCAGUUACUAUUCCUUUAAAGAAAAGAAUUUUUGAAGAUUUGAGGAUUUUCGUUACAAAAUCAUCAGCUGACAAGGAUGCAGUGAGAAUUUUGAACAAAGUUUCAAGUAGAACGCAUAUGAAGAAUUGAAUAGACUGGAUAAGUAUAGCAUAGAGGGAAAGUAGGGUCCGAUCACAUUCACUUAGCAGAAACAUCAACUUGAAGAAAUAGCAAUAAGUGAAUGCCGUUGAGGACUAGAAAUCACAGUCUACCUAGGCAAAUGGAAGUCAUCAAGUGUUUUUGAAGAUUUUGUAAUAGAUCAUCACAAUGAAGAACAACUGUUCUGAAGAAAAAUGCAUUGUGAGGAAAUUGAUCAUUUGAAGAAUGUUGAUUACAGACGCCGCAUACAAUUGUCGUAGGGCCCUGAGAAUCAAUUUCAUCAACUUUGCAUAAGUGUUAGGAUGUGUGCAUGUUUUUACAAAACAUUUGAAGACUCUAAGAUAUUUAGCUCACACCGCAACUUGCAAAACCUUUUCUCAUCCAAGGGCUUAGUGAAGAUAUCUGCUAGCUGAUCAUCAGUCUUCACAUGGUCGAUGAGGAUAUUGCCCUUGAGGACAUGGUCCCGAAGAAAAUGAUGACGAAUCUGGAUGUGCUUGGUCUUCGAGUGCUGUACUGGAUUGUAUGCAAUCUUGAUAGCACUCUCAUUGUCACAGUAGAGAGGCACAUUCUUCAUGUUGAUGCCGUAGUCCUUGAGGGUUUGCUUCAUCCAUAGCAAUUGAGCACAGCAAGAACCAGCAGCAAUGUACUCAGCUUCGGCAGUGGAGAGUGAUACGCAGUUCUGCUUCUUUGAGGACCAGCAAACUAGUGAUCUUCCGAGGAAAUGGCAUGUGCCAGAAGUUGACUUGCGAUCCACACGGUCACAAGCAUAGUCUGAAUCAGAAUACCCUACCAGAUGAAGAUUGGAGCCCUUGGGAUACCAUAAUCCUAGUGUUGGUGUGUGAGCUAAGUAUCGAAGAAUAUGUUUCACAGCCUUAUGGUGAGAUUCCUUCGGUUUUGCUUGAAAACGUGCACACAUGCAAACACUAAGCAUUAUAUCUGGCCUAGAUGCACAUAUAUACAAUAAGGAGCCAAUCAUAGAACGGUAUACCUGCUGAUCGAAAUCUUUACCAUUUUCAUCAGUGCCGAGGUGGCCGUUGGUAGGCAUUGGAGUCUUGGCACCUUUGCAUUCGUGCAUGUCGAAUUUCCUCAAAACAUCCUUGAGGUAUUUCUCCUGUGAUAUGAAGAUUCCAUUGCUUUGUUGACGAAUUUGAAGACCUAAGAAGAAUUUCAGCUCCCCCAUCAUGGACAUCUGAUAUUCCUCACUCAUCAUGUUGGCAAAUUCAUCAUUGUAUCUUUUGUCAGUACAGCCAAAUAUAAUAUCAUUGACAUAUAUUUGACACACGAAUAGCUCAUUAUCAUAGGAUUUAGUGAAAAGAGUUGGAUCGAGUGAACCAGGUUUUAAGCCUUUCUUCAUGAGGAAUUCCUUCAAUGUAUCAUACCAUGCCCGAGGGGCUUGCUUGAGGCCAUACAGAGCCUUUUUGAGUCUGAAGACUUUGUCUGGAUUCUUUGGAUCCUCAAAACCUGGGGGUUGAGCAACAUAUACUUCUUCCUCAAGCUUACCAUUGAGGAAUGCACUUUUCACAUCCAUUUGAUAUAAGGUGAUGUUAUGAUGAUUAGCAUAAGCAAGUAAUAUUCGAAUAGCUUCAAGUCUAGCAACAGGUGCAAAAGUUUCAUCGAAAUCUAUUCCUUCAACCUGGGUGUAGCCUUGGGCUACAAGUCGUGCCUUGUUCCUCACCACUUGACCGUCCUCAUCUUGCUUGUUUNNNNNNNNNNNNNNNNNNNNNNNNNNNNNNNNNNNNNNNNNNNNNNNNNNNNNNNNNNNNNNNNNNNNNNNNNNNNNNNNNNNNNNNNNNNNNNNNNNNNCACGGGGGGCGGUGGCUGUUGGGAAUGAGGGGCUGGGGCUCUCGAUUCCAGGGAGGACGAAGGAAGCCGACGGGAGAUCUGUCGGUGGGGUGGGUGGGGUGCUUGCGAUAGGAACGGGGGGGACGUGGGGUGGCUCUCGAUUGCGUGGUAGGUGGGGAAGGGGAUGAGAGACCGAGGGGGAGGUGGGGCGGUAGGUCUCGGUCGGUGGUGGCGAUCCCCUGGCGGCGGCACUGGGAAGCGGGGGGGAGAGUCAAGGUCUCGCUAGGGUUUGUCCUGAGCGGGCGGCUGUGGCGUGGCCGGCUGGGCCUCUAGGCCGAGUUGGGCGAGGGGGUGGGGGGGGUUCUCUUUCCUUUUUCCUUUUUUUUAUUUCUAAUUUUUUUGUACCUUAUUUUAUUUACUAUCUUUUAUAAUAUACUAUAUGUACUUUUACUUCUUUCUUUUUAUUUAUUUCUUUUCUGUUACUAUAUUUCUCUACUCUAUCUUAUUUAAGGCUCCACUUCUAAAUAUAUAUUUCCAAAAGUGCCUGAUUCAUUUGUAUACUUCGCUAGGUAAUCUGUAUAACUCCCCGACGUUUUUAUUUUAACAACAUAAAAUAUUUUCUCGCUUGACUUAAUCUCAAGGUUUCGAAUUUCGAUUCGGUUUCAACCAACAUGACAACAUUGAUAUAAUUCACGAUGACGUGGCAUCAUUAGCACAGGAUCACUGUUGCUUAAUUACAAUCAUCACUGUAGCAAAAGUCGAGGAUGUCACACCCUAUUACCUUGUGGACCCCUCGUGUCUCCAUAUUACCUAAUUCCAUCCAUAUAAAUUCUCAAAUAUUGGGAAAACAUCGGAGGGCCACCUGAAACACUUAUUCCACCACUGCAAGUCUCUCUUCCAACGGGAGGCCAUCUAGAGACCUUUUCUGGUGCCCUAUCGGAGGGGGGAUCGAUCAUGGAGGCCAUCUACAUCAACCUUGCUGCCUCCAUGAUGUUGUGUGACUAGUCCACCACAAACCUAUGGGUCCAUAGCUAGUACCUAGAUGACUUCUUCUCUCUAUAUGAUCUUCAAUACAAAGUUCACCCGAUUCCCGCGAUGAUCUAUUCUAUGUAAACUUCUUUGCAUUGUGUUUGUUGGGAUCCAAUGAAUUGUGGGUUUAUGAUCAUAUUUUUCAAGAAUAUUAAAUGAGUCUUCUUGGAAUUCUUUUAUGCAUGAUUAUUAUAACUUCGUAUUUCUCUCUGGUCUAUCGGGUUGGUUUGGUCAACUAGAUUGAUUUAUCUUCAGUGGGAGUGGUCCAUUGUGAUGGGUUCAAUCUUGUGGUGCUCAAUGCCGGUGACAGAAAGGGACAUGACACGUAUUUUUAUUGCUUUCAUGAAGUAUAAAACAUCGGGGUUAAUAAAAUUUAUUGAGUUUGCUUUGUCUACAUCAUGUCAUCUUACCCCAAGCAUUACUCUCUUUCAUACUAAAUACUCUAGAUGCAUGCUGGAUAGUGGCCGAUAAGUGGAGUAAUAGUAGUAGAUGUAGGAAAGACUCGUUCUACUUCCUCAUGGACUUGAUGCCUAUAUACAUGAUCAUUGCCUUGAAUAAUAUGUCAUGACUAUGCGCUUUUCUGUUGAUUUCCCAACAGUAAUUUGUCUAACCACCAUAUGCUAUCUUCAAGAGAGAAGCCACGAGUGAAAACUAUGCCCGUGGGUCUACUCAAGUUAUAUCACAAAAAACAUAAAAAUAUUGGUGUCAUUUACUAUCUAUUAUUCAUAUUCAUAUUUAUAUUAUCUAUCUAUCACUACUUAAUCCUUGCAAGUAACGAGUUCAAGGGGCUUGACAACCCUCUUUCCCGCGUUUGGUGCAAGUGUUUGGUUGUGUGUCUGCAGGUGCUCACGACGAAAGUUUGCUUAAUACUCCUAUUGGUUUGAUAACUUUUGUUCUCACUAAAGUAAGUACUUAUCUCUAAUGUGUUGCAUCUCCCCUCCUCUUCGUGGAAAAAUCCAACGCAGAUUAUAAGUAGUGAUUGUUUCUUCAGCGUAUUGUAUACAUGAGUCAUUUGGGGCUUUAUUAGUUUAGAGCCAAGCAUAUGCCUUCAAACCUAAAAGAGUCAUUUAAAAUUAUUAUUUUAUGUGCAAGAAAAUGGAGAUUUUUUGUAGGAUGCAAAUUGAGGUUUUACAUAUACAUUACACACUUUUGACCCAACCAAAUAUAUGUUUUCAUUUUAAAGCUUACAAGCUUUUUUUUUACAAAGUUUCCAUUCUAAAAUUUACAUACUCCUAAAAUUUCUCAUCACAUGAUUUUUUUUCAUGUAUAAUUUUUAUGUGAUAUAUUAUAUUUAAAGAAAAUUUUCAAAUAGAUCACAAUUAAUAUCAUUGAGUUGUACCAACUAUUUAGAAAUCAGUUGCCCUUCUUCAUUCUUGGUUAACUUUUACAUGGGGUGUAAGCUACCAAUAGCAUGGGUAUUCUCCCCAGUUGUCUCUCAAAUGUGGUAGGAUCAUACUUAUCAUACCGAGGCACAAAUUGUGACUCGGGGUAUUGUUCGAGACCCGAGGGUCAUCAUUUUUCUUGAAUUUGCAUACAAAACCAGCACCUUCAUCGCGAUGAUGUUGUGCUUACUUGUGCCAAAUCCCAUUGAAUUUCUCGCUUCAUGUGAAGCUCUUGUAAAAUCCCUUUUAUAGGGUUCCCUUAAAUAUAGCAUUCUUUGCUCAAGUGCAAUUUGGCUAAGACAUAAUUUAGUGAAUCCAUUGAACCAUGAAUAUUGGAUGCCAUGGUAUGUGAGGAUGUAGAAAUCGGUGUGCUUACAUCGAAUGACGAAGUGGGUGCAUGGUUUGAGUCAUUUCAAGUGAUUUGAGUUGAAUCUUUGGUAGUGAGGAAUUUCUUAGAAAUAUGAGAUGCACUCAUAGGACAAAGAUUUCCAUUAAGGGCUUUCAAGCAAUCAUGAUUUUGUUUCAAGUUGAGCAUCUUGAGGUUUAGCCUCUAAAACCUUAAAAGCCUCUUUAUGAUCAUGGGGUUGAAUUUGGUAUUUUGAGUUUAGUUUUUAAAUCUCACUAGUGAGAGCCUCAUUUUUGCUCAUCGCAUUAUAAUCAACUCUUCUUGCUUCACACACAUUUUUAGCAAGUGUGUCGUGACUCAAAAUAUCAAGUUUCUUUUCAUCAAGCAAAUCAUCAUCAUAGCUAUUGAAAUCGAUGAACUCGGGUUGUGUUAGGGUUGUUGACCAUGAAGCCUCUUGCAGAUCCACCAACUUCAUUUGGAGGGUCAAAUAAAGAUUGAGGUCUGGUGGUGACGAGUGCAAUUACGGCAACACAUUCAUCAUCACUAUUGAAGACGGUGUAGUAGUUUGACCUGGAUUAGGAGCUGAAUACCGAGUCACCAACAUUUUCAUGUGACCUGUGCUUAGAUUAUCUCUUGGGGGUAUUCAGCUUUCUUUGUGCGUCCUUUCUCUUUGGUAUUUUCUUUCUUUCCUAUCAUAAUUGUCCAUUCUUUUUCUUCUUGGAGAUUGUGCACUCUUCUUGGUAGAUUCACAACAAUUGGUGAUGAAGAUUCUGUAUUGUCCACAAUUAUAGCAACGACUCUCCUUUGGGCUAGACCUCUUGAUGGUCAUUGCUUGAUCUUGAGUAGCGCUAUCGUUGGUCUUCAAUUUAUUCUUGGAGUGCAUCUUGUUGAAGUCGCGGUUCAUAUGAGCAAGUUCUACACUAGAGACCUCCUUGGGGUUGUCCACAAUUGUAGUCUUGUGAGUACCACGGGCGACUUUGUAAGCUCUAGCAUUCUUUGUGUUGAGAUGAUUGAAAAUGAAUAUUUUCCUUGUCCUCGAUCACAUUUCAUGGACGGCAAUCGCUUCCUACGACAUUCUGCUCCACAUGUGACAGUCAUGUUGGCCAUGGAUCUCAAACGCUCAUAGACAUUCUAGGUGGUGUAUGGUUGUGAUCCCUAGAACAUGUGAGAUGCUUACACUGGUGUGUUGGGAUUGGGAAUGGGGGGAAGAAACCGACACCUCGAUCUCGAGAGACCGUACUGAGAGAGAUGAUCGCAAGCAAGGGCACAAGCUCAUGGUGAUGGAGUUGGACAAUGAGGAAAGCACUGGGACACCAAAACCGGGAUGACUAGACCAACCCUUGCUAGAGGAAAUCGCUAACGAUUCUCUGCCAAAUCGCCUCUCAUCACGAUUUAGGUGAUGUUUGGUUCUAAGCCUAGGUAUGCCAUAUUUUGCCACACAUUUCUUGUCACGCUUAUCUAAGAUUAGUUCUUCAAAAAUGUUUUGCCAUUCAAUGCCUUAAAAAGUGUGAUAGGUUUCCCUUAGGCUUGCAAACUUACAGUUCUCCUCCUGGGGGCCGUUGUGAAGCUCUCCGGCCUCCUUCGCUCUCAGGUCACCUUUUUCGGGUGAAAGCCACCACAGGGUCGGACGAUGGCAUCAAUCCAUGUCGCUUCCUCUCCUGAGGGCGUCGUCUUCAAGACUAUGCUUUCAUGCAUGCUUUCCCGGGGCUGGACUUGCACGACAUCGCGACAGGUGGCCGACGAUGCGAGAGGUGCUGACUGGAGGGGCCCUGAGGUGGAGCGGUGUUACCUCCUCUCCAUCGACGGCGGCGUGGUGACGUCGACGGUAGGCGUGGCAAGGUUGAUGCGUCGGUACCUACUCUGAAGAUGGAUUGGUGGAAAACGGCGGCGGCGGCCUCUGAGAGUGCGUCGGACCGAUGUGUGCCCCAGACCUGACAAGUGGCUUGGUUGGGGCCUUCGGUUUUAGAUGUUAGACUUUGUUGCAAGGUGUGUUUAAUAUUCGGCUCGGACAAUCAACACCCCUUCAUCAAGUGCAUGAGAGUAGCAACAGAUGUUACCAAGAUGAUGACUUCAAACUUACUGAUGUUUUCUUUUGUAAGGUCUUUAUUUUUUUCUAAACGAAGGCAAAAGAUUUACCUCAUUCAUUAAUUAAGCAGAAGAGUUGUCCGGUUAACAAAUGGAAACCUGGACGAAAACGGUUACAAACCGUUGAGCGGCACUCGCGUAAUAUCCCACACACCUCACAUAGAGGGUCUCACCAACAUCACACACCGGUUUCAUCGUCAUCACUUCUCCCCAACAGGCGUCAUCGUCCUCCCUAAUCUCCAAGCAAGCACUUCGACUUCUCCGAAGACAAACGUCGAACCAACCCACAUCGUAGAGUAUGUGUGAAUACACAAGAAGGCACGUGCCAAACUCAGCCUCCCGCGUCAAGGACAACGCAUCUUUGACUCUAAAAGAUAGCUUUGAAGAAGAAUUAUGCAAGGCCGACGCUGCGAAAGACCAUCGAACAGACCACCAGAUUUUAUAAGAUCUUUAUGAAUAACUAAUGAAAUGACUGCACGAGAUCUUCCUUCCUUUUCAAAAAAAGUAUGAUAAAAUAUGGCAUUCCUAGGCUUUGUACCAAAUAACCCCUAGUCAAUUACGGAACCGUCGCUUGUCAACACUGCUGGCUAUGGUGUGGAGUUUGGAUAUUGGCAAAGCCGGUGGUAACGCAACUUUCAUUUUCUAAGAGCACACCACAUGUAAAAAAUCACAACUGCAAUGCUGAAAUGUACUUAACUUGUCCGCACAUCUCCUGCCACGAGUCUUAAGUUUCAAAUUUUGCAAUAGUUCAUGGAACAGAACAUGAACAAGCUUCCAUAGAAAACUACCUAGGGCCCACCAAAGCAUCGGUGGAUGAUAUCCUGAGUGCUCCAUGUCGUUCGGAUAGCCGAGACACGGUCAGUGAUGCAUGCAAGGCGACAUUAGGUCCUGUUUGGAACCAUAAUAGAUUAUAAUAAUCUGAAUUAUAAAGAUAGAUUACAUAAUUUGAUUUAUAAAAUUAAUGUAGGUGGAUAUAUUUGGAGGUCAAAUUAUAUAAACUGUAAUCCAGAUUUUACAUUGCAUCAUGACUUGUCUGUCCUCUGCAUUUUUCUAAAAAGAGGAGGGUGACGGUGGUAGAAAUGUAAUUAUCUUCAACUUUACAAGAAUAAUGGAUCAUUAGCAACCCAUAAUCUGAUUUUAAUUGGGAUAGAGUAGGUUGUGAGUUUUUAAUAAUCUAUUUAUUUAAUUUUUAUAAUCUACAUCAUAAUCUGUCAUGUUUAAAAACAAAAUAGAUUAUGAAAACUGAAUUAUAUAAUCUGAAUGGUUUCAAACAAGGCGUUAACAAUGUCCAACCCACCGGACCACAGCUCUAAUCCCGGCAGUCACCAGCUGUGGCUGUGCGAUACCAAGUGCGGUAACCUGACACCAAAUUAACAUACUACAAUCUGUAAAUUAAAUUAAACUGAAGAAGAAAAAAAACAACCCAACCCAUUUUUCGCCCAUGGGAAAACGGAAGCUCACUGUCAGCCACGACAAAAAGUCCAUCGCUUUCCCGUCCGUCCUUUUCGGCUGCAAUUUCAUACCAUAGUCCGCCACCGGGGGAAUGAGAAACCUCGGCCGUCGACAAGGCGCCAUCCUUUUUCUUUAUGUGCUACACGGCUGGCCGACCAACCGCACCUCCGCCGGGCGCGAGGAUUUGCUCGCCACCCCACCCCGCCGUCGCGGCUGGAGGCGCACCCGGGUAAGGUUCAGGUUCAGCGCACGUAGAUGGGAUGGCCAUCCGGUGAGGCACGUGCAGAUUGGGGCCAGUUUUCUUUAUUUUACUAGGGAUAAUUAAGAGGAGAUACACCUACUCCUUUGUCUCUCUAGGUGUCCCUGACUAGGUAAACAGAUGGCGGUACUAGGUAUGCUUCGGUAUGAACAAGCCACGCUUCAGUAUUAUCCGCUUGAAUUGUUUAAAUGUUGUGAUGUUCCAAGCAUAUCCUUCUGUUCUGUCGAUCGACAUGGGGAAUAGAUGAAUUGCGGAGAUAAAUAAUGUUCCAAGCAUAUCCUUCCGUGGCCGAGAUGGGAAUUAACUAUGCUGGCCGGUAGUACGGUGAUGAUCCAUGUUGGACACAGUGCAAUGUCAUGCCGUGCAUGCAUAUCAUCUACUCCCUCCUUCGGCUCACAAAUAUAUUUUUAUCGAUCGGAUGUACACGUAGUACUCUCUCCGUUUCUAAAUACAAGACCUUUUAGAGAUUACAUCAUGGACUACAUGCGAAUGUAUAUAGACAUAUUUUAGAGCAUAGGUUCAUUCAUUUUGCUCUGUAUGUAGUCCAUAGUAGAAUUUCUAAAAGGUCUUAUAUUUAGGAACGGAUGAAGUACAUAGUAGAACGUUUUAGUGUGUUUGCUGAUUCACUUUAAUUCAUAUGUAAUCCACAUUAAAAUACCAAAAACAUCUGCAUAUUGGUGAAUGGAGGAAAAUCACGUGCAAAGAAAAGAAAAGAACGUGUAUGUACUCUUCCCUCAAACUUUCCUGCGCAUCGGUCGAUUGACCACUUAAUUAAAAAAGAAAAAACAUGUGCUUGCUUGCAUUCUCUCAUGUUUAAGCUGUCCGUAGUAAAGGAUGGUUCGUAUCCAUGUUUCCUUUUUGUAUACUUGCUUCGUUCUAAAUUUUUUGUCUUAGAUUUGAAGAGUCAUCUGGCAUUCUAGCGUGAUCCUUGAACCUUUUGAUGGAGGCACGAUAGUUCUUCGCGGAGAAAAAUGGAGGCGCGAUAGUUCUUCCCGGAGAAAAAUCCAAUGCGCGACGGAAAGAAAGCCUACAUGCACGCAUGGCAUACUACUUACAACAUGGCUGCCGGCAGCUCACAGCCAAGAAGCGGAAUCCACACGUGGUGCAAUGCAAACUGGAGGUCCGAAAGCACAGAGGAGAGGAGAGGACGCACGUAGACGCGCGGGCAUUCGAGGAGCCGCCGAGCUAGGCUGGUCGCGGGGAUAUAUUUUCCGCCCGGAAAAUCCAUCCUGGCUGUCGCGCCUUUGACUCUUCCGUCUCUUUCAGCCCAGCCCAGCCGUCGCGGGGGUCAAACCCUCGUCUCCGCGGGGAACCUUCCGCGCAGCUGCUGCAGCCCACGCCCGUCCUCAUCAAGCAACGGAAGAAGCCCACGAACGAGCUCGCCCGACCCGGCCCACGUGCCGCGGGCAGGGGCCCGUAUCCGUAUAUAGCCGCCACGGGCGCCCCGCCCAACAAACCGUACUUGGUCGUCAAGGAAACGAGCCAUCAUCAAAAGAGGAGGCCCCAGGAGGCGGUAUCACAACCAUCCAGCCAGCCAGCCAGCCGCCUUUCUCUUCUCUUUCAACGCCGGGCGCCCGCGGAGGGCCGGUGGAGCGAGCGAGCGAGCGAGGAGGGGGAGGAUGAUGACGGCAAUGGUGAAGGCCGAGGCGAUGACGGCGGAGGCGGAGGGGAGCAGCGGGCGGAGGGACGCGGAGGCGGAGCUCAACCUGCCGCCGGGCUUCCGCUUCCACCCCACGGACGACGAGCUCGUCGUGCACUACCUCUGCAGGAAGGUGGCGGGACAGCCGCAGCCCGUGCCAAUCAUCGCCGAGGUCGAUCUCUACAAGUUCAACCCCUGGGAUCUGCCCGGUGCGUGUCCCCCUUCUUCCUCCCUCCCUCCUCUCCUUACUCCUCCCACCAUCUGUCUGAUUCAAUGUGUAUGUGCGCCGUGCUGACCUCGGCCGCGGGUUCCCGUGCAGAGAGGGCGCUGUUCGGGAGCAGGGAGUGGUACUUCUUCACGCCGCGCGACCGCAAGUACCCCAACGGCUCGCGCCCCAACCGCUCCGCCGGCACCGGCUACUGGAAGGCCACGGGCGCCGACAAGCCCGUGGCGCCCAGGGAGAGCGGCGGCAGGACCGUCGGCAUCAAGAAGGCGCUCGUCUUCUACUCCGGCAGGGCGCCCAGGGGCGUCAAGACCGACUGGAUCAUGCACGAGUACCGCAUCGCCCAAGCCGACCGCACACCCGGCAAGAAGGGAUCCCUCAAGGUAAUUAAGCCCACCGUCUUCCAAACCUGUCCGUCUAUCAUCAUUGCACUCCCGCUGCUCGAUCGAUGCUGAUUGCUGAUCCUCUGUUUUUGUUUCUCAUGUGCGGCUAUCAUUUGCAGCUGGACGAAUGGGUGCUGUGCCGGCUGUACAACAAGAAGAACAACUGGGACAAGGUCAAGGUGGAGCAGGACAUGGCUGUGGUGCAGGGACAGAAUGGGGAGGUCAUGGACGCGCUGGCCACCGACGCCAUGUCCGACAGCUUCCAGACGCACGACUCCUCGGAGAUCGACAACGCCUCCGGCCUGCAGCAGCAGCACCACGGCUUCAUGGACAUGGCGCAGCGGCAGGCCAGGGAAGGCAUGGUGACGGUCAAGGAGGACAGCGACUGGUUCACCGGCCUGAGUAUGGACGACCUGCAGACUUGUUACAUGAACAUGGGGCAGAUGGUGAAUCCAGCGGCGAUGCCUGUGCACGACGGCAGCGGCUAUCUGCAGUCGAUGAACUCGCCUCAGAUGAUGAGACCCAUGUGGCAAACAAUCUUGCCACCAUUCUGAGAUGGAAGAAGAAAGAUAUGGUGUAAAUUAUGUUUGAAAUAGAAGUGAUUAGACAAAUACUUACUUUGAACUAGAAAGAGAUAGAAAUUUCCCAGGCAUGAUUCUGAAGAUGUGGUGGUAGGCUUGUAGCAGUAUUUAUUCUUUGGUUUCGAUCUAUAAAUUUGGUAUUCUAAACAAACAUGUAAUUUUAUUCCCAUAUAAUCUCAAGUCUAAACACCAAACUUGUUCUUCUGACCCUUGAUCAAUCUGAUCUGAACAAAUCUGAAACAUAUACUCUCUCCGUCCCGACCCUUGAUCAAUCUGAUCUGAACAAAUCUGAAAUAUAUACUCCCUCCGUCCCGUAUUACUUGUCUUGGAUUUGUCUAGAUACCGAUGUAUAUCUAUAUCUAGAAAAAUCUACACAAUUAAUUUGAGACGGAGGUAAUAUAUGAUUAUCUCACAGCUGAUAUUUCAUUUUUCACUUCUUCCAAUUGUUUUCAAAAAUAUAUUUGGUGUUUAUCCGAAUUUAGUUAUAGUGGGUUCAGAUAUUAACAGCAUAAUGGUAACAUUCAGUGCAUACAUGAACAGGCAGACUGCAACUGGUUGUCGACCACGCAGCUAUCGGUUAAAGUUGGGACGUGAUCAUGCACUAAGUUAGUCUGCAUCAUGAGUCAUAUGAGUUAGCGACACUUGCAGGCUAGCAGCUAUAAGAUGCCAUGAAAUUGACAGUAGACACUAGUAUGACAAGCAUGGUUCAGUUGGAUGUAGCUUGCACAGGGAAAGUAAGUUGUUUCCACCAUAACUGUAUCCAUUACCUGUCAUCGUCUUAUCAACAAAAUUUAAAGCAACUUGCAUCAACACCAUCUUUUGGAGACUGGACUGCAUAACAGAGUUCAGGAUAUUAUGUACUCUAAGUGACAACUGACAGAACAAGCCACUUGCUGUUAGCAGGGAUAUCCUACAGGAUAUUACAGAAAGGUAUUAAAACAUCAGAUGCGAUGAUAAGUUGGUUGACUCGUACCAUAUUAUCCAUUAGUAUGAUGAUCUAAUCCACUAGCUACAAGGCCUAACUGAAGCCACGGGAUAGCAGAGAAAAGAACACCUAACUGAUCAGAUAUAACUGGAAUUCUGGUAAACUCUCACCUCAGAAUCAACAGAUUCAUUGAUUACAAGCAGGCUGGCGGCAACCCGACCCAGCUUCGAUCCAAUGUGCUCUUGUUGCUGGACUAUUUAGUGUGCACAUGCACUGAAUUAAUGCUAUCAGAAAGGUUGCAAUGGCUGACUGGCAGAAAGAGAACAAUAUGUUUGUCAAGAAGAAAAUUAUAUAACCUAAAACUUACAUAGCGGCGGAUUCUGCAGUGGGAUCAGUGGUCACUAAAUGAUUAUAUGUGAAUAUGCCAGUACACUAAUGGAAUAGUUGUAAGCAUGAAAAUCGAACUGCUAAUAUUUAAUAAAGAUACAUAUUGAAAAUGUGUAUUUAGUACCAAACCAUAUGAAAUGAUCUGUAUGAAUCAUUAUUUCGUAAAAUCUAAGCACAUAUUAUUAUGCUAAAGUAUAGGAGUCAGACCAGUAUGAAUAUGGUGAACAGUCAUUAUAUGUUGUGAACCAAUCAUUGAACAGGUACUUGGUGCAAACUACAAGCUACAAAAGAAGGGUUACAGCAAAGUGAAGCAUGUCCAAGUUUAAACAGGAUAAACCAUAGGUUGCACUUUCUAAUUCAAAUCUACAGCCAAGCAAUCCAAUGAGAAUGAAAAUAACUGCGCAAACAUACUUUUUUCGAAUACGGCAGGAGCUCUGCGCCUUCAGUUAGAAGGAAGAAAGUUUGAUUACAGACUGGAACAAAGGAAACCGAACAGCAUACCCUAAGCUGAGGUCAUCGCUGACAAUUCUAACAAAAGCCAAAGGGCCCUUGCAAGCAUGGCUUCCUUGACCAAACCGGCCAAAGCAAAGUAGAUGAAGAUCACUUGAAAGUAAUCAGACUCGUCUUUCUGAAUAACCAAAUAAUCUCUCUCCAAAAUGCCCACCAGUUACUCCAAAACAACACCCGUGUCUCUUUUUAUAGAUCACUUCCGAGUGGCCUUCAUCUUUACCACUCUCUACGAGUUACUUUGAGAGACACCGAGCCGCGUCUUGAGCCGACAGAAGCUGAUGCCUUGGCAAGCUCUCUGCCUGAACGCCACGCCUGUAUCAUUGAUUCAGUCUUCUCCUCUGGUGAAAAUCCCUUGGCUUUCAUCUCUUCGUAAUACUUUGCUGCCUCCUCUAGCUUCCCGUUCAAGAACAAUCCAUGUAUGAACACAAUGUACGCGCUCCGAUCAGGGGUCAACCCAUUUGCAGGCAUUGCGUUCCACAGUUUCUCCACACUAUCAUGCUGCUUCCACCUGCAGAACUUCCGGAUCAACAUAAUAUAAGUGUCCAUCUCUGGCUCGCAAUGUAGUGCCUUCAUCUUAUCCAACAGAUCAAAGACCUCAGUGGGGCUCGUAGCAACAUCGAACAACGCAUGGAAUGUCCUCACCGAUGCCAACAGCCCCCUUCCUACCAUCUCAUCAAACAUCUCCCUUGCCUCCUGGACCUGACGAGCCUUGCAAAGAGGCCGAAUGAGGGAGUUGUAAGUCGCCGUGUCCGGUGUAACCCCCUUCUCCUCCAUGCUCCGGACAAGCGCCCUUGCCUCAUCCACGCACCGUCCCUUAGCGAGCGCGUGCACAACUGCAUUGUAGACCUUCCGGUCUGGCACGAUGCCAGCCUCCUUCAUGCGGUUAAAGAGCUUCAUGACCGAGUCCAAGCUCCCGGCCUUCGAGAAGCACGAGAUCAUACUCCCAUAAGACACAACGUCCCUCGCGACAGCCCUGAGCUCCAUGACGGUCCAAAACCUCUUGGCCUCACGCACGCUGCAGACCAUGUUGCACCAGCCGUUGAGCACGAUGUUGAAGCCCUUGGUCUCGAACGGGAACUCCUUGUCACUGGACAGAAGCAGGUGCUCCGCGUCCUUGACGUUCUUGUACCGGCAGAGGGCGCCGAGGAGGCCAUGGAACUGGGGGACCCCGGGCUGAAAGCCGAAGGUCGGGAGCGACCGGAACGCGGCGAUCGCGCCCGCCACGUCUCGCGCGGCGCAGUAGCGCCGGAUUAGGAGGAGCACCGCCCUCGGUGACGCGAGCGACCUGCGGCGCAUUUCGUCGAGCAGGGCGCGCGCGUCGUCGAAGCGGCGGUGCCUGGCGAGGAUGGCGAGCAUGGAGUGGCACGCGUGCCGCCCCGGGGCGUAUCCGGGCUGCGGCCGCCCCGCCCAGCGGAACGCGGCGUGCGCGGCGGCCCAGCUGUUGCGGAGGCGCGAGAGCGCGGCCACCACGAGCGUCUCGGAGGCCGCGGCGCCGCAGCGCUCCAGGAGGGCCCCGGCGCGCGCGGCGUCCAAGUGGGCGCCCUCGGCAGCCGCGACGACGGCGUCCACGCCGCGCGCCACCUCGGGCGGGAGCUGCUGCUGGUCCGGGAAGGAGAACGGGUCGUCGUCAUCCUCCCCCUCGCUGCCCUCGCCGCCGCCGGCCGGCUCCCGCGCGGUGGAGAGCCGCGGGGCGUUGGGCGGGAGGAGAGGCCGUCUCCUCGGCGGAAGGCUGGAGAAUCCGGGGCCGGAGAGGCGCGCGAUCGCUCCGGCGAGGACCCUGCGCAACAUCGAGGAGGGGCGAAGAGUGAGGAUCGGGCGGCGAGUUGCCUCGUGUCAACUGCCGACAGAGCAACGUAGCACGCCCGGGAAGGGCAAGCAAAAAAACACGAUCUUUUUGUCUCGGACGCUGGCGCGGGAGGGAGAAAGCCUCGGACGAUUUCGAGCCGAGCCGAGCCUCCUCCGCCUUCUCUCUAGACAAGGUAUGCGCCCUCUCUCUCUCUCUCUCNNNNNNNNNNNNNNNNNNNNNNNNNNNNNNNNNNNNNNNNNNNNNNNNNNNNNNNNNNNNNNNNNNNNNNNNNNNNNNNNNNNNNNNNNNNNNNNNNNNNNNNNNNNNNNNNNNNNNNNNNNNNNNNNNNNNNNNNNNNNNNNNNNNNNNNNNNNNNNNNNNNNNNNNNNNNNNNNNNNNNNNNNNNNNNNNNNNNNNNNNNNNNCUCUCUCUCUCUCUCUCCAUUGCGCCGUGACAUAUUCUAAGUACUAGAUGAGAGAGGCGUUGGCCGUUGGGUAGGGCUGGGCUGGAGAAGACGGAGCACCCCUCAUGGCGCGGUUCCCGGCUGACGUCUUGAGGCAGGGAUGCCGACCCUCCCAUGAUGCCGCGGCCGCAGACGCUCACGUCCGGGGCCUGGUGGCCCUUCUCCUGAGGCACCAGGCGGAGAGGCGCCCUCUCCUCCAGAUCCAUGCCCAGCUCGUUGCCCGCCAGGUGUUCGACCGCCGUCCCACUCCGUGGCACGCGCUCCUCAAGGCCUACUCCCGCGGCCCUCUCCCGCAGGAGGCCCUGAGCCUCUUCAGGGACGCGCGCCGGCACGCCGCCGACGACACCUACGCCUUCGUGCAUGCCCUUGGGGCCUGCGCGGCCCUGGCGUGGCCGCGGGCCGGCGCGCAGCUGCACGGGCUUGCCGUUCGCAAGGGGUUCGAGUUCCACGCCUACGUGCACACCGCCCUCCUCAACGCUUACGUUGUGUGCGGGUGCCUGGCAGAAUCUCGGAUCGCAUUCGACGAGAUGCCGGCGAAGAAUGCGGUUACUUGGAACGUGAUGAUCACCGGGUUUGCUGCGCGGGGCGAGGUUGAGUAUGCGAGGCUGCUCUUCGAGCGGAUGCCCUGUAGGAAUGUUGUCUCGUGGACCGGGAUGAUUGAUGGGUACACGCGUUCCUGUCGCUCUGUAGAGGCCGUGGCUCUCUUCCGCCGCAUGAUGGCUGAAGCCGUUGAUCCAAGCGAGAUAACUGUGUUAGCGGUUGUACCUGCGGUAUCUAAUAUUGGAAGGAUUCUUUUGGGUGAGGCCUUGCAUGGCUAUUGUGAGAAGAAGGGGCUUCUUGUGUUGGACAUCCGAGUUGGGAAUUCGCUCAUAGACCUGUAUGCCAAGAUUGGGUCUAUAAAGAACUCACUGAAGAUUUUCCAUGAAAUGCUGGAUAGGAGAAACUUGGUGUCAUGGACAUCAAUAAUUUCAGGGUUUGCAAUGCAUGGGUUGUCAACGGAGGCUGUUGAACUGUUUGCAGAGAUGAGAAGAGCUGGAAUUAGGCCUAACAGAGUCACCUUCUUAAGUGUUCUCAAUGCUUGCAAUCAUGGUGGGCUGGUCGAGCAAGGAGUACUGUUUUUCAAAUGCAUGGUUUAUGAGUACAAUCUGACGCCAGAGAUCAAGCAUUUUGGUUGUAUCAUAGACAUGCUAGGUAGGGCUGGACGGUUAUCAGAGGCCGAGCAAGUAAUAAGUGGUCUGCCUAUGGAGGUUAAUUCAGUCGUGUGGAGGACACUGCUGGGUUGUUGCAGUAAGUAUGGGGAAGUGGAGAUGGGGCAGAGGGCAAUGAAGAAGAUACUAGACAUCGAAAGAGAAUCUGGAUCUGAUUUUGUGGUUGUAUCCAAUAUGUUUACUGAGCUUGGAAGGUUUGGUGAUGCUGAAAGAUCAAGGAAGCUAGUAGAUGAGAGGAGUGUUGUUAAGGUUCCUGGGCUUGCUUUGGUUGGUGAGAGUCAGUAAACCAGAACCAAAUCAUAGAAAGAAGUUCCACGCAGUUUUAAGAGUUUUUGUUCCAUCAUUAGAAUUGUCUCCUUGCAUUAUACCAAAUGCGAUUGGAUCUUCCUACUUUAUGGUGGGUUUAUUGUGUUCUUUUGCCUUUUAUAUAUUUCAUGCAAAGUUAAAAGAACUAAGAAUUCAGUUUAUUUCUUCUUGGCUGCUGAAUGAUUGUUGAAUCAUAUGAGCUUUGUAUUUAGAAACCACCAUCUCAUUGUCCACUACUCGCUUUUUUUGUAUAAUAUGUUGUUAAUAAGCAUCGACAGUAUGCUCAUUUCUUCCACUUUCUAAAUGACUAGUUCGCGGUAUAGUCUUUGUCGCUCUUUUACUUAUCUUGGUAAUCCCUUGCAGGAAGCAGAGGCGUUGGAUGACAUGUGCAGUACUGCAUUUCCCCUCACUGGCCCACAGUUAAUGGAAAAUUCUUGUUUCUUUUCAGCAUUGUAGUGAUGGAAGCCAUAAAGAAGCUUCAUGGCCAUCUCAUUGUUUCUGGGCUGUACAAUUGCCAAUAUGCAAUGUCCAAGAUUCUCAGAUUCUAUGCUAUUCUACAACCUGAUAUGGCUCUUGCUUAUAAAGUAUAUGGGCAGAUUGAAGCACCAACAACUUACCUUUGGAAUAUCAUACUCAGGGGGCUUGCUCAAAGUGAUGCACCGGAAGAUGCAGUUGCUUUCUACAAGAAGGCUCGAGGAAAAGGUAUGGAGCCGGACAACCUGACGUUUCCAUUCGUAGUGAAGGCGUGUGCAAGGAUUAGUGCUCUCAAGGAAGGGAAACAGAUGCACAGCCAUGUACUGAAAUUCGGGCUUCUUUCAGAUAUCUUUGUUUCCAAUUCGUUGAUUCAUCUGUAUGCUGCCUGUGGUGAUUUGUGCUGUGCAAGAUCUGUUUUCGAUGGGAUGCUGGUUAAGGAUGUGGUGUCCUGGAACUCUUUGAUAUGUGGAUAUAGCCGGUGCAAUAGAUUGAAAGAGGCUCUGAAGUUAUUCAGGUUGAUGCACGACGAAGGAGUGAGAGCUGAUAAGGUCACUAUGGUCAAGGUUGUUUCUGCAUGCACUCGUAUAGGAGAUUGGAGCAUGGCAGAUUGUUUGGUUAAAUACAUAGAGGAUUACUGCAUCGAGGUGGAUAUCUAUUUGGGCAAUACUUUGAUAGAUUACCAUGGCAGACGUGGGCAGCUGCAAUCGGCAGAAAAGAUUUGCUUUAACAUGAAGGAUAGGAAUGUCGUGACACUGAACGCAAUGAUCAACGCAUAUUCAAAAGCCGGAGAUCUGGUUUCGGCAAGAAGGUUAUUCGAGGAAAGUCCUGGCAAAGAUCUGAUCUCAUGGAGCUCUAUGAUAUCUGGGUAUUCGCAAGCUAGUCAGUUCUCUGAUGCUUUGGAACUCUUCAGGGAGAUGCAGAGAGCCAAGGUGAAACCAGAUGCGGUCGUGCUCGCGAGCGUACUCUCUGCCUGCGCGCACCUAGGAGCGCUUGAUCUCGGCAGGUGGAUCCAUGACUACGUGAGCAGAAAUCAGAUCGAAGCCGACACCAUCCUGCACAAUUGUCUGAUCGACAUGUACGCGAAAUGCGGAAGCACCAAGGAGGCGCUGGAGGUCUUCAGAGAAAUGAAAGAGAAGGACACCCUGUCAUGGAACUCGAUCAUAAUGGGGCUGGCGAACAACGGCGCCGAGGAGGAAGCCCUGAACGCCUUCCGCGCCAUGCUCGCCGAAGGGUUCAGGCCGAACGAGGUCACCAUCCUGGGCGUGCUGAUCGCGUGUGCCAACGCGGAGCUCGUCGAGGAGGGGCUCGGCCACUUCGACAGCAUGAGGUCGGUCCACGGCAUGGAGCCGCAGAUGAAGCACUACGGCGUCGUCGUCGACCUCCUGGGACGCGCCGGUCGGCUGACAAAGGCGCUGAGGUUCAUCGCCGAGAUGCCCGUCGCUCCUGAGCCCGUCGUCUACAGGAUAUUGCUGGGGGCGGCCAGAACGCACGGUGAUUUGGGCGUCGCCGAGGUGGCCGCCCAGAGGCUCAGGGAGCUGGACGGCGGUAACAGCGGGGACUACACGCUGAUGAGCAAUGCGUAUGCGGGUGCUGAUAGAUGGGGCGACGCCAUGCAGGUCAGGCAGCGGCUGGAAGAUAGUCGUGUGAGGAAAUUGCCCGCUUGCAGUGUCGUCGACUGUUGACCCUGGUAGCUACAGCUCGGGUCCAUGACCAAGAGAAAUAUGUCAGUUAUUCUGUAGCCAAUUUUGUCAUAACGAUGUGAGUAAUACAAAAACGAUUACUCCUUCCGUUUCUAAAUAUAAGUUUUUUAAGAGUUUUCACUAGAAAACUACAUAUGAAUGUAUAUAGACAUAUUUUAAAAUAUAGAUUCAUCCAUUUUACUCCGUAUUUAGUCAUCUUAUGAAAUCUUUAAAAAGACUUAUAUUUAGGAACGGAAGGAGUAUGUUUUAAGAUGUACCACGUAUCAUUCUGUCUCAAAAUAAGUGUGUUUUAAGUGUGUUAACUCUAGUACAAAGUUUUUAAAAUAAGUGUCUUAGCUCUAGUAUAAAGUUAUACUAAGUUUAAAACAUGUAUUUUGAAACGGAGGAAGUAUAUUACUUGUAUUCAUAAUAGUAUUUCACGCUGAAGAAACCUUUAGCCAGGAGGCAAUUAACAAGCCGCAAUAGCGAUCGACCCCUAACGGUUUGAUCUGGAUCUAACUUCAUAAGGCCUUUUUCGGUUCCACCUCUUCUCAAAAGGAUUAAAAGGAAUUAAGAUGAAAUUUAACUUGUAGCGGAUUAUAUCCACCUCAAUCCAAGGCCUAAGGAGCAUCAGUCCACGCCGGCUCCAGGGCCAACGCCAACCGGCCCUUCAAUACCAAUUCUUCCUUAAAUCCGCAGCAGUCAUCGCCACCGCACUCCAACAGCAACGCAUCCCCGUCCGGCUCAUGAGCUGGAAUACCAUUGUUACUAUGAGCACCUUCAGCUCAAAUCCGCUUCAGGCAUCACCACCGCGCUCCAUCUCCGUCCUCUCAUCAGCAACACCUCAGACAAGCAGAGCACGGGCUGGAAGACCAUUGUUUAUCCAAGUAGAAACAAUGAGCGCCACCAGCAAAUGAAAUAGAAACACUUGGACUAAAACAGCCCUGGAUCUGGAAUCACCACCAGCAAAGGAACAAAGCCAAAUUUGUCAUCUAAAGUAUUCGCAGCAAGUUAUCCGCUCACUGCUCGUGCUCUUAUAAAUCUGCUCCUCCUUUCCUAAAUAUAAGACCUUUUAAAGAUUGUAUUAUAAACUACGGAUAUACAUAGACAUAUUUUAGAGUAUAGAUUCACUUAUUUUGCUCCGUAUGUAGUCUCCUAGUGAAAUCCCUAAAAGGUUCUAUAUUUUGGAACAGAGGGAGUAUAACUCAGCCGCGUUUAAGUUUAAGUGUAACCGAGGAAUCGGUUUCCAUUUAUUAUCCAAGUAGCAAGACCGUUUCAGUGUAGCUACAGAAUUAGAAAUAAGACUGGGCACUUCUGCACAACGGCAAUUGCGAUGAGAAAACUUGUGAUAAGAACCAGCACAAGUACCAUUCAUUGUAAAUAAACUCAUCGAGACAAUCCAAAACGUUAAGACCAUUCAGCCUCACAGAAAAGGUGCAAAUUCAAGAGGGCAAGGUAACUUGAGAAAGGUCUAUGAUAGUAGGAUAGGAUAAGAAACAAGGCUAGGCAGCACAACUCUAUGUCUAUGAUGUAAUCGACUUUCAACGCUUGCCGCCGCCACCGCCAAGCUUUGGGCCCUUGGAACCCUUCUGCACGGCACCCUUGCCCCCCUGUGACUUCUGGGACUUGGUCACCUCUGCCUUCUUGGCCUUCUUCUCAUCCUUGGUCUUCUUGAUGCGCUCCUUGAUCUCACUGCAACAUGAUGAAUCAAGGGUAAGAUGAUUGAAAAGCAAACAACAAUACCAACAGUUGCUAGAAGAUACAAAGUUAUCGAUUUCUGCAACAGAAGAUGUAUGAGUAGACACAAUGCUGGUACAGUUCGCUAUAAUCAUAUAGGAAGAUGGAAAAUGUACCGAAGAGCGGCUUCUCUGGCAGCAUCACGGACUUCAGGCUUCUCAGCCCUCUUCUUCUGGAUAACUUCCAGUGUGGCACCAACAAUCGACCGUGAGUACGGCUUCUUGGUGGUGCGGCGCCUCUUCUUGGCAGCCUCAGCAUGGAUGUCCUGCAUUGUCACAUCAAAGCACAGCCCAGUAAAUACGCAGGACAGGACAAAUCAGUAACCAAAAACAAAAAAUAAUCCUUUGUUGCAGAAGGAAUUGCACGCAUAAAUACAAGCAUGCUAGCAGAAGCAGUGUAUGCAUCUAUAAAUAACAUAACAAAUGUGAUGUAAUUGUCUCUUAAUAAUACCAAUGCACAAAGCAUAUCAAACUGUAGGGAGGAAUUUGCCCUCAAAUCAAGAACAGGCGAAAUGCAAAUCACAAAACAACCAGGUUCAUGCAAGUAAGUUUUAGCAACAUUUCUUUGGCAUAAAAAGGGAUAAUACAGUAACUGCAUGAUGGAGAACAUUAGACCAAAAAUUAGUAUCUUAGCAGGCAAAAUGUGAUACCUUCUUGUGCUGCUUCCUGUACAUUGCUGUCCAGCAAAGCUUUGCAGGCUUCAAGCGGUUGUGGAAGUAGCGCUUGCAUUUUGAGUUGGCAAAGAGGAAAACCUGAAGUACAAAAUAUUUGAAUCAUUAGUCGGUUGUCACUGUUUGAAGAUGAAUCAACAUAAAAUCUUCUAGACUUAAUACUUAUGACCUAGUCCAUUCAAAAACAAUAUGGUGACGUAUAUAAAACAAAGUUUACCUGUGAAUCUGAACGAAUGAACCUGAUACCCUUCCCUGGGUAAAUCUUCUGGCCGCUAAAACGGCAAAGCUCAGUCCUGUAGAACAAAUGAAACAACAAUUUGAGCACUGAAGACAACAAUUGUAAAACCAUACUUGAGAUAUCACUACUAUCAAACUAAGUACAGAAGGCAUGCUUAUUUGCAAAAACUUAGUAUAUACUUACUUCAGAACCAUCUUCUCAGCCUUGGAGAACUUUCACAAGCUCCUACCUAAAAAUGAGAUCAGAACAAACAUUAGCAACACUUCAUAAUAAGGACAUAAAGCAAGGAAGCGGACACAAAAGAACAAUCAACAACAAAGCAGGCUCGGUAGCAUGGAACAAGCACAAACACACAAUCCUCAAAACUCAUAAUGACCAACGGGGUGUAAAUUGUGUACCCUUGUGGAUACUAAGUGUGUGAUAUUGGGCGACUACUGGCUGCAGAAAGUGGGGUAAAUCUCUGCUGCAAAGCGGGUUCCCUGUUACUCUUGCACAACAAAUAAUUGGCAACUGAGCAACCAGAACGGCUACCGUGCCUCAGUACUUGUGCUCUGGUCCAAGUGAAAAAACUACAGGUUGUGAGAUUCGACAUAGUGGACCUCUUACUAUCUUUAGGCACAAAAGUUAGCUGAUUAUCAAGUCUACUCACAGGAGAAACUCUGGACACAAACAAUGUCCAUCUCGCACAAGAAUCAAACGAGUGAUGUUGGGCGACUACUGGCGGCAGAAAGUUGAGUUCAAUCUCUGCUGCAAAGCGGGUUCCCAUGUUUCUGUUGCACAACAAAUAAAUGGCAACUGAGCAACCAGAACGGCUACCGUGCCUCAGUACUUGUGCUCAGGAUCCUACUGUAGACAAACAUAGAAAAACACAACACCUUAAGCGUAAAAGGCUGGGUGAUUACUGGGUAACUGCCGGCAGCAGAAACACAACGACACUUGUACUGCACGGUAAAUAUUAGGCCAUCGAAACUACAACAGCGCAUCCGUGUUCGGUGCCCCAGGACCUGUGCAAGAUCUCACGAACAGCAGGCAGAUAAUCAGGUUGCGAAACAAAACUACCUGCGGUUGAGGUAAUGGACGCAUCCAGAUCACGGAACAACAAACCAUGCGUCGUCCCAUGGCGCGCUCGCCCGCAUCUAAAGAAAGGACUCGCGCAAAACGAACGCAACUCGAACACCCAUGACGGCGAAACCCUAGGAACUAGGCAGCUGCCGGUGACCUUACGCUACGAACCGAAGGACGCGGCGGCCUAUCAUCGGGAUCCAGACCAACCAGACCUUGCGAAACGAACGGAAGAACUGGUGGACGAGCUGCGCGGCGUGAGGAGGACCGGCGGCCGGACGGACUGACCUAGGAAGACGGGAGAGAUGGAGCAGAGGAGGGAGGGAUGGAGGGAGAGGAUGGGAGGGAAGGUACCUUGAGCGAGGAGGAGGCGCGGAGGCGGCGGCGGAUGGGGGGAGUGGGGGGAAAUGUGUGCCGCGGGUAGGGUUUUGAUGACCUCGCGAGGGGUGGGGUGGGCGUGGGCGUGGGGUUGUUGGGCUAAUGGGCCGUUCGAGUAGGGUUUGCUGAUCGUAGCCCACUGUUGCUGGACCGGAUUUUUCGUCUAGUAGGUUUUCUCCUCGUGUGUAUAAAAAACAGAAAUUCGAGGAUUUUCCUGUCAACCUAGGAUCCAAAGCAGGCCCUGGUUUCAUUUCUGGGCUUGGCAUUGGACAGUAACUGCAUUUUCGUUGGGCCACGUUUGAUGCAACCUCGUGGCUGCGGCAAGGCAAAACGCUUAUAUUAGCGAAGAAGCGACUUUUUUUCUUUCUUUCUUUUUCCUUGGGUAAAAAAGAACGACCUCUAUUUAGAUCUUGUUUGGUACUGCUGUAUUUUAAAAAGUUAAUGUGGAUUGUUCCGGUUAGAGCAUCUCUAACAGACCCUGUAUAAAGCCAACUCAUAAAAAUCGUUUACAAUUUGCAAAAAAAGGGUUUUGCGGACCGACAAGGGCGUGGGGAGAGUCAGAUCCCGCAAAUCGAACUCGUAACAAAGGAUAUUCAUAGAAGAUGCUUUUUUACGGGUCGACGAUGCGGGGUCUACUCGGGCGGCACCAGUGUCCACCUCGCAAACCGAAGAUCCCGUAAAUCAGAAUUACAAAUGUGCAAUAUAAGUAAAAUGUCAAUAUUACAAAUAGAGUAAUCAUCCAAAGUACAAUAAUUAUGCAAAUCGCCGUAGCAAACUAAAAAGUUCAAUACAAAACUUGUCUCGUAUACAAGUCACACAUGAAUGCAACGAAAAUGAAUGGAAAAAUGGAAUGUGUUACUGCCCAGCUCUUUGCCAAUGGUGCUCAGUGAGAUCCUUCUGAAGUUGACAGUGGGUGUUUGCAUUUUAAAUCUCCAUGUAGGUAUGAAGAAAAGCUCUAAUUAGGUUAGGGUCUCUAGCUGGUUUGACACGGCUACCCACAUUGUCAUAGAAGAAUUUCAAGUUCAUGCCUCUUUCAUCUUCGAGAAUCAUAUUGUGAAGAAUAAGACAACAUGUCAUGAUGUUUUCAAGGAUAGCUUGUCUCAUAACCGAGCAGGACCACGAACAAUGGCAAACCUAGAUUGCAAAACCCCAAAUGCUCUUCAAUGUCUUUUCGGUCUGCCUCUUGUGCCCUUGCGAAUUCAGACUAUUUCCUCUUUGGAGGUCUUUGAUGCUCUUCAGAAAUGUGCACCAAGAAGGGUAUAUACCAUCUGUAAGAUAGUACCUUUUGUAUAUUCAUAUCCAUUGAUAGUGUAGUUGCAAGGUGAAACAUCGUCACUAGCAAGCCUAGCAAGCAAAUGAGACCGUUCCAACACAUUGAUAGCAAGCCUAGCAAGCAAAUGAGACUGUUGCAACACAUUCAUAUCAUUUAGAGUACCCGACAAACCUAUGCACGGACUCAAUUGUACUAUCUUCCCUAAUGUGAAGGUACUCAUCGGUAUAGUCAGCGGGAACGCCGUAUGAAAUUACCCGCAUAGCUAUCGAGAUUUUUUGAUAUGCACUAAAUCCCUUCAAGCCCGCGGUAUUCCUUCUUUGAGUAAAAUAUCGACAAUUGACCUCACAAGCUUGAACAAUUUUUACAAAAAGGGAUUUGCGCCUACGGUACCUUCUCCAGAAGAGGUGUGGCGGUGUCGUGGGAAUGACCCUGACAAUAGUACCUAGGGGUACGAACGAAGGGGCGAAGUCUAACUAGGCGUAGAGAAUACACGCGGAUGUACGAGUUCAGGCCCCACUCGAAGGUGGUAACAACCCAACGUCUCGAGCCCUGAGGCUAGUUUUUUCUUAUGGGGUAUGAAAGAUUACAAGGUGCUGAACCUUGAGCAGGAGCCCGGGAGUGGCUUAUAUAGAGUGCGCCGCGACCGGACGAGCUUCAUUAUAAGGGUAAUUAAUGCUAAUAACUACGAAAGUUACUAGAAACUGUUGUUAUAACUCGGGCGUGUUACUGGUAAAGCGGGCCUUCACUGCACUUCAUUGGGUAGUUUAAGUCCUUAGCCGUUGCAGUCUCUUCGUUGUCCCCGCCUUGUUAUAAACCGAGUGUCGGAGGGCGUCCGACUGGCAUUAGGCGAUCCGAGUGACCUCAUGUAACCGAGUGAGGACACAGUUAUCGAGUGAGGUCGAGACUACAUUGACUUGUAAGACAAUGAUGUUCGUACGGGGCCUUAGGUGGGCCUAUGGAAACAGGUUUGUAGGCCUAUCCCUAAUGUACAACCCCGUCAGUAGCCCCCGAAUCAGUAGAGGUUUUUCUGGCCGAGUGAAUGACUCCCUUUGGUAGCCUUGGCGUCUCGGGGACACGGAGGUUGCUGCCAGGGGCUGCGUCAUUCGGAUUGUUAGAUAACCACUAUGGAUUCAAGAUCAUGGAAUUCCGAAUGCCCGGACAUGCCGGUAUGUCUGCCUUCGAUAAGAUCGAAUAUCUUUCGGGAAGAUAGAUCCAGUGAUUCGGACGAUUGUAGGCUCAGAGCUCCAACAGUCCAACCGGUGAGGUGGGACGGAUCCAGCUCGUAUCAAAGUAGGGGUGAUCUGAUCGCCUCCUUAUAUUGCCCGAGUGAUCGAGGUCCCGCGGAGGGACAGACGAAGAGAAAACUCGGUUCACCUCAUUGUUGGGGAACGUAGUAAUAAUCCAAAAAAAUCCUACGUGUCACCAAGAUCUAUCUAGGAGAUGCUAACAACGAAAGAGAGGGAGUACAUCUUCAAACCCUUGAAGAUCGCUAAGCAGAAGCGUUGCAAAGAACGCGGUUGAUGGAGUCGUACUCGCGGCGAUUCAAAUCGCGGAAGAUCCGAUCCAAGCGCCGAAUGGACGGCGCCUCCGCGUUCAACACACGUACAACCCGAGGACGUCUCCUCCUUCUUGACCCAGCAAGGGGAGAGGAGAAGUUAAGGGAGAGCUCCGACAACAUGACGGCGUAGUGGCGGUGGAGCUCGUGGUUCUCCCGCAGAGCUUCGCUAAGCACUACGGAGGAGGAGGAGGAGGUGUAGGAGGGGGAGGGUUGCGCCACGGGCAAGGGUUAAGCUCCCAUGCGCCUCCCCAUGGUAUAUAGGGGCGGAGGGGGCUGGUUUCUUUCCCUCCAAGUCCAUUGGGGCGUUGGCAAAGGCGAGAGGAAAGAAAUUCCAUCCUUUCACUUCCACACCGAUUGUUAUCCCCCUUUUUUAGGGAUCUUGAUCUUAUCCCUUCGGGAUAUGAUCGUAUUCCUUCUAAGGGGGGAUCUUGGUGCGCCUUGACCAGGGGUGUGGGGCCUUGCCCCCACUAUCCACGUUCAUGUGGGUCCUGAACGUCCCAAACGUAUCUAUAAUUUAUGCUUGUUCCAUGAUCUUUUGGGUGACAUUAUUAUAUGUUUUGCUAUAUUUUUAUAUCAUUUUACACAUAUUUGGACUAACCUAGUAACUGAGUGCACCCAGUACCAGUUUCUGUCUGCUCAUGUCUAUUUUGCACGGGCUUUUACCCAAUUUUCCGAAGCCCGAAAAAUCCCAAGAAAAAUAUAUAAAAUCAGCGUACCGAAAACUUCCAGGUCACCGAAGAUGGGUCAGAGGGGGGCAGGGGCCGCCCAGGUGACCUGUGGGCGCGACCUACGCCCUGGUCGCACCAAGAGGCCGCCUGGGUGGGUCCCACGCCCUCCGGUGCCCUCCUUUCGUCUAUAUUUACCCCUUGGCAAGGAAAACCCCAUACAGGAUCCAGAAUCACGAAUUUCUCCAUCGUUCCGCCACCGCAACGCUUCCGAGAUCGGGAGCGUCAGGAGACCUCUUCCCGACACCCUGCCGGAGGGAGGAUUGACCUCCGGGAGCUUCUCCACCACCAUGGACGCUUCCCGGACCUGCCGUGAGUAGUCCUCCUUGGACAAUGAGUCCAUGACCAGUAGCUAUGUGAUGUCUUCUCUCCAGUCUUAUGCUUCAAUGCUUAAUCAUUGUGAGGUUCCCUACAUGAUCAAGGCAUCUAUGUAAUUCUCUUGCUAUUGCUAUGCUCGGUUUGUUGGGAUCCGAUGGAUUAUGAGAUUAUGUUCAAAUUGUUAUGAGUUAUAUAUUUGAUUAUCUUUUUAUAUUACGUUCCUUAGUAAUUCAUGCAUGUUCUCCGUUGCUAUUUAUUGAUUUGGCCGAGUAGUAGAUUGUAACUCCAAGAUGGAACAUUAUGCAUGAUCGUGGGUUCAUGCCCUCGAUCUCUAGCUUGAGUGACAGAAACAUGAGACUAGGGGAUGUGUUGUUGCCAUCAGGGAGAAAACAACGAUGCUUGUGACCACGGUUGCAAGGAUUGUUUUGUUGAAAAUAUGCCUUAGAGGCAAUAAUAAAUUAGUUAUUAUUAUAUUUCUUGUUCAUAAUAAUCGUUUAUUAUCCAUGCUAGAAUUGUAUUGAUUGAAAACUCAAAUACAUGUGUGGAUACAUAGACAACACACUGUCCCUAGUGAGUCUCUAGUUGACUAGUUCGUUGAUCAAAGAUGGUCAAGGUUUCCUGACCAUAGGCAUGUGUUGUCACUUGAUAACGGAAUUACCUCAUUAGGAGAAUCAUGUGAUGGACAAGACUCAAAUUAUAAACGUAGCAUGUGAUCGUGUUAUCUUGUUGCUAUUGUUUUCUGCGUGUCAAGUAUUCAUUCCUAUGACCAUGAGAUCAUGUAACUUACUGGCACCGGAGGAAUACCUUGUGUGUAUGAAACGUCGCAACGUAACUGAGCGACUAUAAAGGUGCUCUACAGGUAUAUCCAAAGGUGUCCGUUGAGUUAGCAUGGAUCAAGACUGGAAUUUGUCGCUCCGUGUGACGGAGAGGUAUCUGGGGGCCCACUCGGUAAUACAACAUCACAUAUAAGCCUUGCAAGCAAUGUGACUCAAGUGUGAGUCACGAGGAUCUUGUAUUACGGAACGGGUAAAAAGACUUGCCGGUAACGAAUAAGCGACUACAUUUUCGUUGGGUCAUGCUUAAUGCAACCUCGUGAUUGCGACAAGGCAAAACGCUUAUAUUAACGAAUAAGCGACUUCUUUUCUUUCUUUAUUUUUCCCGGGUAAAAGAAGUGACCUUUAUUUAGGUUUUGUUUGGUACUAGUGUAUUUUAAGGAGUUAAUGGUGAUUAUCCCGGUCAAACCUUUAACCCCCUCAUAUCCCAAAACAACGUUUGAUUCUAGUGUAUUUAACUUGUUUCAUCCCCAUAUUUUCUCAUAAAUCCCAGAACUCUAGUGCAUUUUUCUCAAUACCCAAUACACUACCUUUACCUAAUGGAUUGGAGAUAAAUGAGGAUUUGAAGGGAUUGGAUAAAGGUUGGAGUUUCACCCAAUCCCUAUGACAAUUAUCCUCACCAAUCCACUCAAAACCCUAGUACCAAACAAGGCCUUACAAGAAUAUAUCACCUGAGUUAUACACGUCCUCCCUCCAUUCCAUAAUUCUAUGGAGCUCUUUUUUAUUAGUACUCCCUUCGAUCCAAGUUAAUUGUCGCAGCUCUAAUAAAACUUUGUACUUAUGUUUUUUUUAACCCCUUUAAAAUCCGCCGUACAAAUUAUUUGAUGAUUGCACUCGCGGUUUCAGGUACGACAACACAUGCAUACAACUGAUACACGUAACAAAUGAAACACAGCAAAUCCCUACUGGUCGAGAACAAAACUUUAGGAUACAGUAAAAAUGUUCUGGGCGUUCAGCUGUCUCCUCCGCGUGGAUUUCUUCGCCUUGCUGCUUAUUUUAUCACGAUCGGAAGUAGAAGUACAUAUCCAUGUGUAAACUCUUCGCUCUUGCAUCGGAAUAAAUAUACCUGCUUUCAGCUACCAUCUUUGUCCGGCUCAGAGCUUACGAUCGGCAGGUUCCUUCUGUACUGAGGAGAGGUUAAUCUCCUCUCCAACGGCGUCUUCCGCUUGCUCACAACGAAUCUGUUCACCCCCUUCCUCAUCGGCAUUAUCUCAGGGAAGUCCUCAUCGGGGAUGUUGGCGAGCUCGGAGAUGUCCUUUAUCUGGGCUGCCCUCCUGAACCAUCUCUCGGCCUUGGCUUCCUCGGACAUGUCCAGAGGAUCAGGGUCCUUCACAGCAGAGCCUUCUAAGCUCUUUCCAGUAUAACCUCCACUUCCGUAGCUUGAGUAGCCUGUUGCUUGAUUAGGGUUUGUGGAACCAAUGCCGGUAGUGGUAGCCCUAGUAUCAGGAUGUGAACCACUCCAAUUUUGGUUGUUGUUGCUGCUCCAAGCAUUGCUGUUGCUAUUAUUACUGUAACCGGGCGCAUAAGACGGUUGUGUAGAGUAGCUGCCGUGAUUAUAAGUAGAUGUAUCUCGGCCCUCGUUGAAGCUCCCCUGAGAGUAGUUUGAGUUUGGAGCGUGGGUAUCCAAAGUGCCACUGGGUCGACCACCCGUCUGAUGAGGUUGCUGCUGAUACUGGUAGUUGCUGGAUCCACCUCUGCCAUCAUUAAACCUGCCCUGUGGGUAGUUUGUGUUCCAAGCACCAGUAUUUGAAGUUCCACUAGAUUGAUCGCCCAUCCCAUGAAGUUGCUGUUGUUGCUGGUAGUUGCUAGAUCCACCUCUGCCAUCAUUAAAACUAUCCUGUGAGUGGUUUGUGUUCCAAGCUCCAGUAUUCGAAAUUCCACUAGAUCGAUCACCCAUCUCACGAGGUUGUUGUUGAUGCUGAUAGUUGCUAGAUCCACCUCUGCCAUCAUUAAACCUCCCCUGUGAGUAGUUUGUGUUCAAAGCACCAGUAUUCGAAGUUCUAAUAGAUUGAUCGCCUAGCUCCUGGGGUUGCUGUUGAUGCUGAUAGUUGCUAGAUCCUCCUCUUCCAUCAUUAAACGUCCCCUGGGAGUAGUUUGGGUUCCAAGCACUGGUAUUCGAAGUUCGACUCGAUCGAUCACCCACAUCAUAAGGUUGCUGUUGAUACUGCUGGCUGCUGCUUCCACCCUGUGUAUAACCACCUGUACUCGAGCUCUGCUGAGAGUAAUUUCUAUUCCAGUUCUCAUUAGUCAUGUUGCUACUUCGCUGAGGGCCAAUCACCUGUGAGGUGUUUUGGCUAUUUCCCGAAUUUCCUGGUGAAGCAUUUGUUUCUGGUAGCUUAUCAGCUGAUGGAGGACUUUCUGAUACUGUUCCUGUAUCUGGAGUGCUCUCUGCUGGCGCAUCUUUCUUGGCAAAAUAAUCAGGGGGGAACGGAACAAAUGGGACGAAAUCGGAAUUGUCAGCCUGCUCAAGCACACUGCGCCUCUUGUACUGCGGUGAUGCCAGUGACCGGUCUUUUUUCUUACUAAUAACAAACCGAUUCUCUCCUUUCCUCAUUGGCAUAAUAUCAGGAAAGUCUUCAUCAGAAAUAGCACUUGAAAGGUCAUUUACACUGUCGAGUUCUGCGACUUUCUUGGACCAUUUCUCAGCAGUAUCUAGCGAUUUAUCGACAUCCCUCCUCCCAGUUGAGGCCUGUGUGGUAUCCGGUGUGGAACUUCCAGUUUCCUUAUUUAUUUGGCAGUCCGUAUCUGCCUGUUCAUUACUGUUUGCAUUCUGUGGCUUGGUAAACAGAUCAGCAGAUAAUGGCACAAAAGGAACAGGGUCGAUAUCACCAAGAUGGCCUGUUAAUUUCCUGGGAGGCCCAGCAUCUACACCCCCAUUAUCAGAUUGGUUGCUUGGGGCAGAGGUAGAUGCAGAACGCCCAAGUAUCCUGUCUAAAGUUUGACUAAUCUUGGAGUCGGAUGCUGUUGCUUGAGGGCUAUUAUUACUGCUGUACUGUGCACUUGACAAUCUUCUCUCCAAUGGUGUCUUGCGUGUGCUAACUACAAAUUUAUUGACCCCCUUCCUCAUAGGCAUAAUCUCAGGAAAAUCCUCAUCAGCUGCCAGACUACUCAAAUCAGCAGAAUCGUCAAGUUGAGAUACUUUGCUCAACCAUCUUUCUGCCUUCUCAUCAUUUUCAGCAAGUUUUCUCUCAAUGUCAGAUCUACCAGCAUUGGUUACACUAAGAAGAUCCGCCACACCGCCUAAACCAGCACCAGCAGAUGCAGUUGUCGCUGGUCUUUUGCAAGCACAUCUUAAGCACGACAUGUUCCUCCCAUAAUUAUAGAAUUCACACCUUGGCAAAAGGACAAUACAAAGUCAGCCAUUCGAAGCAUAAAUACACUUCAAAGCACAAAAACGAAGUUAGGAAGUCGAAGCUUACUGAGGGCAUUCCCACUCUCCGCCAGUCAACAUCUUCUUUGGCCGAUGCUCAUUGCACUCAAGGCACCUCGCAUUUCUUGCAAAGUUCAUAAAGCUACAUCUGUAGGUUGCAGAGCAUAUUUAGAGUCAACAUUACCAAAUACAUGAACAAGGGUAAAAUAUUUCAAAUAAGUAGUGAACAAACCAGUAGCAAAUAAUCUCAAAUGUGUCCAACAAUACAAGUAGUUGUGAAUUUAUUUUACAGAUGCGAGUUUUGUGCCGCUUUGUACAAAAUUAUGAGAAUAGCACAUAACUGGCCAUGUUUAGUUAAAUGUUGGUUAAGAAUAUAGAUGAUAAAACAUACACAAAGGUAAAACAAGCCAAGUGAUAAAAGAUUAUGAAACAACAACGGUCAAAAAUGAAAAAUGAUUUAUUACAUAGAUGCAUGCUUGUGCAAGAACUCUUUUCUACAGCACAAGAAAACAAGUGUGUAUAUUUUAGCUGUAUCACAUCUAGGAAGAGAAGAUGUAGAAAUGAGUUGGCACUUUAAAGUAAGAUGAUGUGGCAUGCAACUGUUCAAUUGAUAAAUAAAAAUAUCCACAAUAUACCUUGUGCAAAUCCAAUCACCACGUUUCAUCUCAACAUUUUGUCCUGGAUGCCUAGAGAAUCGCUCAGGUUGAUUAUCAACUGUUGACUCCACAAAACUGGAGGUGUGGGGAAGUCCACUAAAAUUAACUAGCUCAGCCAAGAUAUUUCUCACAGCUGAAUCAGUGAGUUCUUUGUCUUCCAAAUAGUUGUUUGACGAACCAUAUGUGUAACUUAACAAGUACCGAACGAUGUCCACAGUUUCCGCUCUGACUGAUUGAAUUGCCUGGCAAAAGUUAUCACAUCUUUAGUGUCUUGACCAAUACAGUUUUAUCACAUUGCAUAAUGUGGAUCAACAUUUAUGAAUUGGCAACUGAGAUCUGUUGCAAGAAUUCUUAAGAAAUCUGUUGUUCCCAUACAGGAUAUGCUUAUGGUCUAUCCCCAAGAAUCCCCCUUUCGAAUUCAAUUUCAACAAAUGAAAUAAAUGGGAAUACUUCUACCACAGAACAUCUCAACCCAAAUCCCAAGUCAAAUAACUAACUAUAUAUGUAAUGAGAAACAUUUUUGCCUUAAUCCCUAUCCAGAAAGGAAGGAUUUGAAUUUGUUCUCUUAAAGCUCCAGCCUCCUCCGCCCUCCUCCACAACACUGAGGCCCUAAUCACCACCAACGCUUCCUCCCGAUGACGCAACCCCCACACCAGCUGCCAUGCCUUCAUGCCUCUAGCUGGCGCACGUUAUGUUUUGUGACUUGGUAGUUAAAUAAGUUCUUAGUUGAGCUCUGUGCCCCUCUGGCUGUGUUUAACAGUACAAGUCAUGCAUUUGCUAGUUAAGCUCUGUUGUUCACAGCUCGUUAGACUGCAAGUUGCAUUCAGUAAGGCUAAGGUGUGAUGGAUGUUUUCCUCUAACUACAUAUAUACUGACUGCCUCGUAUUACUUUCUGUAAAAUGCCAUGUAACCACAGUUUUAUCCCUGGCGAAAUCGGAACUGAAGAAAAUAGAGUAUUCCUAUCUGACAUUCAACAUCAUCCAUCAUAAAAGCAACAAGGGGUGUGAUAAAGGUUCAGUGAGAAAUGAUGAACUGAAAUGCUCAAAUUUUUAUUGGAAUUAUACAGAGGAGUGCCCCUGAACUGAGUGGCAUGUUUGGUCUUUCCUUCUUAAUUAUAUUUUCUACUGUAUCGUUCACGAUAUAUGGCUACAAAUCCGGCAGAGCAAACAUAUGUAUUAACUUGAGCUAACCAAAAUAAUAACCCACUACUCCCUCCAUCCCAAAAUAAGUGUUUCAAGCUUAGUGUAACUUUGUACUAGAGCUAAUACAAAGUUAAGGCAUUUAUUUUGGGACGGAGGGGGUACUAGUUGACUGAUGAUCACACAUUUGUAAAAUCUACUGUAACCUUACUAGAAAACCACUCCACAAGUGAGAUGUGAGUAUGUGACCAACUUGCAAAAUGGAUAAGAACUCACAUUGUCAUCUUCACCGGCGAGGUAUUGCUGCAGCCGCUGCGCAGAUUCCUCCCCUCUCUUGAAGAGAGCCGGUGCAACGUUAGACACCACAACCUCGACAUCCUUCGUGGGCAGCGACCUGCGGUCACACCCAAUCAAUCAGCAACGUGAAGAAGAAAAGAAAAAAGCAGGACAGAUGGCCAAGUGAUUCACUUGACCUGAGAAGGUCGGGCCGGUCGCGCGCGAAGGCCAGGCAGGAGGACACAGCGGACUCCGCCUCGGCCGACAGGCCGCUGCCGGAGGGGACGGCGAGCUCGUCGGCGGGGGAGGGGGCGCGGGCUGCGUAACCGGCGGCCGCGAGGCGGUCCACGAGGCGGGACCAGUCAGGGAAAGGGACGUGGGGCGGUGGAGUUGACGAGGCGGAGCUGGAGCUGUAGGGAAGGGGUGAGGCGGCGGCGGCGGCGGCCGAGGUGGAGAGCGUGCGGAGGGGAGAGGGGGAGGAGAGCAGGUGUUGGCGGCGGGAUGCCGCGGUGCGCGAGGAGAGGAUGAGCGCGAAGGCGGCGGCGGAGGGCCGGAGACGGAGCGGGGAGGAGGUGAGCAAGAGGGAGGAGAGCAGCUUGGAGGCGCUGCCCAUGGCGACGGCGGAGAGCCGAGACCUGGAGAGGGUUCUACGCCUCCUGUAGGCCUUUGCCCUGCUACUCCCAAAUUGGCGGCCCAGCGGAUGGUCGGGUGGGUUUAGCCGGACGGCGCUGUACAAGAAAUAUCUCGGCAUGAUCGCACGGCUAGGAUUCACCAAUCACCCCGACAACUCGAGAGAGAUAGAGAGAGGAACGCCCGUUUAUAACCCUGACUGAUGAAGUAGCAAAACCGGAUCAAAUGCCCCCUAAACAGAUUUUGAAGACCGCGAGUGCUCAGUUAAACUAAAGAAAGAUGAAAGGGGAAAAGAUACUCCAUAUAAACGGGAGUACUCGGCAUACUCCCCUAGGGUUUAACCUAGGGUUCUCUAGUCCUCCGGCAACUCCUGUCGAGAGUUCCCCCGUCCGGUUAUCAAUCGUGCCCCGUGAUUCCCCCGUACCCUCUCCGCCCCGGGCCCGACAUCUCCCUGGUGUUUGUGGUUGGUGUGUUGGAACUAGGGUUUAGGGUUUUUCAAGGCUUCGGAGUGAUCUAGAUCUUGAGAUGGCUGAUCUGUGAGAUGCAAGUGGUUCCAAGGCGCAGCAGGAGGACCCCAGCAGCCUGAUUGCGCGUCUAACCCUGCAGGAUGAUGAGAUCGAUGAUCUCGUCUGGGAAGACGAGGUGGAUGCAGCAGAGGUCCAAACAAAGUGGCUGGCCAUCGGCCGCCUGUUGUCUGGGAAAACUUUUAGCCAAAGUGCCCUUAUUGCCGAUAUGAGGGCUGCGUGGAAUCCUGCUCAGCCGGUGAUGUGGAGAAGGAUUAACCCAAAUCUGUUUUCGAUCCAGUUCAAUUGCCUGGCUGAUUGGAAUAAGGCCAUGCACCAAGGGCCUUGGGAUUUUAAUGGAUAUGCUCUAAUCCUGGUUGAGUACGAUGGUUUCUCGAACCCGGAGAAAGUUAAACUAGAGAGGUUGGAGACAUGGUGCCAGAUUCAUAAGCUACCUGAUGGUGUUCUGAAGAAUAAGAAGUUUCUUGAAAAUCUCGCGAAAAGAAUAGGUGAAGUCUAGGAAGUGCAAGUGACACUACCAAAUGGUUUUGUUGGUGAGUUUAUCCGGGUGCGUGUUAAACUGGACGUGGGUAAGAAAUUGACUCGUGUGGUGAGUUUCACAAAAUCAGGUGUAACAGAACAAUACCUGGUGAAGUAUGAGAAGCUUCCUACUUUUUGUCAUGCGUGCAGUGUUAUGGGACACUGGUAUGAGGAAUGUGGGACUGGUGAGCAUGACACCUCAAAAUUCGAAUGGGGUCCCUUCAUAAUGGCUACUCGCCGAGGAAGAGGAGGCGGUCGAGGGGGAUGAGGUAAUGGUCGUGGAUACAAUGAUGCGGAGGACUCCAAUGACUUAGGAGGACGAGGUCGUGGUAAAAGAGGUGGAAGAACUGGGGGACAAGGAAGAGCUGACCCUAAUGAUGAUGAUCCUGAUGUGAAUGAUACGCCGGAAAAGGAUGAACCACCGACGAGGACAGAGACUGAGGUGUAUGACCCAAGUAGGAGUUGGUGUUUUAACGCACAGAUUGAACAGAGCAAUGCAAACAUGGAUGGCGCGUCGACUCUGCUAGGGAAAAGGAAUGCUACAUACCUGGUGCAGAAACCAAAGGAGUCUAGAGUUCCUCUGCUCACAGGACCUGGACUGGUGGCGGGGAGAGUUGAUCAGUUUGAUGGCAACAUAGGAAAUGAUACUUCAGCUAGCUCUUUGGGAGGCAAGGAGGUUACCACACCACAGAAAUCCAUGAAUAAGAAGAAACUGAGAGUUUAUGGUCUGGAAGUUGCUCAAUCCCUGGAUGAUAAAAUAUCGGCGGCCUCUAAUAUGGAGACUGACCGGACAUCAUGAAAAUAAUAAGGUGGAACUGUCGUGGACUCCUAGGAGGCCCGGCAGUGCGCUCGCUUCUGGAUAUCCAGAGGCAGCACAACCCAUAUGUGUUUUUUCUGUCCGAAACACAUCUGGAUGUUGACAAGGCAGAAAAUUUGAUGAGGAAACUCAAAAUGGACCACAACCUGGUGGCUCCUAGCAAUGGACGAAGUGGAGGUCUAAUGCUAGUCUGGAAGAAGGAGGUGAGGAUCUACUCCCGGACUACGACUUCUGAUUUCAUUGAUGUUGAUAUUGAGGAGGAUAAUGGGAAUCUCUGGCGCCUAACUAGGAUUUAUGGGGAACCUAGUUGGGACCAAAAAGAGAGGACCUACAACAUUCUGCGAGAUUUACAUAGCCGAGACAAUGGCCCGUGGGUUGCUUUGGGUUAUUUUAAUGAAAUAUUAGUGUCAUUAUAGAAGGAGGGUGGUGUUCCUAUACCACGAGUAAGAAUGAAGGCAUUUCAGGAUGCCCUGAUGGAUUGCUCGCUUGAGGAUAUGGGUUGUGAAGGGGGUCAGUUUACUUGGUUCAGAGGUGGAUUAAAAGAGAGAUUAGACCGAGCAGUAUGUAAUGGAACGUGGACGCAAAUGUAUCCCUUCGCUGCGCUCCGAAACCUUGAGCUAGGAAAAUCGGAUCAUCGGCCCAUUCUUUUAGAUACAGAACACCUUGCAAAUAUCCAGAACACCAAGAAUAGACAGAUGAAAUUUGAAGCAAGAUGGCUUAGUGAGGAGGCAGUAGAGGACAUUGUCCGAUGUGCUUGGCAAAAGGCCAUGCAGAAUGGGCUAUGCCCAAAGUCCAAAGAGAAAUUGGGUCUUGUGCAUAAAGAUUUACAUAUCUGGGAUAGGAAAGUGCUUGAAGGGCCUAGAGCCCGUAUCAGGAAGGCCCAACGGGAAUUCGAAAGUUUGGCGCGCAAGCCGUCUUUGAUGGAGAACAGAAUGAAAAUGAAAGAGCUGACAGUAAAGACUGAAAACUUGCUGGAACAAGAAGAGAUGUUCUGGGUACAGAGAGGGAGAGCAAACUGGCUGCGUCAUGGAGACCGCAACACCUCUUUCUUCCACAACUUCGCUUCUGCCAGGCGGAAAAGAAAUACUAUUAAGCGCUUAAAAAUGAUAGCAAUGGUUGGGUAGAAGGUAAUGAUAACAUAAAACCCCUGAUUUAUGAUUAUUUCACCAGCUUGUUCUCUAGUGAAGCAGGCAUGCCUGACCCAACGUUGCUGGCAUCAGUAAAAAGAUUGGUCUCGGAAGAGAAGAAUGAUAUUCUCAUGGCCCCAUACACUGCCACAGAAGUCAAAAAAGCUCUAUUCCAGAUUGGUGAUCUAAAGGCCCCCGGGCCGGAUGGAUUACAUGUUGUCUUCUUUAAGCGCUUUUGGCACAUUAUCGGUGAGGAACUAACAAAAGAAGUACUUGAUGCUAUUAACUCCAUAAGAAUUCCUGAAGGUUGGAACUCUACAAACAUCGUUCUUAUUCCGAAGGUUCAGGUACCGGAAACAAUCAUGCAGUACCGUCCAAUAAGUCUUUGUAAUGUUGUUUAUAAGAUCAUAUCAAAGAUGUUGGCUAAUAGGUUGAAAAAGAUAUUACCAGAAGUCAUUUCACCCACCCAAAGUGCUUUUGUUCCUCGGAGACUUAUCACUGAUAAUGUACUCGUGGCCUAUGAAUGCUUCCAUGCUAUAAAGAAAAAAACACAUGGUUCAGAUGGCUUAUGUGCAGUCAAAUUGGAUAUGCACAAGGCAUAUGACAGGGUUGAAUGGGGCUUCUUGAAAUCAAUGAUGCAACGAAUGGGGUUUCAUGAGCACUGGGUAGAGUUAAUGAUGGAAUGUAUGUCUUCAGUAAGGUAUAAAAUCAGAGUUAAUGGUGAUGAAACAGAGGAACUAAUACCAUCCCGGGGUUUGAGACAGGGGGGUCCAUUAUCCCCGUAUCUAUUUCUGAUCUGCUCUGAAGGUUUAUCUAGUAUGCUCUUGCAAGAAGAAGAAAAUGGGGGACUAGAGGGAGUGAAAGUGUGUAGAAAUGCACCUUCAGUUUCACAUUUGCUGUUUGCGGAUGAUUCAUUAAUACUAAUGAAGGCAAUCCAGAAAAGUGCUCUCACUUUGAAAAAGGUGCUUGAUAUGUAUCGCCAAAGUUCUGGUGAGAUGGUAUCCACGGGUAAAUCCAGUAUAUUUUUUAGUCCCAAUACAACAGUUCUAGUAAGAGAAAACAUUUGCGGUACACUGGAUAUAUUAACCGAGGCUUUAACUAACAAGUAUCUCGGGCUACCAGCCAUGGUUGGAGUUGACAGAAGUGAUUGUUUCCAGCAACUUGUUGAUAGAGUAUGCCAAAAACUAAAGGGAUGGAAAGAAAAACUUCUAUCUUUGGGAGGAAAAGAGAUUUUGAUCAAAGCAGUGGCACAAGCAAUUCCCUCUUAUGCCAUGUCAGUUUUUAAUCUUUCGAUGAACAUCUGCAAGGCUAUAACGGAUGAAAUUGUGGGUUUCUGGUGGGGAGAUGAUGAGCUGAAAAAGAAAAUGCACUGGAUGGCGUGGUGGAAGAUGUGUGUUCCAAAGAGGAUGGGAGGACUCGGUUUUAGGGACCUACAUAGCUUUAACCUUGCUAUGUUAGCAAAGCAGUGUUGGCGCCUAAUCCAAAACCCAGAAUAUUCGUGUGCCCGUGUUCUUGGCGCAAAAUAAACAUCUUCAUAAAAAAUCUAAUUACAUGCACUCAACAUGUAAAAACUAAACUCAGGUAGCUAAGCAUCUAGGACAUGGUAAAACAAGUUUCGAUCUAGAAAUUUGCACAACAAAAUUUCAACUUUUAACAGAUCACACACAACAUGAAUCAAAUUAAUCUGCGAUUUCUUUUUGUGCAUGUGUGCUCUGGUACUAGUAGCUACAUAUAGGUAGCUCAAAUGACGACGUACAAAAUAGUAGAGAGGACGAGGAUACAAAGAUGAGUUAACGUACGUGUCAUAGCGCGCAGGAGGGCGACCUUGCCGGGCAUGGGCAUGGUGCCGGGUCCCUGGCGACGGAGCGACGCGCGUGAAAGAGCCGUUGGAUGGCGGUCGUCCUCCUAGUGCGUCGCGGCCUCCGUCGUGCCGUCGUCACGGUCUUCAAAGGCAGCAACACCACCACAACACACACCUCCUCUUGACUGACUGUUCCAUUCGAUUCAAUCCCGAGCUCGUGCUACCACGACAUGUUGUUGGGGAGAAAGUUGCCGGUGGGGUGAAGGAGAAGGGAAGUCGACAGGAGUAGAACGAGAUCGAGACGAUAGGGCGGCAGCUGGUGGUUUAUUGGCUUUCUCCGCCGCGUCGGCUGUCGGAAGGGAAAGAGAAAGGGGAUGAAGAGAAUACAUACGGGAGGAUGAGAAUACGGGAGUUUAGGGUGUGUUUGGUUUCAGGACGAAGUGGAAUCGGACGGGUUGUUUCCAUCCCUACAUUCGUUCUCGUGUUUAGUUGGGUUAGGAACCGAAAUUGAGUCAUCCGCAUGCAGGGAAUAUUCCCUGCAGAUGCUUCACCAAGUGAUUCCGUCGAUUUGGAGGAAUCCACUCGUCAUUCGUCCAUGAAAGCAAAGAAAAAAAGAAAUAACCAAGCAAUUCUCACCGUGCUCACCCCCGCACCCGAACAAAAGUUUUCGUGGUUAUUUUUUUUCAUUUUCAUGAUUAUUUUUUUCGUGGUUAUUUUUUCAUUUUCGUGAUUAUUUUUUGUAAAUAUUUGGUAUGUACUCAUGAUCAUAUAUUUUUAUUUGCAUGUGUUAAAAAUAGAAAGAAAAUGUUGUUGAAAAUUUAAAUUAUAGGUUUGUCAAAUGCAAAGAACUCUAUUUGUUUAGAGAUGUAAUCUCAUCAUUUACAUCGAAGAGGUGAGUGACAUCAGAUUCUUCUCAUUGCAUCUCUCCAACUAAACAUCGGGACGAGACCAACCCAUGACAUUUUUUAUUGUCAACUGAACAUAAGGAUGGUACCAACCCAUACCUUUGGGAUGAAACCAUGACAUUUCAUGACUUUCGGUCCUCAAACCAACCCAUGACUUUAGUGAUUUGUUUUCGUUAGAAAAGAGACGCUCGAAAGAAAUAUCUUGCAAAGCGUUCGAUGAAGAAUUGACGGUGAGGAGCACCGGAACUGGAGUAGGCAAGCCUAGUUCAUAUUAUUUUUUCCGGCCGGGUUCCUUCCAGCGUGGCAAGGUGGACCUUAACCGCCAGGUCAAACCAACGGAUUUCCCCCCCCAAAUCAAUCUUCCCGGUCCGUCCUCCUCCUCCUCCUCUUUGCUCACCGCUCGGCCACCGCAACCGCAGACGCCACCAGCCGCAAUUCCUCGGAGCGAAGCGAGAGAGAGAGACGGGAGAGUAGAGAAAUGCAUCCGCCGAUGCCACCGCCGCCGCCGCGUCGUGUUGCUGGGCUACCGCGCCCGAGCCGGGUGAGUUUCGAGCGCAAGCUCGAUGACUUCACCGUCACCGCUGCGGCGGCGCCCGCGCUUCUUCCGCUGCUGCGCCGCCCCAGGGUGCCCGGUGCCUUCGGCGACGCGGAGGCGGAACCGUCGGAGAGGUCCACCGCGGACCACUUCUUCGAGCGCACGGACUACGGCAAGAAGACAGGGGUGGACGCCGAGGCGGUGCUGCGCCUGGAACGGCCCAUCGUCCGCCGCCGCGUGCCCUGCGACGAGAAGGCAGGUGCCUUCGGCGACGCGGAGGCGGACCCGUCGGAGAGGUCCACCGCGAACCCCUUCUUCGAGCGCACGGACUACGGCGAGAAGACGCCGGCCCUGGACAACGACGCCGGGCCGGGCCCGUGGGUGCUGCCGCGCACCGGCCUCCUCUUUUCCGACCCCAGGGUUUUCGGCGACGACAAGAAGAAGACAGGGGUGGACGCCGAGGCGGUGCUGUGCCUGGGCCUGAUGUGGCGCACCGGAGGCCGGCCGGUACUUCUUCGACCAGACGGGGUUCGACCACGCGGCAGUGCAGGGCCUGGAGCGCUGCAGCCUCUCUGACAACCGGUCGAGUACGGCGGUCAGCGACGAGGCGGGCAUUGGGGAUGACGCGUGAAUGCGGGGUGCAAGCUGCAAGGUCGGUUGAUCGUCGCGCUCGUUCGAUUUAUUUUUCCGCUCGUCCAGGAAUCAUUGGAGCGACAUGGAUUUGAUGUGCGAUCUUUGUUGAUCUUUGCUACUGCAAUAUUUCUUGAUCAGCCUGUUCUCGGUUAACUGUAAUCCAAGACAUCUGUUCUUCCUCUUGAUAUAUAUAGCCUGCUAUUGGAAUUGGGAUGUCAAUUGAGGCCUUAGGAAAUUUCUUAUGGUAUUAUGCUGUUGCUGGCCAAACUCCAGUAAUCACUUUAUGUUGCCUAGACGGCUAGACGCAUAAUAAUUCUUGAACUGUUAUUUUACUACAAUGAAAGAACAUCAGGAGCUGAUACUAGGAGCAC